Molecule: long non-coding RNA, 96014 nt
Filed under: Theobroma cacao (cacao)
Lineage: Eukaryota; Viridiplantae; Streptophyta; Magnoliopsida; Malvales; Malvaceae
Description: long non-coding RNA (TCAC_LNC001809)
Source: RNAcentral
CUACAGUUUGAAGGAUGCAAAUCCAAUGGUAGCCUCGAUGAAAUCAACUAUCUACAGCCUAUUCUGAGCCUGAAAUGGGUGGAAAUGAGGGUGGUGAGAUUAUAUAAUCCCAGUGAGUAAACAAACACCAUCCAAAAUAUCUAAAGUCGAGUAAAUGAGACGAUUAAAAUAUUCCAUCUUAAUAUGUAAUUCAUAACAUAAAUAUUCAUUUCGUUUAAAUAAUCAACAUGGCUUAUGAGUAUCUUAAAAGCUUGGCUCCUGCCAAAAUCAUUCUUGGGAAUACCUUGGCUGAGGCAUUUAACCGAGUUCGCCAAGGCUGUUAAAAAGUCAUGUACACAUAAAUUAUGUUUUUAUUUUGAAAACAUAGCCGUUCCUUGGCGUUGGCUGAGUUCACCCUCACGUGGUGGGUUGGCAUGAAGUGAACUCUAAAGUUGUACCUCAAGAGAUACCCUUGCGCCUCUCCGAUUGAGGUACAUAGAUAACCGAAUUUCGUACCCCUCUAAUAGGCUGGUCCACAGAACCCGCCCAAUGCAGCAAGCUAAACCCACCGUACAAUAAACAUCCAACAGCAUGACAUAGCAAUUUUAUCAUUAUCCAGCCUAUCAAGGCAAACAACAGUUUAUACAUUGUCAACACAAAUACAAAUUCAGCCAUUCACGCCAAUAUUGCCAUAAGCCAAUCAAUUAGAACCAUAAAUUCACAAUACAUCAAAUGGUCUUUAAUUACUCUAUUUUCAAAGCCAUCAUUCAAUUUCAAGUCAAUUUAUAAAAUCAUUUCAUUUAAACACAUUUUGUUUAUAAAACCUAAAAAUCGACCAUUUAAACUCAUAUUCCAUAAAAUUCACAAAAUUGAAUAAAAAGACCACUUUAGAUAAUUAAAAUGAUGAUCAGGUUACUCACUAUUUCGAGAGUCGAAUUUUUAAAGUACUUCGACUAUCGAUCCUUGGGUACAAUUUCUUUGCCUUUAUCGGAGGAUUCACCAACUAGACAUAAUGCACAAUCAAGCAAUUUACCACAUAGGUGCUAAACCGUUAUAAAACUAUAUGGAUGCAUGAAAUGGAAAUCAAAUUGUUCGGAUUAUCGUCUAAACAUGGUGUUCUACACAAAUUCAAUUGUGUACCUAAAUAAAACGGUAUUGGCCUAAUUCGAUUUAUCACUCGAUUAAUUGGCCAAUAUGUCCAAUUUAACUCCAAUUAACUCCAUUUUUCUUUCAAUUCUCCAAACCAUCAAACACAAAUCGAAUAGCAUAAAAUUUAAUAAAAUUAUCUUCACAUUUUCUCUUGGGAAUUUCGGCCAUGGUGGGUGCAUGAACACUAUGAUUUUUCCUACUUGAUUUUCUCACCAUAAUUCAUCAUUUCCCAACCAAUUCACUUCAAAUAAAAUCAAAUCCACCAUCCACACUCUACAUGGAAAAUUCAGCCAAUGAUGGGUAAUGGAAGAAAAUGAAUUUUUCUUGCUUGUUUUUCAUGCUACACAUCACUAACUAACUAAAAACACUAAAAUAUCUUAAAAUCUAACCAAAUCAAGCAUCAAAACUCCUCCCCCCAUGUCCAGCCAGCAUGGGAUUCAUCAUGAAAUCUUGAUUCUCAACCAUGGAAAAUGAAAAAAAAUGCAUAGGAAAUGUAGAUCACAAGCUAGAAUUGAAAAAUCUUACCUUUUUUCACUUGUUUCCUUGAAUUUUCACACUUUUCCCUUGACUUUUUUCACCUAGGGUUUUUGUUUUUCUUAUCUUCCUUUGUUCUUGUUUUGGCCGUCCAUAUGAAGAGAAAUAGGCUGAUUUUAUGCUAAUUUAUAAGAAAAAUAUUAAAUGGAUGAGAAUUUGACACAUGUCACCAUUCCAUUGGUCCAUGUGUCAUUCUUACUCAUUAAGCAAUGUCUCCACCAUAUAAAUUUCCUCAAUUAUCCAUGAUAAUAUUGGGUAAAAUCCAUGUGCUGGACAAGUGUUGGGUGGUGUAAAAUUAUAAUUUUGCCUUUGGGGUGGCAAAAUGACUAUUUUACCCCUUUGCUCAAAAAAUGUCAGAAUUAAAAUUUUUAACUUUUUAAACUCAAAUUAUGUUCUAAAUAGGCAAUCUUAGUCAAAAAUUUCAUCCAACACUCACAUCUUAACCUCGGGUGGCAAAAUGACCAUUUUGCCCCUAAGUCAUGAAAAUUCCAAUUUGACUCCAAAUUGGUUCUCGAACUCCGAAUCACCAUUUUAAGUCAUUUUGGGGUUUUAAAAUUCUCAAUUUCAUCCUAAAAUCUCUAUUUGGACUAGUUCGGGGCUUAAUUCAAUUUAGUUGCACUAUUAGGUACACUACCGACUUUUGACGAUUUUUCGAGGCUUUCCAAGUAUGCAAGUAUUCUGUCAAUCACAUGAAUGACAUGGCUAAUAUUUUAUAAAGUUGGGCUUGACACAUAAGUUAUUACUUUUUCAUCCUGCUUCAAUACACACCCUAAUCCCAACUUAGAGGCAUCAUUGUAUACCAUAAAUUCUUUCCCACCAACAAGAAGUGUCAGAACGGGAGAGAAGAUUAACCGGUUCUUUAGCUCCUGAAAUCGACUCUCAUAAACAUCAUCCCACUCAAACCUAACUCCUUUACGAGUCAGACGAGUCAAAGGAGCAACUAUAAAUGAAAAUCCCUGAACAAAUCUCCGAUAAUAACCGGCUAUGCCAAGGAAAUUACGAAUCUCAGUUACAGUUCUCGGUUGCUCCCAUUGCAAGAUUGCCUCAAUCUUCUUGGGAUCGACAUAAAUUCUAGCUCCGGACACCACAUGUCCCAAGAAAACCACUUCCUUUAACUAGAACUCACAUUUAGAGAACUUGGCAUAAAGUUGUUUUUCACGCAAGGUUUGCAACACAAUACGCAAAUGGGCAGCAUGUUCAUCAUCAUUCUUCGAAUAAAUCAGGAUGUUAUCUAUGAAUACUAUCAUGAACUUAUCCAAGUAUGGAUGGAACACCCUGUUCAUAAGAUCCAUAAAAGCUGCCGGGGCAAUAGUCAAACCAAACGACAUCACCAGAAACUCAUAAUGCCCAUAACGCGUCCUAAAAGCAAUCUUGGGUACAUCCUGCUCUUUAAUCUUCAACUGAUAAUACCCAGACCUCAAAUCAAUCUUAGAAAACACCAUAGCACCUCGUAAUUGAUCAAAAAGAUCAUCGAUCCAUGGUAGAGGGUAUUUAUUCUUGAUGGUCACUCAGUUCAACUGACGGUAAUCGAUACACAAUCGAAGAGUGCCAUCUUUCUUCUUUACAAAUAGGACUGGUGCUCCCCAAGGAGAAGUACUAGGGCGAAUAAAAUCCUUAUCCACCAAAUCUUGUAGUUGGACUUUUAGUUCCUUCAACUUUGCCGGAGCCAUUCGAUAUAGAGGGAUAGAAAUAGGUGCGGUACCCAGAAGUAAAUCAAUGGGGAACUCAAGCUCCUGCUCAGGAGGUAGUCCCAGUAAUUCGUCGGGAAUUACAUCAGGAAACUCACUUACUAUUGGGACAUCCUCUAAUUUAGGUUCCCCUUUUGAAGUAUCGAUCACGUGUGCUAAAUAUGUCGGAUAUCCUUUCUGCACUAGUUUCAAAGCUUUGAUGGCCGAGAUUACACAAGACGGUAAUACUCGACGUUUCCCUGCAAAAACAAUCUUUGCUCCCUCCGAAUUUCGAAAAACAACUUCUUUCCUAAAACAAUCCAAAUUCGCCUGAUGUGCAGUUAACCAGUCCAUACCCAAUAUCAAAUCAAAAUCUUGGAUCUCUAGAUGUCAUGACCCGGUACUCCCCUCAAGCCCGUGAUAACCGUCGUGAUGUCUUGAUAGACAUUCGUUAUCCGAAGUGCUAACCGGAACCCCACAAGGCUUUAGUACCAUUUUUUUCCAUCUCCUUUGUAAGUAAUCAUCGCCAAACCUCGUUUUUAAAGAAUUUUAAGCUUUUUCCCAUCCAAAACCGUGGAAAAUAAUUUUGGCCUCACAGGGGCAUUUUCGUCAUUUUUUCUCAAAAUUUUUUGAACCUAACUAAAAAUGUAGUAAAUGAGUGGAAAACACAUAUUUCAUGAUUUAAAAUAAAUUUGGGUGUCUAAAACAUUUAUUAAAAAUGAUAUUGCAACUAUUUGAAUAAAAUAAAAAUAUUCAAUAAAAUAUUCUAAUUUCUUGUAAAACAAUAUUUAUAGAAUCAUCGGUAAAUAAUUUUUUGUAAUGUAAAAGCNNNNNNNNNNNNNNNNNNNNNNNNNNNNNNNNNNNNNNNNNNNNNNNNNNNNNNNNNNNNNNNNNNNNNNNNNNNNNNNNNNNNNNNNNNNNNNNNNNNNNNNNNNNNNNNNNNNNNNNNNNNNNNNNNNNNNNNNNNNNNNNNNNNNNNNNNNNNNNNNNNNNNNNNNNNNNNNNNNNNNNNNNNNNNNNNNNNNNNNNNNNNNNNNNNNNNNNNNNNNNNNNNNNNNNNNNNNNNNNNNNNNNNNNNNNNNNNNNNNNNNNNNNNNNNNNNNNNNNNNNNNNNNNNNNNNNNNNNNNNNNNNNNNNNNNNNNNNNNNNNNNNNNNNNNNNNNNNNNNNNNNNNNNNNNNNNNNNNNNNNNNNNNNNNNNNNNNNNNNNNNNNNNNNNNNNNNNNNNNNNNNNNNNNNNNNNNNNNNNNNNNNNNNNNNNNNNNNNNNNNNNNNNNNNNNNNNNNNNNNNNNNNNNNNNNNNNNNNNNNNNNNNNNNNNNNNNNNNNNNNNNNNNNNNNNNNNNNNNNNNNNNNNNNNNNNNNNNNNNNNNNNNNNNNNNNNNNNNNNNNNNNNNNNNNNNNNNNNNNNNNNNNNNNNNNNNNNNNNNNNNNNNNNNNNNNNNNNNNNNNNNNNNNNNNNNNNNNNNNNNNNNNNNNNNNNNNNNNNNNNNNNNNNNNNNNNNNNNNNNNNNNNNNNNNNNNNNNNNNNNNNNNNNNNNNNNNNNNNNNNNNNNNNNNNNNNNNNNNNNNNNNNNNNNNNNNNNNNNNNNNNNNNNNNNNNNNNNNNNNNNNNNNNNNNNNNNNNNNNNNNNNNNNNNNNNNNNNNNNNNNNNNNNNNNNNNNNNNNNNNNNNNNNNNNNNNNNNNNNNNNNNNNNNNNNNNNNNNNNNNNNNNNNNNNNNNNNNNNNNNNNNNNNNNNNNNNNNNNNNNNNNNNNNNNNNNNNNNNNNNNNNNNNNNNNNNNNNNNNNNNNNNNNNNNNNNNNNNNNNNNNNNNNNNNNNNNNNNNNNNNNNNNNNNNNNNNNNNNNNNNNNNNNNNNNNNNNNNNNNNNNNNNNNNNNNNNNNNNNNNNNNNNNNNNNNNNNNNNNNNNNNNNNNNNNNNNNNNNNNNNNNNNNNNNNNNNNNNNNNNNNNNNNNNNNNNNNNNNNNNNNNNNNNNNNNNNNNNNNNNNNNNNNNNNNNNNNNNNNNNNNNNNNNNNNNNNNNNNNNNNNNNNNNNNNNNNNNNNNNNNNNNNNNNNNNNNNNNNNNNNNNNNNNNNNNNNNNNNNNNNNNNNNNNNNNNNNNNNNNNNNNNNNNNNNNNNNNNNNNNNNNNNNNNNNNNNNNNNNNNNNNNNNNNNNNNNNNNNNNNNNNNNNNNNNNNNNNNNNNNNNNNNNNNNNNNNNNNNNNNNNNNNNNNNNNNNNNNNNNNNNNNNNNNNNNNNNNNNNNNNNNNNNNNNNNNNNNNNNNNNNNNNNNNNNNNNNNNNNNNNNNNNNNNNNNNNNNNNNNNNNNNNNNNNNNNNNNNNNNNNNNNNNNNNNNNNNNNNNNNNNNNNNNNNNNNNNNNNNNNNNNNNNNNNNNNNNNNNNNNNNNNNNNNNNNNNNNNNNNNNNNNNNNNNNNNNNNNNNNNNNNNNNNNNNNNNNNNNNNNNNNNNNNNNNNNNNNNNNNNNNNNNNNNNNNNNNNNNNNNNNNNNNNNNNNNNNNNNNNNNNNNNNNNNNNNNNNNNNNNNNNNNNNNNNNNNNNNNNNNNNNNNNNNNNNNNNNNNNNNNNNNNNNNNNNNNNNNNNNNNNNNNNNNNNNNNNNNNNNNNNNNNNUUGGUCCAUGUGUAAUACUUAUCCAUUAAGCAAUCUCUCUCCACCACAUAAAAUGUUUUAAUUAUCCACAACGUCAAAUGUUAAUGGAUGAAAUCCAUGGGCAUGACAAGUGUUAGGUGGUGUAAAAUUCCAAAAUUCUAACUUUGCCCCCGUAAACUCAUAAAAUUACCGUUUUGCCCCUAGGACUCCAAAAAUGUCAGAAUUUAAAUUUUUCACCUCUCAAACUCAAAUCAUACUCCAAUGAGUCAAAUGUGAUCAAAAUCUUUUCUAAAAUUUUACAUUUUGUCCUUGAAUGACAAAAUUACCAUUUUACCCUUAAAACAUGAAAAUUCCAAUUUGACUCCAAAUUAGUCCUCGAACUCCAAAUCACCAUUUUAAAUCAUUUCUGGGCUGUAAAAUUUUCAAUUUCACCCAAAAAUCUCUAUUUGAUCUAGUUCAAGGCUUAAAUCAGUUUUGUUGUACCUCUAGGUACAAUACUUACUUUUGUAAAUUUUUCGGGACUCUCCUAGUAUGCAAACAUGCUAUCCAUCACAUGUAUGUCAUGACAAGUAUUUUAUAAGGUCGGGCUUUACAACACUACCCCCUUUAAAAUAAAAUUUUGACCUCAAAAUUUCACUUACCGGAUUCCAAGAAAAGAUGUGGAUAUCGGUCUCUCAUCUGGUGCUCGACUUCCCACGUCAUCUUUUCCAUUCGAGCAUUUUGUGGCAUCCUCCUCGAGGGCCCACUCCAAGGUAUUGUUAUAUCCUGGUCCCCAUCACUUGACUUACUCGUAUUCGCCACGCCUAAGGGUGGCACGACAGGCCCUGCAGGACCUUCUCGCCAAGCUUCGAACCCAAGACCUUUUGCUCCCCCCGAAGGGAACGCCUUUAACCAUUGGGAUGUUUUUAUUCCUCAACACUCAAUUCUUUUGAUCUAGAAUACGUACGGGUUGCAUCUAAGUCAAAUCAUCCUUAAAUCAUCAAUUAUGCAUGUUUACUUAACUAUCCACAAUUUCUCUACCUUGAUCUUUUAUCAAACCUUCCAACAUUCAAGCAUUUCAUAAUACACAAGGAUUAAACACCUUUUAUUUAUCCAUAGAUAUAUAUUUAACAUCACAGAUAAUUCAAAUUUGAUAACCAUUAAUAACCAUAUUCUCAAAAAGAAACUCUCGUACUUUUAUGAUCAAGUACUUAUUAAGUAAAUCUUGAACCACUAAAACCAUUCUUCAUUUUAGUUGGGUACAUCACUAACUCCACAUAUACGUAUACACGCACAUUCAAGUGUCCAUAUUCCUCAUUAUGUAUACGAGUCUCGGUUUUCAAAUGCCUUCAGACUAAUUUCUCUUUGUUUAUUUCCAUCCAUAAUCAAGAUUCAAUAGAAUAAUCUUCAUAAUUCAUGCAAAUUCUCAUCAUGCCUGUGCAUAGUUCCACAUCAUUUAGAUACUUAUACUCUCUUCUUAUCAUUUCCAAUUAUAUGCUUAAGUUUCCUUGUACUAUGUAUCAUUGUAUCAUGAUGUCAUCUCCUUUGAAUUAUAAUCUAUUAUGCGUGUAUGCUUUAUAAUCCCAUUUAUACUUCAAAGAUUUAUCUUAACUUGAUCACUGCAUCUUAUACAAACCACUAUUCCUAAGAGUCAUCGUUUUUCCUCGAUUAUCCUUCAUGCCUCUUACAUAUAUUGUAUCCUUAUUGCAUUCUGAUAUUGAUUUGUCACUUAAGACUCAGACUCAUUUGAAUCAUGUAUGCCUCAAGCAUUUCGAAUUCCAAUUUUCCAUAAUAUAUUAGGAAAGUUUCAUUCUCCGACUUCAUUAUCAAGGUCAAUGUCACGACCCAAUUUCCCGGGCCAUGACCGGCGCAAGAGCUCAAUGAGCAUAGCUCACUAAGCCCAAGCAAGCCUAUCCAUUUACCCUUGCUUAACAAAUUUAUCAUAUCAUGCAUACACACACACACCUUUUCCCGAGUGUGAACAUAGCCAAAACACAAUGGCAUUAUCGAUAAUAAUAUACAUGCACUAUACCAGUCAUGUAUUUAGCAAUUUACAUUGCAUACACAUAUUUACAUUGUUAGAUUGUAUUCACAAUACAAAAGGACCCAUGACUUCCAGUGGAGACAUUUACAAUAAAAAGGAUUACUAUCGAAUGUCAGACACAUACCCANNNNNNNNNNNNNNNNNNNNNNNNNNNNNNNNNNNNNNNNNNNNNNNNNNNNNNNNNNNNNNNNNNNNNNNNNNNNNNNNNNNNNNNNNNNNNNNNNNNNNNNNNNNNNNNNNNNNNNNNNNNNNNNNNNNNNNNNNNNNNNNNNNNNNNNNNNNNNNNNNNNNNNNNNNNNNNNNNNNNNNNNNNNNNNNNNNNNNNNNNNNNNNNNNNNNNNNNNNNNNNNNNNNNNNNNNNNNNNNNNNNNNNNNNNNNNNNNNNNNNNNNNNNNNNNNNNNNNNNNNNNNNNNNNNNNNNNNNNNNNNNNNNNNNNNNNNNNNNNNNNNNNNNNNNNNNNNNNNNNNNNNNNNNNNNNNNNNNNNNNNNNNNNNNNNNNNNNNNNNNNNNNNNNNNNNNNNNNNNNNNNNNNNNNNNNNNNNNNNNNNNNNNNNNNNNNNNNNNNNNNNNNNNNNNNNNNNNNNNNNNNNNNNNNNNNNNNNNNNNNNNNNNNNNNNNNNNNNNNNNNNNNNNNNNNNNNNNNNNNNNNNNNNNNNNNNNNNNNNNNNNNNNNNNNNNNNNNNNNNNNNNNNNNNNNNNNNNNNNNNNNNNNNNNNNNNNNNNNNNNNNNNNNNNNNNNNNNNNNNNNNNNNNNNNNNNNNNNNNNNNNNNNNNNNNNNNNNNNNNNNNNNNNNNNNNNNNNNNNNNNNNNNNNNNNNNNNNNNNNNNNNNNNNNNNNNNNNNNNNNNNNNNNNNNNNNNNNNNNNNNNNNNNNNNNNNNCCCCACAUCGUGCACACACACGGUUACAGUCAUUAUACACAAUAUCAUUCAUCAUGCACAACACACAUAUAUAUAUAUCAUCAUAUUGCAAUAAUGCAUGAAUCUAUAGCAAUCACAUAUCACAACAUCAAACCAUUUAACAAAAGCUUGUUCCCAAGGUACAUUUUCUAAGAUAAGUUGGAUAGAAUCUUUUAUAUUCCCAAAAACAAGUUUGAAAUGCAAGUCCACUCACCGAUAUCGAAAAUUUAGAUUUCGGGUGCACUCGGACUAAUAGUCCUCAUGCGCAAUUCCUUUACCUUUUUCGAACGUCUCACUACCUUGACAAAUAACAAAGUCAAGGAAUUUACUAUAUUGUCCCUAAAUUGAUAUAAACUAAUUUAAAUUACUAAUGCUUGAUAUGCAAAUGCAAAAAUACGUCCGAUUACCGCUUAAUCGCAGUAUCGAUUAAACUCGACUGAUCACCGAUUAAUUGGCGAUUAUGUCCAAAUCACCUCCAAAUUAAUCCAUUUCUCCUCUAAUACCUUAAUUUACCACAUACCAUUUAAAUAAAGCCAAAUUCAACAUUAAAACCCUUACAGUUCCUUAUAGAAAAAUUUGGUCAUUUGGUGCACUAGCAUCGAAUUUUUUUUUCUACAUAACCGUUUCACCUUAAUUCAUCAUUUUCCAAGCCAUUUUCCUUGAAAUAGAAACAAUCCCCCAUUGAUAUUCAGCCCUCAUGGUUCGACCAACAAGGAACCCUAGAGAAAUUGAAUAUUUCUUUUGUGUUUUUGUUCAUAACCAUGCUUAACUAUCCCUAAACACUAACAUAGUCUAAAAUCAAAUUAUUCCAACAACAAUUCCUCUUCCAUACCCAUUUUUCAGAAUUGAAUUCAUCAUGAUAACUCAAUAUUCAACCAUAGAAAUCAAGAACAAAAGCAUGGGUAAGCUAGGUAUCAAGAAGAAUUAAAGAAAUUCUAACUUAUCUAGCUUGUUUCCUUAAUUUCUUCACUUUUUUCUUUGAAUUUUCACCUAGGUUUUCUUGUUUUUCCUUUUAUUCUUCCUUUGUUCUUGUUGCUGGCUGCCUAGGCCGAAUAUGGUGAGAGAAUUGGGGAUUUAAUGGGCUGAUUUCUAUAAAAAAUAAUAAAAUAAUCAAGCAUGCCACGUGUCACAUGCUUAUUGGCCCAAUUUUUUUUUAACUUUUUGACUUUUUCUUCUUAAUUUUCCACCAUAAAUAUUUUGGUAUUUAUCCAAUCCUACCACAAUUAAAAUCCCUUGGUCUUAACAAGUGUUGGGGCAAAAAAUUUAUCGAUUUGCCCCCAGGAAAAAAAAAUUACGAUUUUACCCAUAUACUCCGAAAUGUACCAAAAUCACAUUAUUUCUACUUUUCAACCUCAAAUAACACUAAUAGUUAUCAAUAUUAACCAAAUGGGGCAAAAAUCUUUUUAUAAAAAUUCUCGUUUAGUUCUCUAGUGGUAAAAUUACCAUUUUGCCCUUGUGCUCCAAAAAUACCGAAAAUCACAAUUUUUCACUGCUAAACAUCAUUUUAUACUCAAAUAAUCAUAAUUAUUUUUCAUAUAAUUAUUCUUGGUCAAAUGUGAUCAAAUCUUGGCUAGAAAUCUCCAUUUUAUCAUCAAAUGGUAAAAUGAUCGUUUUAUCCCUAACCGGUCAAUUUUCCUGAUAGACUCCAAACUGGACCUUGAACUCCGAAUCACUAUUCUAAGCCAUUCUUUGGGUUUCAAAAUUUUCAAUUUCCUCUUAGAAUUUCUAUUUGAACUAGUUCAAGGCUCGAUUUAACUUAGUUGUACUACUCGGUACAAUACCGUCUUUUAAUCGAGCUUGACAGGGUCUUACAGUCAACUUCUAUCAUCCUUUGUUUCACUCUUUCAUACGAAUAUAACAUCAUUCUCCCUUAGCCAAUUUAUAAAUUGCACUUAAAAUUGCAAAACUUGAAACUAGAUUCUCCUCAAGUACCUUUCAAUGUUAAUAUGAAUAUCACUCUCAGUUUACAGCUUCUUUUUUUAAUAACCACAUAACUUAGUGCUUGCUUUCACGAGAUCCAUGGUAGAACUUUUCUUGAGUAUUUCCUUGGGGAUAUCUAUCCUAAACUAAUGUCUCACAACAGGUGAUCACUUAACCUAACACUUAGCCGUUUGGCUCCUUAACAAGUUUCAAAGUCACGCAUCUUAUGCUCAUCAUGUAUAACUUAUAAUUCUUUCUCAAAGGUGUUUAAACAUUCUUGAAACACUUAAUCACUUAUUUGCUCUUUCAUACUCCAAGUAUAUCAUUUCCAUAAAGGCAUACCCAACUACUCAUGCUUCGAUUUAUCUCCAAAGGUUUCCAACAUGUCACCUAGUUUACUUGUGUUAUUACUAAUCCUUUCCUUUCAACAAGGUCAAGACAAGAUCAUUAUAUUCUCAUAAUAAUAUUCUAUAUACACUCAUUUGCUAUAUCAUUAUUGAAAUCUUUAUUUACAUUUUCCUCACUUGGUAUUGACAUCUUUUAUCAGUAUCUCAUACAUUCAUCUACUCUUUCACUUGCUUCCUCUUUAGUCUUUAACAAGACUUAAUCUCUGGUCUUCUUUAUUUCUUAAGAUUUGACUUCAGUCAGCAUAUUAUUCAUCUUAACACUCCCCCGAUGCACUUAAAACUCCAAUAACGAAACUUGACAUCAAAACCAAUGACCAUUUUUCAAUCUCGUGAGUCCAAUCUUUAUGCCGCUCACAGUUUGCUCUUGCUUUCUAGCCAUUAGGAGUUCUUAACGCAACAGCGUUUGAUGGUCAGUACUAUGGCGUUGCAACUGUUUGAAUUCACUUUAUCCCAGCAACUCUUUUAACUUUAAAGCUACUACCUCAAUUAUUCACAAUCGUGUGGCUUCUCUCUGAGUCUAUACCACAAUUAGCAAGACUAACUUUCUAUCACAAUUGUGCGAUCAGAACAUUGAUUUAACAUAUUUAUUUUACCACUAACAUUCAUAUAUCUUUACCACAACAUUUAGUACGAGUUUGCUUAAGCAAAAAUCUCCAAAUUUAUUCGUAGCUACAUGUAUCUCAGAUUGCACAUCACUUAUCAUCAGUCAAUAAAUUCCAUUUUAGAAUACUCUUUCCAUAAUGAAUAGUAACUUCACCAUGUAGUAUCACGACACUAUGUUUCUCCAUUCUACUAUCAUGCAUACUCCACAGAAAUUAAUUAAAAUAUUUACGUACCUUCACUCAUGCUUAUUCCAUUUAAUCAUAUCUUAAAUACUCCAAACUUUUAAAUUACAACUCCAAGUGUAUGUCCAUAUAUUGAUAAUCUUUAUAUAUUUCAUGAUCAUGAAAACUACAACUUACAAACUAGUUUUCUAUCAUAUGCACACUACUAGAACAUUAAUUUCAACAUGUUUAAUUCUCCUUUGGUGGUAUGUUAAGAUCAUUCCUGGAUACAUUUCCAUAUUAACAUUGAUAUGCCUUUACCAUAGCAUUUAGUGCAAAUUUGAUGAAGGAAUUGUCUCCAAAUAACUCUUAAAUACAUAAUUAUCAAAUUGUAUACCACUAAAUGUUAAGAUCUUGACUUUAUUCAUCAAUAACAAAUCACAUUUAUUAAGUGAAUAAUUUACUUAGUUAUUACACCUUGCCUUUGCGAUUAUAAGAUCAAAGUUGUCCUAAACUUAGGAUGCAGAAGUUCUCUCUCUUAGAGUAUAUCCAAAUAUUAACGUUUUCUAAAUUCCUUACUCUGGGGAAAUCACCUUCAAGAUUGAUCAUUCGUAUCAUAGGCCACACUUUGAACCAAAUAAACUUUUAAAUUGAUUUUUCAAGUAAUUCGUAUAUCAAUCUCAAUUAUAGAACUUCAUAUGGCACUUAGACUAGAUUCGACAUUUUCAAGUCAUUUAACCUCAAGCUGUCAAUUUCACAUUUAGUCCUUUAAUCCUUUGGCUCCCCAUACUAUGCAUAGCAAAGUUCAAGCUCAUCCUUAGAGUAGAUUUGUUUACUAACUUCUUACUUCAUGACCACACAUCAAUUAUAGUAAUCAUUGAUACUCACUUUCGAGUUAAUUCAUGUGCUUAUAUCCAUGAACUAUAAUAGGUCCAAUUAAUUCUUGAAAUCUCACAAUCGCUCAAUUGAAAUCAACACCAGUUCCCUCUAAGCUGCUAUACCAAUUCAACACAUAUUCACAUAUAAAAUAUUUCAAAAUCCCAACACCACUUUUAUAUGGGCAUAACAAGCUCAAUUAACAUAGUGUUCUUAUCUUCAUGCACAUAAGUAUGGGCUUACUCUUACCUCAAUGCUUAAUUUAAACACUCCAAGUGAAUUAUAACCAUCACUAUUCAUUCUAAUCAAAGUGCGCCCCUUAUUACCACUAUCACACGUGUUCCUUUAUAUUAACCCCAAUAUAAUCCAUAGUCCCUAAAUCUUUUUCCAAUUGACAAUCAUGAAUUCAAUUAUAACUCCACCAAAUGAAUAAAUUAUCACGGCCUAUUAGUCCAAUUCCAAAUUUCUCCACCCUUAAUCGGAGGGAUAUAUCAUUUCAUUAAUCUUUCAUUAGAAGCAUUCAUUAAUCUUCCACAAAAUGACCAGGUUCCGUGCCCCUCUAAUAGACUAGUCCACAAAACCAGCCCAUUGUAGCAAACUAAAGCCACCAUACAAUAAAAAUUCAACAGCAUAACAUGGCAAUUUUAUCAUUAUCCUGCCUAUCAAGGCAAACAACAGUUUAUACAUUUCAACACAAAUACCAAUUUAGCCAUUCAUGCCAAUAUUGUCAUUAGCCAAUCAAUUAGAACCAUAAAUUCACAAUACUUCAAAUGGUCUCCAAUUACUCUAUUUUCAAAGCCAUUAUUCAAUUUUAAAACAAUUUUAUGAAAUCAUUUCAUUAAAACACAUUUGGUUUAUAAAAUCGAAAAAUUAAUUAUUUAAUUCAUUUUUAAUAAAAUUCAUAAAAUCGGAUAAAAACCACUUUAGAUAAUUAAGACGAUAGUAAGGUUACUCACAGUACUAGGAGUUCGAUAUACUCCUAUUCUCGGUCUUCGGGCACAAUCUCUUUACCCUUGUUAGAGGGCUCACCUCCUAUACAUCAUACGUAACACGAAUUUCAAUAAAUUGUGUCAAUUUAUCAUAAACUAUUUCAUGCUAUAUAAAUCUAUAUGAAUGCACGAAAUGUGAUGCAAAAUGUCUGAAUAGCCGUUUAAAUACGGUAUUCGACCUAAUUUGCACUAUUCUCGGUGUAAUUGGCUAAAACCUCUAAUUUAACUUCAAAUCGAUUUCUUUCACUUUCCACACUCCAAUUAUACUUAAAAUACCUCAAUGACUGUGAAUAUGAUUCAAUUUAUCAGUCCGAACCAUAAAUCGCACAUGUCUAUACAUUAGGUAAAAAUUCAAAUUUUCAUGCCAAAAUUUCUCAUUAAAAUUCUAGCCUCACCAAUCAUUAAAUACCACCAAAAUAUCAUGAAAUAUCAUUAAUUUCAGCCUCAAUAUCCUCCCUAGAAAAUUCGGCUUCUUGUGGGUUUGUGAAGAACAAAGUGAUUCCUUGCUAGAUUUUCAUACUUUCGAUUACCAAAAAACCAAAAACACUUAAUUAGCUUGAAAUCUAGCAAAAUCAAUGCUCAAAACCUCUCCUCUCAAAUUCGGCCAGCAUGGGUUCAUCAUGCAAACUAGAGUUCUAAGCAUGGAAAAUGAAAAAGAAAGCUGGGUAGUGUAAAUCACAAGAUAAAUCACAAAAUUUUACCUUUAUUAGAUUAAUCCCUUGAAAUCCCACACUUUUUCUUCAAUUUUCCCACUUAGGGUUUGUGUUCUUUCCUUUCCUCUUCACUUCAUGCUUUGGCCGGCCAUAUAGGUGAGACUAAGAGAGUUUUAAAUAGAUUUUACAAGGAAAUUCUAGAAUAAUCCAAGCUUGACACAUGGCAUGUUUCCAUUGGUCCAUGUGUAAUACUUUUCCAUUAAGCAAUCUCUCUCCACCACAUAAAAUGUUUCAAUUCUCCACAAUGUAAAAUGAUAAUGGCUGAAAUCCAUGGGCAUGACAAGUGUUAGAUGGUGUAAAAUUCCAAAAUUCCAACUUUGCCCCUCGUAAACUCGUAAAAUUACCGUUUUACCCCUAAGACUCCCAAAAUGUCAGAAUUUAAAUUUUUCACCUCUCAAACUCAAAUCAUACUCCAAUGAGUCAAAUGUGAUCAAAAUCUUUUCUAAAAAUUCCCAUUUUGUCCUCGAGUGACAAAAUUACCAUUUUGCCUCUAGAACAUGAAAAUUCUAAUUUGACUCCAAAUCGGUCAUCAAACCCUAAAUCACCAUUUUAAAUCAUUCUUGGGCUGUAAAAUUUUCAAUUUCACCUUAAAAUCUUUAUUUGAUCUAGUUCGAGGCUUAAAUCAACUUUGUUGUACCUUUAGGUACAAUACCUACUUUUGUAAAUUUUUCGAGACUCUCUUAGCAUGCAAACAUGCUAUCCAUCACAUGUAUGUCAUGACAAGUAUUUUAUAAGGUCGGGCUUUACACUAGAGGAAUCAAGUCACUCCUAAAUUCUUCCUCACCAACCAUUACUCCACAAUCUCUAUAACAACUAUUUUUAACUAGCUUUUCUCCUAAAGGGGUGUGAACUACUAUUCCUUCCUUAAUGGUGACAAGUUUCUAUCAGCAAUUGAUGCAAAUGCCAUACUCACAUAAGACCUAUCUGAGCUAGAAUCUAUUAAAACAUAAGCAUCUUUAUCAAAUAAAGACAUAGUACCUAUCACUGCUCGAGGUCAGACCCGUGCCUCAUCUUUCGUCACAGUAAAAACUUUUGUCGAAGUACGAGUCUGUGGUCUCGAAAGUGGAUAUGCUGAGGUGUUACUCUCAACACUAGACUGUAUAGCCACUCCCUACCUCGAUGGUAACCCAGAAGGAUCUCUCCUCUGCAUACCCGUAUGAGUUGGUGGAGAUGGAGCUGUUGCAGUAGCCUGUCUUAGCUGUGGGCAAUCACUCCUAAUGUGGCCUGGCUGACCACAAUGAAAACAUCGUACUGAUCCCCUACACUGCCCAAAAUGAUUCUUCCCACAUUUCUUGCAUCAUCAGAACCUCGAAACUCUUCCCAAAAGUAGUCAUCGCAGAUUUGCUAAAUCUCGGAGGCUUCUGCUAUGUCUGUGAAAAUAGAGGUCGAGGAGAUGUCACUGAUACAGAGGUAGUACUCCCUGAAGCAGAUGAGUCUUUGCCCCUUUUUGGUGGCUGACUAGAAGAUACACUCAUAUUUCUCCUUUUUGCAAACUCAGCUCACAUUCUCCUAUUUUCAUUUGUAAGCUUCUCGGCCCUUAAAGCCAUCUGUACCACCUCCUUAUGUGGCUCCCUACCAGUCACUGUCAUCCUCUCUCUAAUCUCAUUACGGAGCCCUUCCUUGAAAUAACUGGUCUGAUCCUACUCAAAUUUCACCAGAUCCGGCACAUAUAGCAUCAGCUCGUUAAAACAAGCCUCGUACUCUUCUACCGUUAAAUUCCCCUAUUUAAAACUAAAAAAUUCUCUUUUCUUUUCUUUCUGAUGGAAAUACGUGAAAUACUGACCAUCGAAUUCUCUUAGAAAGUCUGACCAAGUUGGAGGAGUAGUAGAAUGGGAUUUUAUUGAAUUCCACCAUGUACGGGCUCUCUUAUCUAGUAAUCUCGUGGCCACCAUCAACUUCAGGUCAUCAUCCAACCUUAUAUCAGAGAGUGUCUCCGAAACCUGAUUAAUCUAAUCUUUGGCUACUGUUACGUCCAACUCACCCAUAAAAGAAACACAACCAAAUUGCCUAGCCUCCUUAAGCUUCUUGGAAAUAGAGACAUCCGACACUGGUGGUGGAACAAGAAGUGGCGGUGGUGGUACUAAAGGAGUAACUGGUGGUAAUAUAGGAGGAGCUUGACCAGCCUGAGCCUUGCCAGCAAUAGCGGUAAAGAAGGUUGCCAAUGCUUGGACUACCUCAGAGACAUGGCAGAAAUAUCAGUAGGUGGCGAAGGAUGUGAAGAAUGUGGAGAAUGUGGAGGAGUCUCAGCCCGUUUAGUAGCAGGUGCUGCCCAAAUGGUGGACGCAGCCGAUUCCUCUUCUACUACAUCUAGCUGACAACGUUGGGAAUGACCUCUUCCCCUCCCAACUGAUCUAGUGAGAGGUGGGUGUUUGAGUCGAGAAGGCAUGAUAAUCUAUAAGAGGAAACAAGCAAGUUUAGGCAACCUUAGGCUCUAUAUGUAGAUGCAUGCAUCCUAUUCAACCUAACCUAACUUAACUCGGGGCCACACUAACACUGUAAAUUUUUAAAAUAAUUUUAAAACCAAAAGUUUGGAUAACACUUUAAUUGUCGUGACCCGAUACUCCCAUCGAGCCCGUGACAACCGUCGCGAUGUCCCGAUGACACUCAUUAUCAAAAAUGCCAACCGAAACCCCGUAAGGCUUUAAUAUCAGUUUCUCAUUUCCCCUGUGAGUAACCGUUGCAAAAUAUCAUGUUCUAAUAGAUUUUAAGCUAUUUCCAACUUAAAACAAUAAAAAGAUGAUUUUUGUCUCACAAGGGCAUUUUGGUCAUUUUUCCCUAAAAAUUUCGAAACCAGCUAAAAAUGUAGUAUGCGAGUACAAAACACAUAAUUCAUAAUCAAAAUUAAGUUUAAACAUCUAAAACUUUCAUUUAAAAUGAAAUUAUGUCUAUUUGAAUAUAAUAAAAAUAUUCAAUAAAAUAUUCUAUUUUCUUAUAAAACAAUAUAUAUAAAGUUACCGAUAAAUAAUUUUUGUAGCGUAAAAGCUAAAUAAAUUCAUACAUACUGUAAUACAAAUAACCAAAGUAUAAAAUUUAAUUUACAAUAACCAGUGGGCCCCUGAAUAACCAAAAGUAAGAAAGACUGUGAACCUACAAUUUGGAGAAUGCAAAUCCAAUGGUAGCCUAAAUGAAAUCAGCUAUCUACAGCCUAUUCUAAGCUUGAAAUGAGUGGAAAGGAAGGUGGUGAGAUUAUAUAAUCCCAGUGAGUAAAUAAACACCAUCCAAAAUAUCAAAAAUCGAGUAAAUGGAAACGAUUAAAAUAUUUUAUCUCAAUAUGUAAUUCAUAACAUAAAUAUUCAUUUCAUUUAAAUAAUCAACAUAGCUUAUGAGUAUCUUAAAAGCUUGGCUCCUACCAAAUCAUUCUCAGGAAUACCUUGGUCGAGGCAUUUAACCGAAUUCGCCAAGGCGGUUAAAAAGUCAUGUACGCAUAAAUCAUGUUUUUAUUUUGAAAACAUAGCCGUUCUUUGGCGUUGGCUGAGUUCACCCUCACGUGGUGGUUUGGCGUGAAGUGAACUCUAAAGUUAUACCUCGACAGAUACCCUACGUACCUCUCAGACUGAGGUACAUAUAUAACCGAAUUUUGUACCCCUUUAAUAGGCUGGUCGACAGAACCCGCCCACUGCAGCAAGCUAAACCCACCGUACAAUAAAAAUCCAACAUCAUGACAUGGCAAUUUUAUCAUUAUCCAGCCUAUCAAGGCAAACAACAGUUUAUACAUUGUCAACACAAAUACCAAUUCAGCCAUUCAUGCCAAUAUUGCCAUAAGCCAAUCAAUUAGAACCAUAAAUUCACAAUACAUCAAAUGGUAUCCAAUUACUCUAUUUUCAAAGCCAUCAUUUAAUUUCAAGUCAAUUUAUAAAAUCAUUUUAUUUACACAUAUUUUGUUUAUAAAACCUAAAAAUUAACCAUUUAAACUCAUUUUUCAUAAAAUUCAGAAAAUCGAAUAAAAAGACCACUUUAGAUAAUUAAAAUGAUGAUAAGGUUACUCAUUAUUUCGGGAGUUGAAUUUUUAAAGUACUCCGACUAUCAAUCCUCGGGUACAAUUUCUUUGCCCUUAUCGGAGGAUUUACCACCUAGACAUAAUACACAAUCAAGCAAUUUACCACAUUGGUGCUAAACUGUUAUAAAACUAUAUGGAUGCAUGAAAUGGAAUGCAAAUUGUUCGGAUUAUCUUCUAAACAUGAUAUUCUACACAAAUUCAAUUGUGUACCUAAAUAAAACGGUAUUGGCCUAAUUCGAUCUAUCACUCAAUUAAUUGGCCAAUAUGCCCAAUUCCGCUCCAAUUAACUCCAUUUUUCUUCCAAUUCUCCAAACCAUCAAACACAAGUCAAAUAGCAUAAAAUUUAGCAAAAUCAUCUUCACAUUUUCUCUUGGGAAUUUUGGCCAUGGUGGGUGCAUCAACAUUAUGAUUUUUCCUACUUGAUUUUCUCACCAUAAUUCAUCAUUUCCUAGCCAAUUCACUUGAAAUAAAAUCAAAUCCACCAUCCACACUCUACAUGAAAAAUUCGGCCAAUGAUGGGUGAUGGGAGAAAAUGAAUUUUUCUUGCUUGAUUUUCAUGCUACACAUCACUAACUAACUAAAAACACUAAAAUAUCUUAAAAUCUAACCAAAUCAAGCAUCAAAACUUCUCCCCCCAUGUCCGGCCAGCAAGGGUAUCCUCAUGCAAACUUGAUUCUCAACCAUAGAAAAUGAAAAAAAAUGCAUAGGAAAGGUAGAUCACAAGCUAGAAUUGAAAAAUCUUACCUUUUUUCAAUUGUUUCCUUGAAUUUUCACACUUUUCCCUUGAAUUUUUCCACCUAGGGUUUUUGUUCUUCUUUACUUCUUUUGUUCUUCCUUUGGCCGGCCAUAAUGAAUAGAAAUAGGCUGAUUUUAUGCUAAUUUAUAAGGAAAAUAAUAAAUGGAUGAGAAUUUGACACAUGUCACCAUUCCAUUGGUCCAUGUGUCAUUCUUACUCAUUAAGCAAUCUCUCUCCACCAUAUAAAAUUUCUCAAUUAUCCAUGAUUAUAUUGGGUAAAAUCCAUGUGCUGGACAAGUGUUGGGUGUGGAAAAUUACCAUUUUGCCUCUAGGGUGGCAAAAUGACUAUUUUACCCCUAUGCUCGAAAAAAUGUUGAAAUUAAAAUUUUUCACUUCUCAAACUCAAAUUAUACUCCAAAUGAUCAAUCUUAGUCAAAACUUUCAUCCAACACUCACAUCUUUACCUCGAGUGGCAAAAUGACCAUUUUGCCCUUAAGUCAUGAAAAUUCCAAUUUGACUCUAAAUCGGUCCUUGAACUCCGAAUCACCAUUUUUAGUCAUUCUGGGAAUUUAAAAUUCUAAAUUUCAUCUUAAAUUCUCUAUUUGGACUAGUUCGAGGCUUAAUUCAACUUAUUUGCACUACUAGAUACACUACCGACUUUUGACGAUUUUUCGGGGCUUUCCAAGUAUGCAAGCAUUCUGUCAAUCACAUGAAUGACAUGGCUAAUAUUUUAUAAAGUCGGGCUUGACACUAUCCCUGAACAUGAAUUAGUUAAGAGAUUGCUUAGAUGCCUACCAAAAUCCUGAAAACCAAAAGUGACUGCCCUUAGAGAGGCUAAAGAUCUGAACAUCAUCACUCUCGAUGAGAUUUGUGGUUCUCUUCUCACUCAUGAGCUGGAGCUUAAGGAAAAAGAAGAAGAAGAUCGAAGGAAAGCAAAGGAAAAGAAAAAGAGCAUUGCAUUUAAAGCCAGCAUCCUUAAAGAAGAGUUGGAAGAGCUUUCUUGUGAUGAUGAUGAAGAAUUGGCUCUAGUUGCAAGAAAAUUCAGAAAACUAAUGAGCAAAAGAAAUCGAGGGCUAACUAGAAGAGGUUUCAAGAAAGACCAAGGUGCUUCAUGGAAAAUGAGGAAAAAAAAUGACUCCAACAAAAAGGAGGAGAUGAUUUGCUACGAAUGCAAGAAACCUGGUCACUUCAAGUCCGAAUGUCCAUUGCUAAAAGGUGAAACCCCCAAGAAAAAUAAGAAAUCCAAUAAAGCAAUGGUGGCUGCUGGAUGGUCGGACAGUGACACAUCAAGCUCUGAAACUGAUGAUGAAAAAUUUGAGGAAAAAGCAAACAUUUGUUCAAUGGCACAAGACGAUGAAACAGAGGUACCCUCAUCCCCCUGCAUUAAUUCUUAUGAUGAUUUACAGGAUGAGUAUGAGUGCCUUUAUGAUGAAUUUGAAAAACUUUUUUCAAAAUACAAAUCAUUAAAGAAAAAGGCGGCACUUCUUGAAAAUGAUUUGGAACAAAUCAAACAAGAUUUACUUCUGUUUUUUAGCAAAGAAAUAUUUUGCAAAUUGAGUUAAAACACUAAAAAACAGACUUUGAGGUUUUAAAACAAGAGCUGAAAAACAAGUUUGAAGCUUUGCAAAUAACUCUUGAUGAAAAUAUAGCUUUUAAAUGUUUGAAAAAUGAAUCAUCAAAAAGAGAUGUAUACCACAAUAAAAAUUCAGCUAAAGCAUUACCUAGAUGUUACAAAUGUGGUAAACAUGGUCAUUUAUCAUAUGAGUGUUUUAAGAAAAGAAUAGUGCAUAAAGUUAAGAAAAUCUGGGUUCCUAAGGGAUCCUUUGUUGCAACUAACACUCAAGGACCCAUCAAAGUAUGUGUACCUGUAAAGAAAAAUUGAAAUUUUGUUUUGUAGGUUGAGUUGGACUUAAAGGAGGCAUGUUCAAAAGCUCAACUCAAGAAGAAACAACCUUGGUACUUGGACAGUGACUGUUCACGGCACAUGAUAGGACAUGAAAUGCUGUUUGCUCAGCUGGAUAAGAGAAAGGGAGGAACCGUAUCCUUUGGAGAUGAUUCAAAAGGAAGAAUUCAUGGUGUAGGUAUGAUUGGUAAGAAUUCCCAAACUCAAAUUAGUCAUGUGUUAUUGGUUAAAGGCUUAAAGCAUAAUUUACUAAUUAUUAGUCAAUUAUGUGAUAAAGGAUUUAGAGUGUGCUUUGAUUCAACUAAGUGGGAAGUGAUAAAUAUGAAUACAAAUAAAAUCUCACUUAUAGGAAAUAGAUUGAAGAAUAUGUUUGUAAUUUUUCUUGAAGAUCUUAAAGUUAAUAGUGAAGUAUGUCUUAUUGCAAAUGCUAAAAAUGAUAGUUGGCUAUGGCAUAGGAGAUUAGGACAUGUGAGCAUGAAUACUAUGUCAAAAUUAAUUAAGAAAAGUCUUGUUGCUGGAUUGCCUGAGUUAAAUUUUGAAAAUGAUAGGAUAUGUGAUGCUUGCCAACUAGGAAAACAAGUUAGGACAUCCUUCAUGUCCAAGAAAAUCAUGUCAACAUCUAGACCUCUUGAAUUGCUUCAUAUUGAUCUAUUUGGUCCAAUAAGCACAACUGGCUUAAGAGAAAAAUCUUAUGGCUUUGUUAUAGUUAAUGACUAUUCUAGAUACACUUGGGUGUAUUUUCUUGCUCAUAACAAUGAUGCUCUACAUGCAUUCUUAAGUCAUUGUAAGAAAGUAGAAAAUGAAAAAGGACUAGCCAUAGUUAGCAUAAAGAGAGAUCAUGGAGGAGAAUUUGAAAAUGAUGAGUUUAAAAAGUUUUGCAAUGAAAAGGGGUUGGACCAUAAUUUUUCUGCACCUAGAACACCCCAACAAAAUGGAGUUGUAGAGAGGAAAAACCGAACGUGGAAAGAAAUGGCUAGGACCAUGCUAUGUGAGAAUAACCUACCUAAAAAUCUUUGGGCUGAGGCAGUAAAUACAGCAACUUAUAUUCUUAAUAGAGUCUUAAUAAGGCCUUUGAUUUCAAAGACUCCAUAUGAACUUUAUAAAGGUAGGAAACCAAAUAUUUCUCACCUGAGGAGUUUUGGUUGUAAAUGCUUUGUAUUGAACAAUGGAAAACAGCCCUAGGAAAGUUUGAUGCAAAGAGUGAUAAAGCAAUAUUUUUAGGAUAUGCUUUAAACUCAAAGGCGUAUAGAGUUUUUAACAAAAGGACCUUGACUAUUGAAGAAUCAAUUCAUGUACUUUUUGAUGAGUCAAAUGCAUUGCAAAAAGAAGUUCAUGAUGAUGAUGAUCAUGUAGAAGUCCUAGAAAAACAAAUAGAGGAAAUGAGCUUAGAAAACAACAAAAAUAAUGAAGAAAGCUCACUUAGAAGAGAAGAUGAAACUCCACCUUUAGAAGAUCUAUAAAGAGCAGAAAAUCAACAUGAUGAUCUACCAAGGAGUUGGAGAUUUGUGAGAGAUCACCCAUAAGACCAACUAAUUGGUGAGAUUUCUCAAGGAGUUAAAACUAGAAAAGCAAUUAAAGAAAUGUCACGACCCAAAUUUCGGGCCAUGAUCGGCGCAUAGGCCCAAUGGACGUAGUCCAUUAAGCCCAAGCAAGCCUAUUAAUCAGACGUGUUCAUCAUUCCAUCAUAAACUGCUAAGUCACAUUUCAUAAUUUAGGAUCAAAGUAAUAUUAAACAUUUCCACCUCAUAUUGGCAUACUAAACAAGUGUAUAUACGUUGUCUACAACACGUAUCUUAAUAAUUUACAUUAGGUUUGUCUAUACACAACAAAAGAAUACUCGACUUCCAAUGGAGAGACUCGGAUGAAUGUACAACUACUGAAUGCCGAGACACCUACCAAAAGAUGGAUACAAGUGUACAAGGAUACCUCGUCCUAGUUACCGGCUGCCUCGUGAUAUGAAAACAUGACGUUGAAAACGGUGAGUAUAAACCCAGUGAGUGAACAAGGAAGGGAACAAGCAAAAAAUAGGGAAGAAUUUGAAAUCAUGAUGCACUUAUUUUCAAACAAUAGCGAGAAUGCCUUUCCGCUGCAGUGACGGUGGGAUUUAAGUUAUUAACCAAAUGAGGGUUUCUUAACUGGCCGAGGGUUUCUCACCAAACCUCUUCAUUUUAAACUUAAAUCAUUGAUUCCGUAAUAUUGGAAGUCCAUGCUCAAUUAUGGUACCAAAGGAAUCGAAAAUAGGGCAACAAUUGAUCAAAAUGUGAGACAAAACAUAAAGUUUUUCAUUGCAGCAAGAAUGAAUCUCGCUGCAGUGAAAUUCCUGCCCCAAGAUAGAAACUUUCUCACUACAGCGAGAAUCCUACAGUAUUUUCUCGCUGCAGGGAGUUUCCGACCAUGCACCCUCUAAAAACCCAAAAGUUUCUCGCUACAGCGAAAAUGAAUCUCGCUGCAGCGAGAAACAGAGCACCAAGAAAAAGGUUUCCCUUCACUCAAUAAAAAGUCAUCCUGCUAAACCAACAAAAUCAACAUAAAACACAUGAAAAUUCCCAAAGUGCAAUGUAUCAAAUUUCACAUAUAUGUCAAUCAUUCCAAAAGUGCAAUGUAUCAAAUUUCACAUAUAUGUCAAUCAUGUAUCAUAUUCAUGAGCUUUCAUUUCAUAUGUAUAGAUAUGAAUAAUUACAUAGAUAAACAUCAAUAUCAUCAUAAUCACACCCAGCUCAUGUACAUCCCCCCACAUCGUGCACCUAGCCGGCGCCAUCGUGUGCAUCCCCCCACAUCGUGCACAAGGGCACUAUCAUCAUCCAUCUCUGACGCCACCAUCAUCACCGGCAUGUGCAUUCCCCCACAUCGUGCACACACAUGGUUACAGUCAUCAUACACAAUAUCAAUCAUCAUGUACAACACACAUAUAUAUAUAUAAUCAUAAUGCAAUAGUUCAUGAAUCCAUAGCAAUCACACAUCACAACAUCAAACCAUUUAGCAAAAGCUUGUUCCCAAGGCACUUGUGUUUAUUAAAAACUUGAUAAUUCAUUCAAAUGUGUGGUAAAUACAUUAUAUUUCCCAAAAUAAGUUUUGAAGGCAGUUCACUCACCGGUAUAUUAUUGAGCCUUUAGUUGACUCUAAUUCCCCUAAUGAUCCAAUUCAGGUGAUGGGGCUUCGUUAGAACCUACCAUCAAAUUAAUAUUACCAUAAUGCCAAUUCUUAAUUAUAAAUCCUAAAAGCUAUCCCUUAGCAAGCUUUCAAUUGCCACUUUAAAUGGCUAUCUAUGUUCACUAUCUUAAUCACUAUAAAAUGAACGAACAUCCUCAACAAUAAAACAGCUCAUAAUCCCAAUUACUAGCCAUUAUCGACAGCUAAAAGCCAAGCUUAGUUCAUCACUCACCCUAGGGUUUCUUUGUAGUUGAAUUCUCUUCCAAUAGCCUCCAAACAAAUGGGGUAAUUCUCUCUUUUUCUCUCUCUAGAAUGCCCAACUAGUGAGAGAAAGUAUGGAAAUAAGAUUUAUCAAGGGUUUUGAAGUGAGAGAGUGAAAGAAUAUAAGGGUUCUAGUCAAAAAGGCACAAAGAUAUGAAAACUAGAGCUAGAGAGAGAAAAUUAUGCAAGCUCCAUAUCAAGCUUCCAUGGAGGAUGGAAGCAACAUGAGAUGGGAAGCAGAGAAGAAGAAGAAGUUGCUGGAAGGAGAACGUAUUUAUAGCCCAAGUUUAUCCAUUCCCUUAAAAAUUACGAAAAUACCCUUAGCAAGUUAGCUUAUCCUUCUCCACCCCUAUAUGAAAUCUUUUUACUCUCUUGACAUUGGGACAAGGUUCAUAAUGGUCUAGACAUGCUCCAGUUUACAAAACUUAAAAAAUUUUGACCCUUGGUGAAAAAUGACCAUUUUGCCCCUAUUGUGAAAAUUAUUGUCAUUUCUAGUUUUCUUUGUGUUUUCAUCAUUACACAUCAUUUAUGCGGUCUUAUGCGUAUUUAGACCUUAAAAUAUCAUAAAACUUUCUUCUGGGAGCUUAUUAGAGAAAAUGACGAAACUAACCCUAGCUGUGUUAUUGUGUCUAUGCCUAGUUACGAGCCUAUAGAGGUUGAGGUCUCAUAUUCUCCCCCACUUAAAGAAAUUCGAUCCUCGAAUUUAAAUUCAACUAUAAGGUAGCAUACCUCUAUGCAUCAAAGAGAUGGGGAUACUUUGUUCGCAUCUCCUCAGCUUCCCAUGUUACCUCUUCGUUGGUGUGGUUUCACCACAACACUUUCACUGAGGCUACAUACUUUGAACAAAGAUUUUUGACUUGUCAAUCAAGGAUAGCUACCGGUUGCUCCUUAUAAGUUAGAUCAUCCUGGAACUGAAUGGUUUCAUAUCGUAUUACAUGUGAUGGAUCUGAGUUGUACUUCCUAAGCAUGGACACAUGAAACACGGGGUGAAUAUUCGAAAGGUCUGGCGAUAAUGCCAAACGAUAUGCCACUACUCCAACCCUUUUUAGGAUCUCAAAGGGUCCUAUAUACCGAGGGCUUAAUUUUCCUUUCUUGCCAAACCUCAUUAUCUCUUUAGUUGGUGAGACCUUUAAAAAUACAUGAUCCCCCACCUAAAACUCGAAGUCUCUCCAUCGGUUAUCAGCAUAUGACUUUUGUCUACUUUGUGCUGUUAACAUAUUCUGAUGGAUCAUAUGUAUCUUCUCAAUGGCGUCCUGCACCAACUCAAGCCCCAAAAGUUUCCUUUCUCCCACCUCUAGCCAUCCAAUAAGUGACUUGAACCUCCGUCCAUAUAAUGCCUUAAAUGGUGCCAUUUGGAUGCUAGCUUGGAAACUGUUGUUGUAGGCAAAUUCCACUAAGGGCAGAUAUUGAUCCCACCUGAUCACAAGGUCUAUCACAUAGGCCCUCAACAUAUCUUCCAAUGUUUGUAUCGUCCGUUCAGACUGUCCAUCAGUUUGAGGGUGGAAAGUUAUGCUGAAGUGCAACUUAGUGCCUAACGCUUCCUGCAACUUUCCCCAAAACCUACUGGUGAACUAAGCUCCUCUGUCAGAUACUAUAGAAAUGGGGAUACCAUGCAGCUGUACUAUCUCAUCCACAUAAACUCGAGCAUACUGGGUAGCCCCGUAAAUAGUCUUAACUUGAAGGAAAUGGGUUGACUUCGUUAACCGAUCUACUAUGACACAGAUCAAGUCAUAACCCACAGUAGUCCGAGGUAAACUUGUUACAGAAUCCAUGGCAAUAUGUUCCCACUUCCACUAGGGCACUGAUAACGGCUGUAGUAGCCCUGUAGGUCUUUGAAGCCUUAACCUGCUGACAAACUAGGCACUUGGAGAUGAACUCAGCUACAUCUUUCUUGAGUCCUUCCCACCAAUACACCUCUUUCAAAUCUUGAUACAUCUUUAAAGCCCUUGGAUGUACCACAUAGGCUGCCAUGUGUGCUUGCUCCAAUAUUUCUCUCCUCAAUCCAUCACUAUCAGGCACAUAAAGUCUGAUUCCAUACCUCAAUACUCCAUCUGUGCCCUUAGAAAACAUUUCCCUUUUCCUUCCUUGAGGAUCCUCUAAGGCCUUGGCUAUGAGCUCAUCUUUACUUUGUGCUUCCUUAAUCCGGUCUAUUAAGAUAGGCCUUACUUUAAAAUGUGCUAGCAAUGCAUUUGUCUCUGAAACUUCCAAAUGCACACUCAUGUCUCCCAAGCUAUGGAUCUCCUUAAUUAAGGAUCUUCUAUCUGUAGAAAUAUGUGCCAGACUCCCCAUUGAUUUUUGACUCAAGGCAUUCGACACUACAUUUGCCUUACCGGGAUGGUAGAGAAUAGUACAAUCAUAAUCCCUUAGCAACUCCAUCCACCUACGUUGUCGCAAGUUAAGAUCCCUUUGUUGAAAUAUAUACUUCAGGCUUUUAUGGUCCGUAUAUAUCUCACAAGUCUCACCAAACAAGUAAUGCCUCCAUAUCUUUAAGGCAAACACGAUUGCUGCCAUUUCCAAAUCAUCUGUGGGGUAAUUCUACUCAUGCCUUUUAAGUUGCCUUGAUGCAUACGCAAUCACCUUUCCCUGCUGCAUUAAUACACACUUUAAACCAACUCGCGAUGCCUCACAAAAUACCGUAUAACCCCUUGUGCCUUGCAGUAGGCUUAAUACUGGAGUUGUGGUGAGAUAUGCCUUAAGCUUCUCAAAGCUAUCCUCACAAGUAUCAGACCACUCAAAUUUUGUAUCUUUACACGUCAGCUUAGUCAGAGGGGUAACUAUUUUGGAGAAGUCCUUCACGAAAUGAUGAUAAUAGCCGGCAAACCCAAAAAGCUUCUAAUCUUCGUAACUGAGGUUGGCCUUGGCCAUUUUUCCACUGCUUCAACUUUCUUUGAAUCAACUUGUACCCCGUCGAUACCACAUGUCCUAAGAAUGCAACGUUUUCAAGCCAAAACUCACACUUGGAGAACUUGGCAUACAAUCGAUGUUCUCUCAAAAUUUGGAGCACUAUCUUAAGAUGCUACUCAUGUUCCUCCCUACUCCUCGAGUAGAUCAAGAUAUCAUCAAUAAACACUACCACGAAUUUGUCCAAAUAAGGCUUGAACACUUGGUUCAUCAAAUCCAUAAAGGCCACAGGAGCAUUCGUGAGCCUGAAUGACAUCACAAAGAACUCAUAGUAGUCAUACCUUGUUCGAAAUGCGGUCUUUGGUACAUCUUCAUUUCGGAUCCUCAAUUGAUGGUACCCAGAUCGUAAAUCUAUCUUAGAGAAACAUUGUGCUUCUUGUAGUUGAUCAAAUAAAUAAUCUAUCCUUGGAAGAGGAUACUUAUUCUUCACUGUCACUUUAUUAAGCUGUCGAUAGUCAAUGCACAACUUAAGUGACCCAUUUUCUUCUUCACAAAUAACACCGGUGCUCCCCAUGGGGAUAUGCUAGGACGGAUGAAGCCUUUGUCCAAUAAAUCUUCUAAUUGAUCCUUAAGCUCUUUAAGCUCCGUAGGUGCCAUACUAUAUGGGGGUAUGGAUAUAGGUCUAGUGUCGGGAAUAAAAUCAAUGCAAAAUUCAAUCUCCUGCUCGGGAGGCAAACCUGGUAGCUCCUCGGGAAAUACAUCCACGAACUCCUUCACCACCGACACUUGACUUUUAUCUCCAACCUUCACCUGAGUAUCCAUUACCACAACCAAGUAACCUAUACAACCCUGUCGUAAUAAUCUUCUAGCAGAUAUGACCGAUAUCAAAUUGGUUGGAGCAUUACUCUUAUCCCCUUGAAUAUUAAAUGAUGGUUCAUUAGGGAAAUUAAAUCUAACUAAUUUAUGAUAGCAGUCCACACUAGCAUGGCAAGGUGAUAACUAAUCCAUCCCUAGAUCACAUCAAAGUCUAAGGUGUCUAGCACCAUUAGAUUCACCAACGUAUCCUUGUCCUUGACUCACACUACACAGGAUUCAUAUUCCCAUUCGGCCACAAAUCCCUCCUUUAAAGGAGUAGACACCACUAAUUGUUCCUCCUCCUAACACCAUCUCUACCCAACCGAGAUGCAAAACAUGGAGAGAUAAAAGAGUGGGUAGCACUAGGAUCAAAUAGUACUCGAACAUUCAUAUUACAAAUUGAGAGAAUACUUGAGACCAUUGCAUUGGAUGUCUAAACCUCCUGUUGUGUUAAAGCAAACACCCUUGCUUGGGCCAUACUGGCAGAACUUUGACGUUCGGACCCAGAUGGUCUGCCCUAGGAAGAAGUACCAGCACCUCUACCUCUAGAUCUAUUAGCUUCCCUAUCAGACAAGGCAGCGACUGAAGGAGCAGAUGAAGCUGGUUGGGUGGAGCCGCGAGUAGAACCUUGCAAUUGAUGAGCCAUCGGGAAAUUCCUCUUAAUAUUUCUAGGUUGACCACACCCAUAACAAACUCUUUCCUUACGGAAGCAUCGUCCACUAUGUCGUCUCCCACAAAUAUCACAAGAAUGGGUGACUUGACUACUUUGUCUAAAAUCUUGCCUCUUCCCAGAACUAAAGGUUCUCUAUCCCGCCCUAACAUUAGCACCAGGCGAGUCACUCCCCCUCUAGGGCAAUCGUGAGUCCCUUUGUGGACCUUGAUGGCUAGAAGACGAAACACCACUACUAAAAUCUCUACGGCCUUGAUAACCCUCUAUCUUGGCCCUUUUUGCUCUAUCCCUCGCAGCCCUACUCUCACUGGUCCUCAUAUCGAUGCGUUGAGCACAAUCCACUGUUGCUGAAUAGGUAGUGAAAUCUCGAGAUGCCACAGCCUUAAACAACGGCUCCACUAGCCCAUCCACAAACCUCUGAAUCUUCAUCUCCUCGGUAGAAAUGAGAUAAGGUGCAUAACGAGCUAGCUGCGUAAAUUUGAUGUCGUACUCUGACACCGUCAUAGUCGAAGUCUGUACCAAAGUCACAAACUCCCUAGCUCGGGCAUUACGUACACUAAGUGGUAAAAAUUGAUCUAAAAAGGCUGCACUAAACUCACUCCAAGUCAACGGGGCUGCAUCCAUUGGUCUGCCUCUACAUAGAGAACUAUACCACUCUUGCGCCAUGUUCUCUAGUUGGAAGGUGACUAACUCGACUGAUCGAGCACUAGAACAUCAUAAGGCUUUACAAAUCUUCUCCAUCUUAUCUAAGAAAACUUUGGGUUUCUCUGAUGCAUCAGACCCUGAAAAUGACGGAGGUUUAAGCUUGAGAAAAUUAGGAAGAGAAAUAUCUAGAUGUCCCCUCUCGACCUCAUGAUGUUGGCGAUCGACCUAUCCUUAGGAGCUAGGGGAUUCUUGUAUUGUAGGUCUCACCUCUACUACCCUCUGUAUAUCCUCCAUAUAGGUCUCCAUCAUCUCUAGAAUCCAGUUGACUCCUUGUAGGCCUGCCGCCAAAUCCUCAAUGGUAAUGCCCCAAAUUGGGUGUCUAUCUACGUCACCUGAGGACUGUCCCUCCUCUUGCCUAUUCACAAGCGUGUCCACCCUCACUGGCUUAGUGGCUCUGCAACGUCUACCUCGGCCCCUCAAGGUGGAUGCCCGUGGCCUAUCUGCCAUCUCAGUAGGAGCAUCUUGCUCCCCUAUCCGUCUUGAGGUGGCUCGUGUUUUAGGUGGCAUUCUUACCUAGACAAGAGCAAACACCUGUUAUUAAACACAUUUCAUAAUCAUACUAAAUGCAAAAAGGUGGUUUCUAAGAUAGGGAAUUUAUGUGGUCACUUGGUUGUAAAAUGUGUCGCAGUUCACACUUCACAACUAAGGUUUCCACAUAAAGACCCAACACUACGCUGGACCAACAAAAGAAGUCCUAGGACCUAGACAACCUAGGGUUCUGAUACCAACAUUGUCACGACCCAAAUUCUGGGCCAUGACCAGCGCAUGCGCCCAAUGGACGUAGUCCACUAAGCCCAAGCAAGCCUAUUAAUCUGACGUGUUCAUCAUUCCAUCUUAAACUGCUAAGUCAUAUUUCAUAACUUAGGAUCAAAGUAAUAUUAAACAUUACCACCUUAUACUGGGAUACUAAACAAGCGUAUAUACGUUGUCUACAACACGUAUCUUAAUAAUUUACAUUAGGUUUGUCUAUACACAACAAAAGAAUACUCGGCUUCCAGUGGAGAGACUCAGACGAAUAUAUAGCUACUGAAUGUCGAGACACCUACCAAAAGAUGGAUACAAGUGUACAAGGACACCUCGUCCUAGUUACCUGCUACCUCGUGAUCUGAAAACAUGAAGUUGAAAACGUUGAGUAUAAACCCAAUGAGUGAACAAGGAAGGGAACAAGCAACAAUAGGGAAGAAUUUAAAAUCAUGAUGCACUUGUUUUAAAACAAUGCAAUUUAAUUUCAUUCAUAUUAAAAUCCCCUCAUCACACCCUUACAUGAUUAAUCACUUGGUAAUGAUGAACCCAUACAUAACAAAUAAUUUGAAAAAUGAAGGCUUUAGUGAUACACAAAUGAGUCAAAUGCGAGAAUGCCUUUCUGCUGCAGCAACGUUGGGAUUUAAGUUAUUAACCGAACGAGGGUUUCUCACCAAACUUCCUCACUUUAAACUUAAAUCAUUGAUUCCGUAAUUUUGGAAGUCCCUGCUCAAUUAUGGUACCAAAGGAAUGGAAAAUAGGGCAACAAUUGAUCAAAAUUUGAGACAAAACAGAAAGUUUUUCGCUGCAGCGAAAAUGAAUCUUGCUGCAGCAAAAUUUCUACCCCAAGAUAGAAACUUUCUCUCUGCAACGAUAUUCAUUCUUGCUGCAGCAAGAAUGCUAUAGUAUUUUCUUGCUGCAGCGAGUUUUUGGCCAGUCACCCUCCAAAAACUUGAAAGUUUCUUGCUGCAGCGAAAAUGAAUCUCGCUGCAGUGAGAAACAGAGCACCAAGAAAAAGGUUUCCCUUCACUAAAUAAAAGGUCAUCCUGCUAAACCAACAAAAUCAACAUAAAACACAUGAAAAUUCCCAAAGUACAAUGUAUCAAAUUUCACAUAUAUGUCAAUCAUAUUUCAUAUUCAUGAGCUUUCAUUUCAUAUGUAUAGAUAUGCAUAAUUACAUAGAUAAACAUCAAUAUCAUCAUAAUCACACCAGGCUCAUGUACAUUCCCCCCACAUCGUGCACAUAGCCGACGCCAUCAUGUGCAUCCCCCCACAUCGUGCAUAAUUAGUACCAUCGUGUACAUCCCCCCACAUCGUGCACACGGGCACUAUCAUCAUCCAUCUCUGACGCCACCAUCAUCAUCGGCAUGUGCAUUCCCCCACAUCGUGCACACACACGGUUGUAGUCAUCAUACACAAUAUCAAUCAUCAUGUACAACACACACACACAUAUAUAUAUAUAUCAUCAUAAUGCAAUAGUCCAUGAAUCCAUAGCAAUCACAUAUCUCAACAUAAAACCAUUUAGCAAAAGCUUGUUCCCAAGGCACUUGUUUUUAUUAAAAACUUGAUAAUUCAUUCAAAUGUGUGGCAAAUACAUUAUAUUUCCCAAAACAAGUUUUGAAGGCAGUUCACUCACCGGUAUAUUGUUAAGCCUUUAGCUGACUCUAAUUCCCCUAAUGAUCCAAUUCGGGUGAUAGGGCUUCGUUAGAACCUACCAUCAAAUUAAUAUUACCAUAAUGUCAAUUCAUAAUUAUAAACUUUAAAAGCUAUCCCUUAGCAAGCUUUCAAUUGCCAUUUUAAAUGGCUACUUAUGUUCACUAUCUUAAUCACUAUAAAAUGAAUGAACAUCCUCAACAAUAAAACAGCUCAUAAUCCUAAUUACUAGCCAUUAUCCGUAGCUAAAAACCAAGCUUAGUUCAUCACUCACCCUAAGGUUUCUUUGUAGUUGAAUUCUCUUCCAAUAGCCUCCAAACAAAUAGGGUAAUUCUUUUUUUCUCUCUCUAGAAUGCCCAACUAGUUAGAGAAAGUAUGAAAAUAAGAUUUAUCAAGGGUUUUGAAGUGAGAGAGUGAAAGAAUACAAGGGUUCUAGUCAAAAGGGCACAAAGAUAUGAAAACUAGAGUUAGAGAGAGAAAAUUAUGCAAGCUCCAUAUCAAGCUUCCAUGGAGGAUGGAAGCAACGUGAGAUGGGAAGAGGAGAAGAAGAAGAAGCUGCUGGAAAUUCAAGAAGCUGUUGGAAGGAGAAGGUAUUUAUAGCCCAAGUUUAUCCAUUCCCUUGAAAAUUACGAAAAUACCCUUAGUAAGUUAGCUUGUCCUUCUCCACCCCUAUAUGAAAUCUUUUUACUCUCUUGACACUGGGACAAGGUCCAUAAUGGUCUAGACAUGCUCGGGUUUGUGAAACUUGAAAAAUUUUGACCCGAGAAGAAAAAUGAUAAUUUUGCCCUUGUUGUGAAAAUUAUUUUCAUUUCUAGUUUUCUUCAUGUUUUCAUCAUUACACAUCAUUUAUGUGGUCUUAUGCCUAUUUAGACCUUAAAAUAUAAUAAAACUUUCUUCUAAGAGCGUAUUGGACAAAAUGACGAAACUACCCCUGGCUUGUGUUAUUGUGUCUAUGCCUAGUUACGGGCCUAUAGAGGUUGAGGUCUCACAAGAAACUUGUGAGUUUUCAGCUUUUAUAUCUCAAAUUGAACCUAAAAACUUUGAAGAAGCUGAAAAAGAGGAAAGUUAGAUAAUGGCCAUGCAAGAAGAACUUGAUCAAUUCACAAUGAGUCAUGUAUGGUCAUUGGUACCUAGACCUUCAAAUCACCCUAUUGUUGGUACAAAAUGGGUGUUUAGAAAUAAGGUAGAUGAGCAAGGAAAUGUAGUUUGAAAUAAAGUUAGGUUGUAGCAAAAGGCUAUAACCAAGAAGAAGGAAUAGAUUAUGAUGAAACUUUUGGUCCGGUCACUAGGAUUGAAGCUAUAAGGUUGUUGCUAGCUUUUGCAUGUUUCGUGGAUUUUAAAUUGUUCCAAAUGGAUGUCAAAAGUGCAUUCUUAAAUGGAUUAAUUCAAGAGGAAGUAUAUGUAGAACAACCACUUGGUUUUGAAUACUUUGAAAAUUUUGAUCAUGGUUUCAAACUUCAUAAAGCCUUGUAUGGAUUAAAACAAACUCCUAGAGCUUGGUAUGAAAGGCUUUCAAAAUUUCUAGUUGAGAAAGGCUAUGAUAGAGGUAGCAUCGAUACUACAUUGGUCAUUAAGAGAUAUCUAAAUGAUUUAAUUAUUGUGCAAAUAUAUGUGGAUGAUAUUGUAUUUGGUGCAACUAAUGAAGCUUUAUGCAAGAACUUUGCAAAGGAAAUGCAAGGUGAAUUUGAGAUGAGCAUGAUGGGAGAGUUGAAGUACUUCCUUGGUCUUCAAAUCAAACAAAGUGAGGAAGGAAUCUUCAUCAACCAAGAAAGAUAUACUUAAGAUAUGCUCAAGAAAUUCGAUAUGCUAAAGUUGAAAUCAAUUUCCACACCAAUGAGUCCAUCCACCAAACUCGACUUAGACGAAAAAGGUAAAGAUGUAGAUCAAAAGCUCUAUAAAGGUAUGAUCGGCUCUCUUCUCUACUUAACAGCAAGCAGACUAGAUAUUCAGUUUAGUGUGUUCCUGUGUGCUAGAUUUCAGUCACAGCCUAAAGAAUCACACCUAACAACUGUUAAGAGAAUUUUUAGAUACCUCAUAGACACUCAAGAACUAGGAAUAUGGUACUCUAGAAACUCAACUCUUAGCUUAGUUAGAUACUCUGAUGUUGACUUUGCUGGCAGCAGAACUGAUAGGAAAAGCACUAAUGAAACAUGCCAAUUUUUAGAAAGGAUGCUUUUGUCUUGGUCCAGCAAAAAGCAGAACUUAGUGGCACUGUCUACAGCAGAGGCUGUAUAUGUAUCAUUAGGUAGUUGCUGUGCACAAAUCCUUUGGAUCAAGCAACAAUUAAAAGACUAUGGAAUAACUAUGUAUAAUGUACCGAUAUACUGUGAUAAUACAAUUACAAUCAAUAUAUCAAAAAAUCCUGUGCAGCAUUCUAGGACAAAGCACAUUGAAAUUAGACACCAUUUUAUUAGAGACCAUGUGAUGGAAAAUGAUAUUAAGAUAGAAUUUCUGAAUACCUUACAUCAAUUAGCAGACAUUUUACCAAACCUCUGAGUGAAGAUAAAUUCUGUGACAUUAGAAGAAAUUUAAGGAUGAUCAGUGUGAAGGAAUUAUAAGAAAACCUUUGGCUUUCUCAUAAGAAACAGAAUGCUUUCAAUCGACUAAGGAUUUCUUAGUCAACUAAGAGUGGUCUAACAGUCUUAAAUAAUAAGACUCAGUAAGAAUAGAGAAAGAAGAGUGAAAUGUUGUAAAAAUAUGUGUUUACCAGGUGCAAAAAGAAUGAAGAAAAAUUGUCAAGGGUAAAUUACCAAAUUUUAGAGGGAAGUUUGAAAUUAUUAAGAAAUAAAAUAUGGCAGUACUUAAAGGAAGAUAGUUUUUCUUUGCAAUAACUACAGACUACCUCUCCUCCUCUUUCCCUUGAAACCCGCUAUUCUAGAAACAAAAACCUAAAUCUCACUAGUUGCCUUUGAAACCGACUCAAACGCUCAAAAAUUUCUACAACCAACAUGGCUAGAACAUCUCAAAGCAAAGAGAUAUUAGAAAAGAAGAAAGGGAAAAGGCCAAUAGAGGAAGAAACAGGAACUGAAAGUGUGAAGAAAAAGCUGAAAAUCAUGCCUGGUUCAGUGAAAGAUAUAUCCGAGAAGCUUAGAGAAAAGAAGCAGAAAACUAGUAAGAAGAAAGAAACAGAGCCCUCACUCCACAAAGGUACUAGUUCUUUUUCUUCAAAAUUUAGGAAUAAGUUGCCUGAGUAUAGAUUCAAAAAUAUCGAGAAUGCACCAAUCUCUUGUGGAAAAUUCAUUGACUGGAAGAGUUUUAAAGAAAAUUUAGAAUAGAUCUUACAGUCCAAGUCUAUCGAAGUACUUUGAUGAACUAAAACUAAAAGGGUACAACACCUUUAAGAAUAGAUCUUACAGUCCAAGUCUAGUCAAAGAAUUUUAUUAUGGAAUUGCGUUCAAAGAAAAGGAAUUAAUAGAUUCUGAUGACUAUGUAAAAGAUGGUUUGAAUGUUUAUCCAAAUGGAAAAUAGUUUGUUAUGACUGCUGAGGAUUUAGGGAACCUGCUGAAAAUAGAGUAUGAAGAAGGUGAAUUUGAACUGCCUGAAAAUUAUAAUCCAUCCUCAUUAUGGGAGAUCAUCACUAGAAAGAAAGAAAAAUACUAUUCGAAAAGUAAUUUUGGUUUGAUAACCAACCCUUAGAUCAGAAUUUUACACUAUUUCAUAGCAGCAAAUAUACAAGGCAAAAGUGGAAGCCUUAGCUACAUCAGCCUCUAGGACCUUUGGCUGAUGGAGCAUGCUUUCAAUGGAGUGUCUCUAAAUUUGAAAAGAUUUAUGAUUGAGAAAAUGAGAAGUACCUGCAGACUUGAUAAGGUAAAUCUGCUGUAUGGGAAUGUGAUUACAUCCCUUGUGCAGAAUAAGGGAAUAUGGGCAAAGAGGUAUGAUAUGGACCUGGUAAAACCACAGAUCAAGCUAUUCAGUAUGGCAGCUUGGUCAAAAUGGGGUACGUGCUCGAUGGAGAAAAGUUCAUUAAGACCUCUAAAAUUGGCCCAAGAAAAGAUCAUAGUCUACCUGCUCAACCUGAAGAAGCUCCUUCCAGAUUUUUGAAUGAGAUGAUUUUUAAUUUGCUUAUGAGGAUUUAUGGUAAGUUGACUGACCAAGGAGUGAAGUUAUAGAAAAUGGAAAAUAAAAUCACUGAGUUGGAAAACAAGCUGAAGAAAAAGGAAAACAUGCCAUCUGAACCUGUGGCUGCAGACAAUUCUACCACAUCCAGCACUAAACCUGUAUAACAAGGUGCUAAAAGUUUAGCUAAGUCAGUAGAAAAAUCAGCUCCUCAUGUUGGAAGUUCUGGCAUUCAGGCUGAAGGUUCCACCCACAAAUUUGCCAGUCCUGCUCUACAGACUAAAGACUCACACCAAGGGGUUGAUCAUAUAAAUGGUUAAGGAGGGAGAAGCUGAAAAGGACACUUCUAGGACAGAAACUCAAAAAGCUAGUGAAGGUGUAGAAAAAGGAAAGAAAUCUGCAUCAACUGCCAGAGUAAAGAUAAAAGCAGGGAAAGCCAAAGACACUGCAGCACCACCAACUGAAGAAAAACUACCAACCAAAGGCAGGAAGACAAUGGCAACCAAGACAGAUUUUGUUAAAAGAAGAAAGUCUUCUAAGUUGGCAGAGAAAUCCAAACCAGUUUCAGUUUCCUCUCCAAUCCCUGUCUCAGACAAGUCAUCCCCAAAACUUCAACGACCCUUCCUCGGUCUCUACUAGCGUUCGAGACCUCCGAAAUAUCUCGUCAAGUCCCGAACAAGCCUUAAUGAAAUUUCUCAAUAACUAAUUGUACACUUUUACUAAACCAUAUUAAUGUUUGAACCAUAUAUGUUCAUAACGUGAAUUCAACAACAAGCAUAGCCAUUAAAAUUUGACUUAAAGUCAUCAUAUCAUAAUUAAAUACAUUAAGUUCAAAAAAAUCCCAAAUUUUCGUUUAUAUCAAAACUAAUAUUUGUUUACAUAGUAAAACCAAGUACUACAACUCAACCUCUAACAACGGAGCAACUCGAGAUAAAAUGCUAUGAGAUGCCUUUACCUAUCUGCGAUGAACCAUAUGCAACAACGAUUACACGCUAGACCAAUCCCUGUCUGCAAAAAGGGGAAAAAGAAGGGUGUGAGUCUCACAGACUCAGUGAUCAUCGACUCCGUGAGCAGAGCAUAGAUGGGAAACAAGCAAAUAGCAGAUCAGUUGAAUAUUAAAAUGCAGGAUUAUGAAAACAAUUUAUUUCAAAUGGGAGUUUGUGCCUUAUGUGAAAUACCGAGGAAUUCUUACGUAUUAUAAACAUUUCAAUUAAUAAAUCAACCAAGGUAGAUAAAAAUUUUUGCUACAAAACAGAUCAAUAACCUUAUUCAAGUCAAUCAUUUGAAAUAUUGAAUUAAAACAAUUUUACAUAAAGAAAAUUCCAUCGUCAAAAUCAAUUGACAUUUUAUUCAAAUCAAAUCAAUGUAUUCCUCAAUCUCCCAUGAAAUCGAAUGUUAAUCAAACUCAUACGUUAAAUCACAAAUCACCUCGCACUCGAGGAGUUAAAAUUCAUUUCAUUGUAAAAAUAAGGGGAGCUGCAGAAAAACCUUUAAAUUUCGUUUUCACCAUGCAAGGAAAUAUGAGUUUGUAACCCAGAGAUGCCACUCUCGAGUAGGGAAUGAAAGUAAAUCUGUGGUCCCGCUACCACGUAAUAACAUUCGGGAGCAUCGCUUCCACUAGAUUCCCAUGUGCCACAAUAGUCUCACGAUGUUGGCCGACAUCGGAGAAUCAAGUGAUCGCAACCGCAUAAUCAUUUGGUGGCUUAGCCACUCAUACAUAUAUCACAGGUCCUAGCCCCAACCACGCCUAACCGCCCGUCGGUGACCUAAUGGUUCUCUAGCUAGAGCUCACUCGUGCACGAGGGUCACACUUAGCCGAUGUGACAUUCGACCUACUCUCGACACUCUCGGUUUGUAAAACCAUUUUUCAAUUGUGUUAUGUCCUUAAAAGCUCGUUUCAAAAUUAUUUUCCAAAGCAUUCGUCACAAGGUUCGAUAAAAUUUACCAUUUUCUCAAAAUAUAUUUAUACAUGAAUUUCAGAACAAUAAUUUGCAUGGUGAAUAAGCAAUAUAACCAUGAAUGCACACUGCACAUAUAUAUAAGUCACAUUUUGAUGUAAAACAGUGUGAAGGGCUUGCUUCCCGAUUUUUAAAACACUUUACACAUAAUUUAUACAUAUAUAUAUUCAAAACAAUUUCUAAACAUAAUUUGCAAUCACAAUUACUAAGAUUGCUACCAGCACAUGCUAUCCUCAAUUUUCACAUUUAAAAUAAAUUAUACGUAUGGAUAUAUAUUUAUGGAAACUUUAAAAUUGGCACCCCCUACUCACCACACAAUAGCGGGAUGUUACGUCAUUAUUAAUUCAAAGACAUAUUAAGCUACUCCUUUUUAAUGAUCGUUCGUUAUUUCCUUCAGCCUUUUACCACAUUGCACCACUUAUUUAUUUCUCCAAAAUAUUAAAACCCACAUACUCAAUAUAUUUAUAUAUAUUAUUUUAUUCUAGCAUCAUUAUUAUAUAUAUAUAUAUAUUUUUUCUUUUCUUUUCCUUUCUUUCUCUUUCGCUCUCUCCCGUCGGUCAGCAACAUCUUGCUUGUCUUUCUUUUUCCUUUCUUACAUGCACAAGCAUGCCACAAUUUCCUCCUCUCUCUCCCUCUCAUCGCCGGCAAUAAUUUCUUGCUUCUUUCAACCAAAAAUUUUCAGCAGCCAAAGUUGCUCAUAUCAACAUCAAAAUCAGCAGCCAAGCUGCUCUAUUUUUUUCCUCAAAAAUCAGCAGCCAAGCUACUCUAUUUUUCCUCAAAAAUCAACAGCCAAGCUGCUCUAUUUUUUUCCUUGAAAAUCAACAGCCAAGCUGCUCUAUUUUUCCUCAAAAAUCAACAGCCAAGUUGCUCUAUUUUUUCCUCAAAAAUUAACGGUCAAGCUACUCUUUUUUUCCUAAAAAAUCAGCAACUAAGUUGCUCUAUUCUCCCUCAAAAAAUCAGCAGCUAAGCUGCUCCUUUCCUCCCUCAAAACUUGGCAGCCAAAGCUUCAAAGAUCAGCAACCAAAACCACACCUUCAGCCUUCAAAAUCAGUAGCCAAAACCUCACCUUAAGCCUUCAAAAUUAGCUCCUUCUCCUCUCCCUUUCUUUCUCACCACUCGACUUUCUCUUCUUUUCUUUUUGCUCUUUUUGUUCUCCUUUUGCUCUCUUAUGCCCGACACCUUCUUCUUGUUUCUUUUUCUUCUCUUCCACUAACCGACUUCUUUCUUUCUUCUUCUUUACUUUAUUUAUUUACUUAUUUUUAUAUUUUUUUUCUCCAUUUGUCUUCCAAUUUAGCCGCCCCCCCCCCUCCAUCNUUUAGCCGCCCCCCCCCCCUCCAUCUUUCUUUCUUUCUUUCUUCACCUUUUUCCACAUGGCCGGCCCCCCUUCCAUCAUAUAAAAUAAAGAGUUUUUGACUCUUUUUAUUGACCACAUGGGCGGCUGCCCAUGUUGGUCUUUCUUUAUUUUUUUUUAUAUACAUACUUGUAUUAUUAUUUUACUAUUUGUUUAUUUUAUUUCUUCCAUUUAAUUCCACUACAUAAUCCUUCAACCUUUAUAUUUUAAAUUCGAUCCUUUUGAUACGUCUAAAAAUUUGAAUUUUCAUCUAUCUUUCUUCCUCUGCACGUGUACCACUAAAAUAUCAAAAUUACACUUCAACGCGGUGUUACCAUAAUAUUUAAAUAUUUACUUAUCCGCUUUGGCUCGACUUAGCAAAACACACGUAUUUCACUUUCGUCGUUCAUCUCCAAAAACUUAUUUGUAUUUCUUCUCCCCCACUUGGAUCAACCAUAUGAUCCUUCCUCAUGACUGAUUUUGAUUUCGACAUCCGAUUAAAUAUUAAUAUUUUAAUAUUAUUUUAUUUUAAAAGUUUCCUCUUGUCUCCUUGGUACCUAAAAUACCUUAUUAUGCCUCAAUUGACUUCCAAAUCACCUUUUAUCUCACAAAUUCUCUUUCGCUAAAAAUAUUAUUAUUUCCUCGCGUGUGGAAUAUUUUAUCCUAAACUAUUCUUUUCAUCUUUCAUCACUUUUAAACAUUAUAAUUGGCCUCAAUUCACAUCCGAUAAGCUUUAUUUAUCACCAUAUCAAAGUAUGGGGUAUUAUAAUCUCCCCCACUUAAAUAGAAUUCAUCCUCGAAUUCACGUCGAUGUUGAGUUAUCAAUCUCAUUCUAUGAUCUUAUUCCAUUUCUCCCUCUAUAGGGACAUUCGAUUUAUUCACCUCGUUCACCUUCAAUUCAAUUUGAAUACUUCAUUUAUGUCACUUAUCAUCCUUUGGAAUCAGGUCAGUAGUACCUUUCAUAAUCAUGAUCUCUUAUAUCGAGACACUAAGCAUGCCUUUGUCACCAUCAUUAAAUUUGAACCAUAACUUCAUUUCAAUUAUGUUGAUUUUGAUCACAAAUUAUACUUACUUAUGUAUACCUAAUCAUCAUUUUAUUAGUUCGCUUCUUGCCAAACUUUUCAACCUUGAUUCGUUCAUCUUAUACAAAACCACAAUCUCUAAAAAUCAUCCUUGUUUCUCAAUUUUUUUUCAUACUUCUAAUAUAUACAUUAUAUCCUUGUUGUAUUUUGACUUUAAUGAAUCACUUAAAAUUUAGACUCAUUCGCAUCGUGCAUGACUUAAGCAUUUCUGAAUUUCGAUUUCCAUACUACCUUAGGAAGUUUUCAUUAUUGGGCUUCAUUAUCCAAAUUAUCUUUAAUCAUCCUUUGUUCUAUUCUUCCAUACUAAUGUGACAUCAUUCUCCCUAGACCAAUCUGCAGUUUGUACUUAAAACUGCAAGACUUGAAAUAAGGUUCUCCUUGAGUACUUUCCAAUGUCAAUAUGAAUUUCACUUCCAACUUACGGCUUCCUCUUUGUAGCCACAUAAUUUAAUGCUUGCUUUCACAAAAUCCAUAGCAGAACUCUUCUUGAGUAUUUCUUUGAGAAUACCUAUCUUAAACUUAUGUCUCAUAACAUGUGAUCACUCAACCUGUGACUUAGCCGUUAGGCUCCUCAGCAAGUUUGAAAAAUUUCACAUUUUAUACUUGCCGUGCAUGAUUAGAAAUUUCUUCUCAAAAAUGUUUGUGCAUUCCUGAAACACUUAAUCUUUUAUUUGCUCUUUAAUAUCUUGUGCAUAUCGUUCUAUAAACGUGCACUUGUUCUUAAAGGUAUAUAAAUACGUACUCAUCCAUUCAAUCCCUAACUCAUCUUCAUAGGUUUCUAGGGUGCCACACAAUUGGCCUCGUGUGGUUACUAACCCUUUUCUUUUAACUGAGUCAAGACAAGAAUUGUAAAUUCUCAUAAUGAUAUUCUAUAUAAACUUGUUUUCUAUACCUCCCUUGUAAUCCUUCAUUCACACUUUCAUCACUUGGUAUUGACAUCCCUUAUCCAUAUCUCCUAUAUUCAUCUAAAUCUUCACUCACUUUCUCUUUAGCCUUUAACAAGGCUUAAUCUCUCAUCUCCUUUAUUUCUUAGGAUUUGACUUUAGUCAACAUAUUAUCCAUUUUAAUACUUCGCUUAGUAUCUUAUCUCAAUAUAGCCAUCUCAAGAAUCUUUCAAUUUCUCUUUUGCUUAUUAUAUGCAUUAAGCCGAGUCAAUAUUUUCAAACUCAUUUUAUCUUUCAACUUUCAUCAUCAUUCGUGAAAUCUCACCUUAAAGCAUCCUUUCCAUACAAUGUAAUGAAUUCACGAUACAUAUAUCACCCCACACAUAAUUGGCUCAUUGUCUACAACAUUCCUCAAAUUUAUUGUCAUCCAUAUCUAAUUAUCUUCCUUAUCUUGUACUCCAAUAGUUUAUUGACUUUCAGUAUAAAUAACUACGAAAACAGUUCAGCUUCCUCCUCACUUUAUUCUCACAAUCCUUAUUAAAUCAAAAUUUCAUAUUUUCCAUGCUCCAUAAUUUAACUUCAUUGGGCUAUAUUUGUGCCCAUUUAUUACCUCAUAGUGUCAUGGCAUCACUUGGUAAUCCCUUUCAUGUUUAAAUUACAAUCAUCAACUUAAUCACGUUAUCCAUUCCAAAUGUCAUUUAUAACCUUAUUGAUUCUUCCCAUAACCUUUCUCGAUAAUUAUAUUACCAAUUUACCUUUGUCAUACCAAAAGAUUCCCAUACACAUCCAAUUAUUUAAACAGCUACUUUAUAUUUCGUUUGAGUCAUACAAAACAAAAGCCACUCCUAACUCCUUUGUACAGAUAACUACUACAUUUUCCCUUAAACGACACUUGCCUAGAUUUAUGGUGAUACGAACUUCAAUAAAGGUAUUAAGUAUCUUCAAGAUUCUCGUCGCCUUGAUCCGAGCACAUCGACGGACCCUCUUCCGGGUCCUCCUCUUCCUCUUGAGAUUUCCUCCUUUGUUCCUCAAUCCAAGCUUGCUAUAUUCUCUUGUAUUCUUCAACACUCACAGGUGCGGCACCUAUUCCACAUCCAAGAGGAAAGUGACGAACACUUAACACCUUCCUAGGACGGAUAUCUCCCCUUGCAAUUGCCUUCCUCAUGCAUUCUCUUUCCCACUCCUCAGAUUAUUUCAAAAGAAAAUUUCUUACAGUUUUUGAAGUGUCGGAGCUAUCCUCACUUUCAAGACUCUCACUACUCUCAAAGCUUUCCUUAUUACGAAACCAUUCUGCUAAAUUCGAAGGAAUCCUGUUAAUAGGAAUUCGGGAUGGACCACUUUUUGAAUUACUUAGAUCAGGGCGCUUGUCAAGCCCAGCUCGACAAUAUGUUUAUUAUGUCAUUCCUACAUAAAAAUGUAUGUUUGCUUACUUGGGUACCUUGGAAAUCGUUAAAGGAUGGUAUUGUACCAAAUAGUACAAUUAAGUUAAAUUAAGCCUUGAACUAGUCCAAAUAGAGAUUUUAAGAUGAAAUUAAGAAUUUUAAAACCCCAGAAUGACUUAAAAUGGUGAUUCGGAGUUCGAGAACCGAUUUGGAGUCAAAUUGGAAUUUUCAUGAUCCAAGGGUAAAAUGGUCAUUUUGGUACCCGAGGUUCAAAUCUGAGUGUUGGCUGAAAUUUUGACUAAGAUUGAUCAUUUGGAGUAUAAUUUGAGUUUGAGAAGUGAAAAAUUUUAAUUCAGACAUUUUUUUGAGCAUAAGGGUAAAACAGUCAUUUUGUCAUCGCAAGGGCAAAAUUAUAAUUUUACACCACCUAACACUUGUCCAGCAUAUGGAUUUUACCCAAUAUUAUCAUGGAUAAUUGAGGAAAUUUAAGUGGUGGAGAGAGAUUGCUUAAUGGGUAAGUAUGACACAUGGACCAAUGGAAUGGUGACAUGUGUCAAAUUCUCAUCCAUUUAUUAUUUGGCUGAAAAAUCAGCAUAAAAUCAGCCCAUUUCUCUACAUAUGGCCGGCCAAAGCAAGAACAAAGGAAGAAAAGAAAGAACAAGAAACCUAGGGUGAAAAUUCAAGAGAAAAUUGGUGGAUUUCAAGUAAUCAAGCAAUCAAAGGUAAAAAUUUCUUGCUUUUGACUUGUGAUCUACCUUUCCCAUACAUUCUUUUGCAUUUUCUGUGGUUGAAUCACAUGAUUUCAUGAUGGGUAUCUUGCUGGCUGAACACUUAGAGAGAGGUUUUGAUGCUUGAUUUGGUUAGAUUUUAAGAUAUUUUAGUGUUUUUAGUUGAUUAGUGAUGUGUAGCAUGAAAAUCAAGCAAGAAAAAUUCAUGUUCUUCCAUCACCCAUCAUUGGCCGAAUUCUCCAUGUGGAAUAUUGAGGAUGAUUUUGAUUUUAUUUCAAGUGAUUUGGUUAGGAAUUAGUGAUUUAUGGUGUGAGAAUCAAGUAGGAAAAAUUAUAAUGUUGAUGCACCCACCAUGGUCGAAUUUCCCAAGAGAAAAUGUGAGGAUGAUUUUGUCAUAUUUCAAGUUAUUUAAUUUGCGUUUGAUGAUUUGGAGAAUUGGAAGAAAAAUGGAAUUAUUUGGAGUUAAAUUGGACAUAUUGGCCAAUUAAUCGAGUGAUAGAUCGAAUUAGGCCAAUAUCGUUUUAUUUAGGUACACAAUUGAAUUUGUGUAGAGCACCGUGUUUAGACGAUAAUCCAAACAAUUUACAUCCCAUUUCAUGCAUUAGUAUAGAGCCUUAAUUGGUUUUAUAACAAUUUAGCACAAAUGUAGUAAAUGGCUUAUUGUGCAUUAUGUCUAGGUGGUGAGCAUUCUGGCAAAAGUAAAGAGAUAGUACCCGAGGAUCAAGAAUCGGAGUACUCUGAAUUCGACUCCCGAAAUAGUGAGUAACCUUACUAUCGUCUUAACUAUCUAAAGUGGUUUUUAUCCAAUUUUAUGAUUUUAUGAAAAAUAAGUUUAAAUGGUAAAUCUUUAUGUUUUAUAAACAAAAUGUGUUUAAAUGAAAUGAUUUUAUAAAUUAUCUUGAAAUUGAAUGAUGGCUUUGAAAAUAGAGUAAUUGGAGACCAUUUGAUGAAUUGUGAAUUUAUGGUUCUAAUUGAUUGGCUUAUGGCAAUAUUGGCAUGAAUGGCUGAAUUGGUAUUUGUGCUGAAAAUGUAUAAACUGUUGUUUGCCUUGAUAGGCUGGAUAAUGAUAAAAUUGCCAUGUCAUGCUGUUAAAUUUUAUUGAAUUGGUGGGUUAUUGAUUAGUCGCUGUAGUGAACGGGUUCCGUGGACCAGCCUAUUAGAGGGGGCACGAUAACCCUAUUAUAUUCAUACCUUAGUAUGAGAGGCGUGGAUGGAAAACUCCUAAGGUUAACACUUUAGAGUUCACUUCACGCCAAACCACCACGUGAGGGUGAACUCAGCCAAUGCUAAGGAACAGCUAUGUUUUAAAAAUAAAAACAUGAUUUAUGCGUACAUAACUUUUUAACAGCCUUGACGGACUCAGUUGGGAUAGUCCUCGGCCAAGGUAUCCCUGAUAACUGAGUAUGAGAAUGAUUUUGGCAUGAGCCAAAAUUUUAAGAAAUUCAUAAGCCAUGUUGAUUACUCGAUUUAUAUGAAUUGAUUUUAUUUGGUUGAAAUGAGUUGAAAGGUGAUGAAUUACAGUAUGUUAAACUAUUUUAUCUGUCUCCAUUUACUCAGCUUUAGAUAUUUUAGAUGGUAUUUGUUUACUCACUAGGAUUAUAUAAUCUCACCACCCUCAUUUUCACCCAUUUCAGGCUCAAGAUAGUUGGUAGAUAGCUCAUUUCGUUGAGGGCUAUAGUUGGACUUGCAUCCUAAAAAACUGUAGGUUCAUAGCUUUCAUGACUUUUGGUCGUUCGUGGGCUUACAUGUCACUGUAAAUUAAAUUUUAUACUUUGGUUAUUUGUAUUACAGUAUGCAUGAAUUUAUUUAGCUUUUAUGUUACAAAAAUUAUUUAUCAGUAACUCUAUAAAUAUUGUUUUAUAAGAAAAUAGAAUAUUUUAUUGAAUAUUUUUAUUAUAUUCAAAUAAUUAUAGUUUCACUUUAAACGAAUGUUUUAGACAUCUAAACCUAUUUUUGAUUAUGAAAUAUGUGUUUUCCACUCGCAUACUACAUUUUUAGCUGGUUUCGAAACUUUUCAAAAAAAUGACCAAAAUACCCAUGUGAGAAAAAAAUUAUUUUUCUAUUGUUUUGAGUUGGAAAUAGUUUAUAAUCUCUCAAAACAUGAUACUUAAUAACUGUUGCUCACAAGGGAGGUGCGAAAACCGAUAUUAAAGCCUUGUGAGGUUCCAAUUGGCAUUCUGAGCAAUGAAUGUCUAUCGGGAUAUCGCGGCGGUUGUCAUGGGCUCUAGGCGAGUACCGGGUCGUGACAGCGCCAUUGGCUCCUAGUAGUGGAAUCUAAUGAUCCCUCACUAGCACUCUGAGUGGCAUCGAGACUACCACCUCUCCUAGACAUGGCGCGUACGAUAGGCACACCUCCAAACCUAUAAGAAACCAAAUAUAAAUUAUUUAGCCAUCUAGAUAUCGUAAGAACAAGUAGGUUUCUAAUGAAAUAGGGGCCCAUGUAGUCUAAGGACAAGACUACACAAACUCCAACAACUCCAACAACUCCGCUGACCACACAGGAAUCCCUAGGACUCAACUAAACCUAGGGCUUUGAUACAAACAUUGUAACGACCCUUCCUCGGUCGCUACUGGCGUUCGAGACCUUCGAAAUAUCUCGUCAAGUCCCAAACAAGCCUUAAUGAAAUUUCUCAAUAACUCAUUGUACACUUUUACUAAACCAUAUUAAUGUUUGAACCAUAUAUGUUCAUAACGUGAAUUCAACAACAAGCAUAGCCAUUAAAAUUUGACUUUAAGUCAUGAUAUCACAAUUAAAUACAUUGAGUUCAAAAAAAUCCCAAAUUUUGUUUUUGUCAAAACUAAUAUUUGUUUACAUAGUAAAACCAAGUACUACAAUUCAACUUCUAAUAGCGGAGCGACUUAGGAUAAAAUGCUAUGAGAUUCCUUUACCUAUCUGCGAUAGACUGUAUGCACUGACGAUUACACGCUAGACCAAUCCCUGUUUGUAAAAAAUGGAAAAAGAAGGGUGUGAGUCUCAUAGACUCAGUGAUCAUCGACUCCGUGAGCAGAGCAUAGAUGGGAAACAAGUAAAUAGCAAAUCAGUUGAAUGUUAAAAUGCAGGAUUAUAAAAACAAUUUAUUUCAAAUAGGAGUUUGUGCCUUAUGUGAAAUACCGAGGAAUUUUUACAUAUUAUAAACACUUCAAUUGGUAAAUCAACCAAGGUAGAUAAAAAUUUUCGCUACAAAACAGAUCAAUAACCUUAUUCAGGUCAAUCAUUUGAAAUAUUGAAUUACAACAAUUUUACAUAAAGAAAAUUCCAUCGUCAAAAUCAAUUGACAUUUUAUUCAAAUCAAAUCAAUGUAUUCGGCAAUCUCUCAUGAAAUCGAAUGUUAAUCAAACUCAUAAGUAAAUCACAACUCACCUCGCACUUGAGGAGUUAAAAUUCAUUUCACCGUAAAAAUAAGGGGAGCUAUAGAAAAACCUUUAAAUUUCGUUUUCACCAUGCAAGGAAAUAUGAGUUUGUAACCCAUAGAUGUCACUCUCGAGUAAGGAAUGAAAGUAAACCCAUGGUCCCGCUACCACGUAAUAACAUCCGAGAGCAUUGCUUCCACUGGAUUCCCAUGUGUCAUGGCAGUCUCACGAUGUUGGCCGACAUCGGAGAAUCAAGCAGUCGCAACGCAUAAUCAUCUGGUGGCCUAGCCACUCAUACAUAUAUCACAGGUCGUCGCCCCGACCACGCCUAACCGCCCGUCGGUGACCCAAUGGUUCUCUAGCUAGAGCUCACUCGUGCACGAGGGUCACACUUAACCGAUGUGAUAUCUGGCCUACUCUCGACGCUCUCGGUUUGUAAAACCAUUUUGCAAUUGUGUUAUGUCUUUAAAAGCUCAUCUCAAAAUUAUUUUCCAAAGCAUUCGUCACAAGGUAUGAUAAAAUCUAUCAUUUUCGCAAAAUAUAUUUAUACAUGAAUUUCAUAACAAUAAUUUGCAUGGUGAAUAAGCGAUAUAACCAUGAAUGCAGACUGCACAUAUAUAUAAGGCACAUUUUGAUGCAAAAUAGUGUGAAGGGCUUGCUUCCCGAUUUUUAAAACACUUUACAUAUAAUUUAUACAUAUAUAUAUAUUCAAAACAAUUUCUAAACAUAAUUUGCAAUUAUAAUUUCCUAAGAUUGCUACCAACACAUGCUAUCCACAAUUUUCAUGUUUAAAAUAAAUCAUACGUAUAGAUAUAUAUUUAUGGAAAGUUUAAAAUUGGCACCCCCUACUCACCACACAAUAGCAGGAUGUUACGUCGCUAUUAAUUCAAAGACGUAUCGAGCUAAUUUUUUUUAACGAUCGUUCGUUAUUUCCUUUAGUUAAAAUAUUGAAACCCACUUAAUUAAUAUAUCUAUAUAUAUUAUUUUAUUCUAGCAUCAUUAUUAUAUAUAUAUAUUUUUUCUUUUCUUUUCUUUUCUUUUCCUUUCUUUCUCUUUCUCCUUUCUCCCGCCGGUCAGCAGCACCUUGCUUGUCUUUCUUUUUCCUUUCUUACAUGCACAAGCUGGCCACAACUUCUUUCUCUCUCUCCCUCUCACCGCCGGCAACAAUUUCUUGCUUCUUUUAACCAAAAAUUUUCAGCAACCAAAGCUGCUCAGAUCAACAUCAAAAUCAGCAGCCAAGCUGCUCUAUUUUUUUUCUCAAAAAUCAGUAGCCAAGCUGCUCUAUUUUUUCUCAAAAAUCAGCAGCCAAGCUGCUCUAUUUUUUUCCUCAAAAAUCAGCAGCCAAGCUGCUCUAUUUUCCUUAAAAAUCAGCAGCUAAGCUACUUUAUUUUUCCUUAAAAAUCAGCAGCUAAGCUGCAUUAUUCUCCCUCCAAAAAUCAUCAACUAAGCUGCUCCUUUCCUCCCUCUAAACUCAGCAACCAAAGCUUCAAAGAUCAGCAACCAAAAUCGCACCUUCAGCCUUCAAAAUCAGCUCGUUCUCCUCUCCCUUUCUUUCUCACCAUUCGGCUUUCUCUUCUUUUCUUUUUGCUCUUUUUGUUCUCCUUUUGCUCUCUUAUGCCCAACGCCUUCUUCUUGUUUCUUUUUCUUCUUUUCCACUAACCGACUUCUCUCUUUCUUCUUCUUUACUUUAUUUAUUUACUUAUUUUUAUAUUUUUUUUCUCCAUUUGUCUUCCAAUUUGGUCGGCCCCCCCCCAUCUUUCUUUCUUUCUUUCUUCACCUUGUUCUACAUGGUCGGCCCCCCUUCCAUCAUAUAAAAUAAAGAGUUUUUGACUCUUUUUAUUGACCACAUGGGCGGCUGCCCAUGUUGGUCUUUCUUUAUUUAUUUAUUUUUUAUAUACAUACUUGUAUUAUUAUUUUACUAUUUGUUUAUUUUAUUUCUUCCAUUUAAUUCCACUACAUAAUCCUUCAACCCUUAUAUUUUAAAUUCGAUCCUUUUGAUACGUCUAAAAAUUUCAAUUUUCAUCUAUCUUUCUUCCUCUGUACGUGUACCACCAAAAUAUCAAAAUUGCACUUCAACGCGGUAUUACCAUAAUAUUUAAAUAUUUACUCCUCCGCGUUGGCUCGACUUAGCAAAACACGCGUAUUUCACUUUCGUCGUUCAUCUGCAAAAACUUAUUUGUAUUUCUUCUCACCCACUUGGAUCAACCAUAUGAUCCUUCUUCAUGACUGAUUUUGAUUUCAACAUCCGGUUAAAUAUUAAUAUUCUUAUAUUAUUUUAUUAAUAAAAUAUUAUUUUAUUCUAAAAAUUUUCUCUUGUCUCCUUGGUAACUAAAAUACCUUAUUAUGCCUCAAUUGACUUCCGAAUCACCUUUUAUCUCACAAAUUCUCUUUCGAUAAAAAUAUUAUUAUUUUAUUGAUAUUUCUUCGCGUGUGGAAUAUUUUAUCCUAAACAAUUCCUUUCAUCUUUCAUCACUUUUAAACAUUAUAAUUGGCCUCAAUUCACAUCCGAUAAGCUUUAUUUGUCACCAUAUCAAAGUAUAGGGUAUUACAAGAACUUUCCCCAAGACAAUCAUCACCUCUCCGAGACCCCUCUCAGUUUCCUCUCAACCCUUUCUACAGCACUGAAUCAUCACCCUCUGACACAUCAGAUGAAUAGAAGCCCUUCCUUUUGAUGCUGACAAAAAGGGGGAGUAGAAUAGAAUGGGUGCAGGAACCAAGAACUGAAAGAAUAACAUUAUUUAAAAAAAAUGUUAGGGUAAAGCUGUCACGACCUAAAUUUCGGGCCAUGACCGGUGCAUGGGCCCAAUGGAUGUAGUCCACUUAGCCCAAGUAAGCCUACUUAUAUUACCUGGUUAUCAUUUCAUCCCACAAGUUACUAAAGUCAUAAUUCAAAAUCUCAAUUCGAAAUGAUGAAAACCAUUGCCAACUCGUACUAGCAUUACUCAUUAAAAUAUACACAUAUUGUCUAUAGUAUGUAUUAUAAUAAUUAACAUCAGAUUUGUCUAUACAUGUAAAAAGGAGACUCGAUGUCCAGUGGAGAAACUUGACAAAUGUACAGCUACUGAAUGUCGAGACACCUACCAAAUGUCAAGUCUACAAAGGCACCUCGACCUAGUUAACGACUACCUCCUAAUCUGAAAACAUGAAGUUGAAAACGGUGAGUAUAAACCCAGUGAGUGAACAAGGAAGGGAACAAGCAAACAAUAAGGAAGGUAUAAAGAAAAUCAUGAUGCAUUUAUCUUUAAAACAAUGCAAUUUAGUUUAGCUCUUAUCAACACCCUUUAUGUAAUCCCCAAAAGAGUAAAUCACUUGAUAAAAAAGGUCUAUGCUUAACAAAGGAUUUGAAGAGCGAAAAUUUUAAUAGCAUUCAUGCAAUUCAAGUCAAGUAAACUAUGGGUUCUUGCUGCAGUGGAAAGGCAUUCUCGCUGCAGCGAGAUUCCGACCCGCAUUACCCCUCCAAAUCUAAGAGUUUCUCGCUAUAGCGAGAAUAAAUCUCACUGCAGCGAGAAACAGAGCACCAUGAAAAAAAAAUUUCCUUUCUUUCAAGAAAAAGCCAUCCUGCUAAAAUAACAAAAAAAUCAACAUGAAAUGCAUAAUAAUUCCCAAAGUUUGACAUGUCAAGUUUCACAUGCAUUUCAAUCAUAUGCCAUAUUCAUAAGCUUUUAUUUCAUAAACAUAUAUAUACAUAAGUACAUAGAUAAACACCAAUGUCAACAUCAUCACACCCAGCUCAUGUGCAUCCCCCCACAUCAUGCACAUAGUCGGAGUCAUCGUGUGCAUCCCCCCACAUCAUGCACAAUUAGUGCCAUCGUGUACAUCCCCCCACAUUGUGCACACGGGCACUAUCAUCAUCCACUUCCCUCACCACGCCAUCACCAGCAUGUGCAUCCCCCCACAUCGUGCACACACAUGGUUAUAAUCAUCACACAUAUCAACUAUCAUGCACAACAUAUAUAUAUAUCUACAAAUAUAGCAACAUAAUGUAGUAGUGCGUGAAUCCAUAACGGCCACAUGUCACAACAUUGAGUCAAUUAUCAAGAGCUUGUUCUCGGGUAAAUUUUAGAGCAAAAACAGAUAAAAUUCCCAAACGAUUCAUUAACACAUGUGAGCAUUUUCCUAAAACAUUUUGAAAUGCACGUUCACUCACCGGUAUUAGUUGAGCCUUUAGUCGACUCUAACUUCCCUAAUGGUCCAAUUGGAGCUGUGGAACUUCGUUAUAACCUAUCAUUACAUUAGCAUCACCAAUUUAUCAAUUCACAUACUUAUAAGGUCUAAAAGCUUUCUCUUAGCUAGCUUCCACUUGCCAUUUAAAUGGCUAUCUAUUUUCACUACCCUAAUCACUCUAAAAUGAGUGGAUAACCUCAACUGCAAAUAUUCACAAUUCCCUAAAAUAUCUACCAGCACAUGCUAUCCAUAAUUUUUGCAAUUAAAAUAAAUCAUACUUAUAGGUAUAUAUUUAUGAAAAUCUUUAAAAUUGACACCCUUUCCUCACCUUGGUAGCUUGAAACUUUGAAAUUCUUUCCAAUAAAUUUUUCCAAGCUAUUAUGGGAGCUUUCUCUCUCUUUCUCUCUCUAAACACCUAGCUAGUGAGCAAAAGUAUGAAAGUGGGAUUUUUUAAGGGUUUUAAAGUGAGAGAGUGAAAGAGCACAAGGAUUUCAUGAAAAGAUGCACCGAGGCAUGAAAGUUAGAGCUAGAGAGAGAAAGUUAUGAAGUUUUCAUACCAUGCUUCCAUGGAAGUGAAACAAAUGUGAGAUGGAAGGAGGAAAAAGAAGAAGCUACUAGAAAUUGAAGAAGCUGCUGGAAGGAGAAGAUAUUUAUAGCUCAUACUUAUCCAACUCCCCUUGAAAUUACGAAAAUGCCCUUUAGCAAGUUAACUUGUUCUUGUCCAAUCUUUUGUGUAAUUUUUUUAUUCUUUUGACACUGGGACAAUGUCCACAAUGAUCUAAACUACUCGGGUUUAUGAAAACUUAAAAUUUUGACUUGAGGUGUAAAAUGACCAUUUUGCCCCUAUUGUGAAAAUUAUCGAAACUUCUAGUUUUCUUCUUGUUUUCAUCAUUACACAUUAUUUAUUCGAUCUUAUGCCUAUUUAGACCUUAAAAUAUCAUAAAACCUUCUUCUGGGAGCUUUUUAAAGGAAAUGAUGAAACUACCCCUAGCUCGUGUUAUUGCGUCUAUUCGUAGUUAUGAGCCUAUAGGAGUUGAGGUUUCACAAGAGGAACCAAGAAGGAACCUAGGAAAGGAAAGAAGACAUAGGAAGCAAAAAUAGUCUAGGGGUAGUUUCAGAAUACUUGUUGGUUAACUGUUAUUUGUGCCAUGGUGGCACUUGAACACUUGGUUUUAAUCUUGUUAUCUAUAUGGUUGUUUAACAGAUGGAUGUUGAUAUGAUUAUGAUGCUUGACUGCUGGAAAUUGAAAUCUACUAUCCUUGGUAUUUUUACUACUGUUGACAAAAUCUACUACUGCAUUGAUAUUGAAUUAUAUGCUGAUAAUUGAUUUUUUUGUUGUGGCAUUGUGAAUAAUUUUUGUUUGAAAAUAGAUAUAGAUGGUGUAUAUAACAUAUCAAUUGAAACAUGAAUAAUGUAUACAAAAUCUAGAAUCAAUAAGCUGAUUUAAAGCUAUUGGAAUAGUGAUUAAAAUCUGUCAACAUUUAAAGCUGAAAGAUUAAUGAUGAUCUACCAAUACUUACAUGUUGCAAAUCACUCCAUGUUGCUGAACAUAUAUAUACUCUAAAUAUACAAUAUCAUUUUCUAUAUGAUGAGAAUAAAACUGACUGAAAUAAAAUAAGCAAAAUAUGCACAGACUAAAGGGGAGCUUAUACUUAGGGGGAGCAAUCCUCAAUUCUUGCAGAAAACCAAAAAGAAUUUAAAAUGACACCAUGCUGUUAAUCAAGGAGUGUUUUGUCAUCAUCAAAAAGGGGGAGACUAUUGGCUCCAUUAGUUUUUGAUGAUAAUAAAACAUUCCCAUUUAUUUAUGUCUAAUACCUUUACUAGAGUGUGCAGGAAAUUAAUAUAUGAAAUUAAUUUCUUGACUCUUCAAAGAGUAUUUUUGAAAGAAAAAUAGGGAUAAAAUCAUUAAGAUGUAACUAAAUAACAAGGAGGAAGCUUAUUGGUGAAACAAGGAAGAACAUUGGUUGACCAAAUUUCAAAUUGGAGAAAUGACGGGCUGAAGAGUUUAAGAAACAUAAUCAAUUUAGUCAACCAAGUCAGUUAACGAAGUACUCUCUGCCAGAAUCUGCAAACUAGAAACAAAACCAACUUAGUGAACCAAGUCAGUCGACUAAGAGCUCUCUGUCUGUAAAUUAAACCAAAGCACUACAAGAUAGAUUAACGGCUAGAACUCAUCCUCAACUGUUUCCAACAAAUAUAAACUGCCAAACUGCCAUCAGAGUUGCAUCUCCAAGUAUAAAAGAGUCUUCCAACAAUAACAAAGAAGUUUUUUGAAGCCUUAAAUGAGAUUUAAGCUAUGGAAAGUAGAAAAACUAGAACAGCUUCACUACACUUGUCUGCACUUAAACGCCUACUCUUUGCAUUUAUAUUUAGCACUCAAUCUUGUACUAUCUAGAUCAAGUAAGUGAUCAUAAAUACUUCUUUAUUGCUUCUCUUGUAUUCUUAGAGUGAGGGAGUCACUCUAAGGGGUUGUUCAAGCUUGGGAUAGCUUGAUUGUUAAAGGUUGUGGUUGAGCCUUGGAAAACCAUAUUGGGUUUUAGUUGAGCCCAUGAAAAACUAGUGUAAAAGGUUUUUGGUUGAGCCUGGUAAAAGCCAUUGUAAAGCUUGGUGAAAGCUUCUGAAUUUCACCAGUCUGUAGUGGAUUUGUGGGAAACUCCUUGGUUGGAUAAUCAAGGUAGUGGAUGUAGGUCUUAGAUUGAACCACUCUAAAUUACUAUGCAUUUUAUACUCUAUUUUUGUUUUCUUAAGUUCUGAAAAUUAGUUUCCAAUCUUGUCAAGAGCCAAAUUGUGCUAUUCACCCCCCUCUAGCACAUAUUAUCGGGACCAACAAUAUAUUAAUUUAUCUAUAAUCUUAUGAAUGAUUAGAAAUCAAAAUCUAUGUUUUUCUUGUUUAAAACCAAUUUUAAUUGAAUGUUUGCAUAUGGAAACGUGAAGUGGAUGCUAUAAUUGAUAAGAAAAGAUCAUUUUAAAUAAACCAUGCCUUUGAAAGCUUUGUUACUCGCUUUAAAUGAUAUAUUAACUCAUUUAUAAUCUUAUAAAUGAUUAUAAAUCAAAAUCUUGUGACUUUAUGCUUAAACCCUAUCAUAAUUGGAUGAUUGUAUUAGGAAAUGUGAAAUGGCUGCUAUCCAUUGACAAGAAAAGACUAUUUUAAGUUAGUCAUGCAAUCAAAAGCUUUGUUAUUCGCUCUAAAUGAUAUAGUAGUUCAUUUAAAAUCUUAUAUAUGAUUAUAAAUCAAAAUCUUUGUUGUUGUUGUUAAAACCUAUCAUAUUUGGAUGUUCGCUUUUGGAAACAUGAAGUGGAUGCUAUCUAAUGACAAAAAAAGACCAUUUUAUUUAAAAAUGCCAUCGAAAGCUUUAUCACUUGCUUUAAAUGACAUAUUGGUUUAUUUAUAAUCUUAUAAAUGGUUAUAAAUCAAAAUCAAUGUUUUUCUUAUUUAAAACCUAUCAUAAUUAGAUGUUUGCAUUCAGAAACGUAAAGUGGAUGCUAUAUAUUGAUAAGAAAAGAUCAUUUUAAGUUAAUCAUGCAUCAAAAGCUUUGUUACUUGUUGUAGAUGAUAUAUUAAUUCAUAUAUAAUCUUAUAAAUGGUUAAAAACCCAAAUCUUUGUGGUUGUAAGAUAAAAUCUAUCAUAAUUGGAAUUUUGCAUUAGGAAAUUGAAGUGAAUGCUCUCAAUUGACAAGCAAAGACCAUUUGAAGUUAAUGAUGCCAUCGAAAGCUUUGUUACUCACUUUAAAACAUAUAUCAAUUCAUUUAUAAUAUUAUAAAUAAUUGUAAAUCAAAAUCUUUGCACUUUAUAUUUAAAAGCUAUCAUAAUUGGAUGCUUGUAUUGGGAAACGUUAAGUGCAUGUUAUCCAUUGGCAACAGAAGAAAUUUUAAGUUAAUGAUGCCAUCGAAAGCUUUGUUACUUGCUGUAAAUGAUAUAUUAAUUCAUUUAUAAUCUUAUAAAUGGUUAUAAAUCAAAAUCAAUGUUUUUCUUGGUUAAAACCUAUUAUAAUUGGGUUUUUCUAUUGGGAGACAUUAAGUGGACGCUAUCCAUUCAUAGUAAAAUACCAUUUUAAGUUAAUCACGCCAUCAAAUGCUUUGUUUCUUGCUUUAAAUGAUAUUUUAGUUCAUUAAUAAACUUAAAAAUGAUUAUAAAUCAAAAUCUAUGUUUUGCAUGGUUAAAUCCUAUCAUAAUUGGAUGUUUGCAUUAAGAUACGUUAAAUGGAUGCUAUCCAUUGACAAGAAAAGGCCAUUUUAAGGUAAUCAUGCCAUCAAAAGCUUUGUUACUUGCUUUAAAUGAUAUAUUAAUUUAUUUAUAAUCUUUUGAAUGAUUAUAAAUUGAAAUCUAUGUUUUGCUUGUUUAAAACCAAUUAUAAUUAAAUGUUUGCAUUGGGAAAAAUGAAGUGGAUGCUAUCCAUUGACAAGAAAAGAACAUUUUAAGUAAAUCAUGCCAGCAAAAGCUUUGUUAGUCACUUUAAAGUGAUAUAGUAAUUCUUUUAUAAUCUUAUAAAUGAUUAGAGAUCGAAAUCUUUGUUGUUGUUGCUUAAAACCUAUCAUAAUUGGAUAUUUGUAAUGUGAAACGUGAAGUGGAUGCUAUCCAAUGGCAACAAAAGACAAUUUUAAGUUAAGGAUGCCAUCAAAAGAUUUGUUACUUGCAAUAAAUGAUAUAUUAAUUAAUUUAUAACCUUAUAAAUGGUUAUAAAUCAAAAUUAGUGUUUUUCUUGGUUAAAACCUAUCAUAAUUGGAUGUUUGCAUUGGGAAACAUUAAGUGGAUGCUUUCCAUUGAUAGGGAAAUACCAUUUUAAGUUAAUGGAUGCAAUCCAUUAAAAAGAAAAAGACCAUUUAAAUUAAUCAUGCCAUAGAAAGCUUUGUUACUAACUUUAAAUGAUUUAUUAGUUCCUUUAUAACCUUAUAUGUAACACCCGACCCUAAAUUAUCUGUGAUAUAUCAUUCACAUGUUUUGGAUAGCAUGUUUGUAUAUUAAAUUUGUAAAAACCGACCUUAUAAAUACAUGUCAUGACAUACAUGCAUUGAGUAGCAAGUUAUUACGCUAGAAAAGCACCUAAGAAUAGACGAAACUUGAUAUUGUACCUAACGGUACACUUAAAUUGAUUUAACCUCGAACUAGUUCNNNNNNNNNNNNNNNNNNNNNNNNNNNNNNNNNNNNNNNNNNNNNNNNNNNNNNNNNNNNNNNNNNNNNNNNNNNNNNNNNNNNNNNNNNNNNNNNNNNNGAAAUAGUGGGCAAAAAGCAUGAAAUUUAGAGCUAAAGAGAGAAAGUUAUGGAAGUUGCAAAGCAAGCUUCCAUGGAGGAUGGAAGCAACAUGAGAUGGAAGAAGAAGAAGGAGAAGAAGCUACUGGAGAAUGAAGAAGCUGCUGGAAGAAAAAGAUAUUUAUAGCUCAAGCUUAUCCAUUCCACUUGAAAUUACAAAAAUGCCCUUAGCACAUUAACUUGUUCUCCUUCAAUCCUUUGUGCAAUCAUUUUACUCUUUUUAUACCAAGACAAGGUCCAUAAUAGUCUAAACAUGCUCGAGUCUACAAAAACUUAAAAAUUUGACCCGGGGUGCAAAAUGACCAUUUUACUCCUAUUAUGAAAAUUAUUGUCACUUCAAGUUUUCUUCGUGUUUUCAUCAUUACACAUCAUUUAUUCAUUCCUUAGGCCUAUUUAGACCUUAAUAGCAUCAAAAACCCCACUCGUAGGAGCUCACCAAGAGAAAUUAUGAAAUUACCCCUAGUUCGUAUUUCGCGUCUACUUCUAGUUGCGUGUUUAUAGAGGUCGAGAUUUCACGGGUUCACUUCUAAAUUAUCUUUUUAACUCAGUAAUCAACUUCAAUUGGUAUCCGUAAACUUUAGUGGCCACUGUAUCAAAAUACAAGGUACUAUAGUCUCCUCCACUUAAAAUGAAUUCGUCCUCGAAUUGAAAUCGAUGUAGGGUGAAUAAUCAAAGUUCUAAAAUUCUACCGCAUCACUUUUGUCAAGCAUUCUUAACAUAAAAUCUUGGUUCAUGCAUCAUAUCAACUUCCAAUCUUAUAGAAAACUCGACAAUGUCAUAGUAUAUAGUUAUGUGUACUACUCUUGUUGGAUCAAAACAUAUCAUCCAUCAUCUUAUGAAGAGAAUUAAAAUAAAUUAUUAAUUUUGGUCACACCUCAAUCAAAUCAUCCUUAAAUCAUUAAUUAUGCAUGUUUACUUAACCAUCCACAAUUCCUCUACCUUGACCUUUUAUCAAACUUUCCAACAUUCAAGCAUUUAUUCCACCAUUGACUGUGGGUCUAAAUCAUCAACCAACGUCUAUUCCGUUUUACAUACCUCCAUACAAAUCCCAUUUGAGCAUUUCAUAAUAUGUACGAAUCAAACACUCUUUAUUUAUUCAUAUAUGUUUAACAUCACGGAUGACUCAAAUCCGGUAACCAUUAGUAACCAUAUUCCUAAAAACAAAACUCCAGUAUCUUCAUGAUCGAGUACUUACUAAGUAGAUCUCGACUCUUACCACAAUAUAUUUCAAUAAAUAACGAUACCUUUGAACGCAUCCUUAUGGACUUAACCAAUCUUUAUAAUUCCUAGGUCAUAACCAAAUUUUUAGUUAUAUGUCACAUACAAACAUAUCUAACUUGAGAUUCCUCAAAUUUACUUCAAAUGCCAAAUCUCACGGCCUCAUUAGUUUAUCCAUCCGAGGAUGAAAUUAGAUGCUUGUUUCUCCUUAAGUGUACUUUAAAAUCAAAGAAUCAUCUAUUAAGACCUUUUUGAUAUUAACUCCCUUAGCCUUUUUACGUUAGAAAAUUAAAUCUAUAAUCAUUCAUUCUCAAUCAUGGGCUUUAUGCUAAACAAGGCAGAUUUUAAACUUUAAAUUACAUGAAUUCAAAUGCACACCUUUACAUAUAAGCUAUAAAUUUUUACACAAAUCUCCUUAAGUCAAAACCUUAUAUUGAAGCUAUACCAGCACUCAUACGUUCUAUUCCAUUAGCCUUUAGAGAAUUAAAUCUAUGGCAUACUUCUUUAUUUGUGUGCUUCAUAGUAACCUAACAAUUUCUAGCUCACAGUAAAGCAAGUUCAUAUGCCAAGCCUUUCAGGCUCUAUCAAAACACCAAUUUUUAUCAUGAUAUAAUAGAAUUUGACGAACUCAUACCAAAAGUAUAGACACUUACUUUUAAGCUAACAACAUUAUAAUCUACUUUUUCACUGCCAAAAUCAGCGAUAAAUUGUCUUAAUCAUUGUCUAGCACUAUAACCAUUGAUAGAAUAUCAUCAUUGAAUCAAAUUAUAACUAACUCCACAUGAGCUUUUAUACCAAUAUGCAACAUAUAUAUCUAUACAUAUAUAUUUGCAAAAAUUUUAACUUCGAAUAGCCUUAGGCAUAUCAAGCUCAAGAAGCCAUUUGUAAAACCAAAAUAACCAAUAAUCAAGCUUAGAAUCAUUUCUUCUCUUGGUUGGUUAGAUCAUGAUCAUCAUUUGUAGUGAAUACACAAAGUUCAUUUCAAUAUUCCAUUCUCAUACAAGAGUCAACCACUAAUUGGCACCAUCUUUAAACACCAUGUGUUUUAUAAGUCGAUUUUCUUAGUCAAAAUUCAUAUUGUAGUAUUCCAACUUUAGGUCAUGUCUCAUUACCAAAUCUUUACUCGUAUACGAGUACUUGAAUUCUCAAAUCAUCAUAUCUUUUUUAAGUAGAUUUCUAUAAUUUUUGUACUGCAUUUCUAUUUCCUUACCAAGGGUAGUAUCAUUUAAUCAAACCAUGUCACCCUUGUUUUCUAAACAUUUGAAGCAUAAUUUAACCUUCCAUUAUCCCUAUCAGGCACUUUACCUUGAUAGUUACUCAAAAUAAAUUGGAACUUCUGAGGAAGCACAUUUCACAAUUUAUGCUUUGUGUCUACAAUUAUGUUGAGAUCAAAACCUCAUUGGGUGCACAAAGCGGUAAGAUAAUCAUUGCCUUAAACUAGUAUUUCCAAGUAUACUUAUGCUUGUAUCAUAUCUUCAUACUUAUGUGACAUGUCAGUCACGAGCCCAACUUGACUGUAUAGCCAUUUGCUCUUUAAGCUUUAAUGUUUGCUCAUUGUGAAAAGUCUUCCGAAUUUAUCUCAUCAGGGUAUUCAUAAGGUGGAUACAUGUCCAUAUUUUACAGUUCAAGGCCUAAAGCAUUGAACACAACCUCACCAUUGAUGUUCUACGCUAUAUUAUAUAAUACAAAAUAUAAUCUAAUAACUAUGACAAUGAAAUUCUAAAGUUCCACCUUUAUCUGCCAAUCAUAGCUCCCUUUAUGAGCACAUACUUUACACUGCUUGGUUGUUCACAAGCUACUCAUGGCCAUCCAAAUUCGACCUCUUAUAGCAAGUCAAGCUAAUAUAUUCUCUUAUGCUUUUCCAUACAUUUCCAAAACACUUAAACACUUCCUUUAAUAGGGUUCCAUUGAGAACUUAAUCAAUCAAAGGCUUAUCUUCAAAGCCACUUAUAACUUUAAUCAUUCAUUGUAUGCCCGAUAACACUUUAGCUCACUGACCCCACUGGACAUUAUUUUAAAAUCUCCCAAGGUGUCCAUGUUCUUAGUUAGGAUCAUACCAUCUAACUUGGUAUAAUUGCAUUAAUUAUCCUUAAGCUCUGUAUGCUCAGCAUAUCAACAUUCAUAUUUCCCCCUCAUUCAUGUUAUUGACCUUGUUAUGGUAUAUGUGGCUUUUCAACCUUUCACAACACAUUCCAUAUUUAUGCCAGGGCAUUCUCAAUCUCAUGCCAAGCCUAUAGGCAUGUAACCAUAAAUCAGGGUAAACUCCCCUAUGGGAUAUCUCCUUCCAUAUGAUGCAUGGGGAUCACAAGAUGUACAACUCCAAGUGUAUGCCUACAUAUUGAUAACCUCCAUAUAUUUUAUGAUCAUGGAAACCACAAUUUGCAAAUCUAGCUUUUUAUCACAAGUUUGCGAUCGGAACAUUAGUUUCCACAUAUGUCACUUUGGACAUACUUCACUAUUAACAUUCGUAUACCUUUACCACAACAUUCAGUGCAAAUUGAUUAAGCAAUGAUCUCCAAAUUUACUCUUAGAUACACAUAUAUCAAAUUGUACACCACUUAGUGUUGAGAUCUUGACUUUACUCAUCAAUUCUUAACCAAUUACAUCCAUAAGAUAGACAAUUCACUAAAUUUUUGUAUCUUGCUUUUGUAGUCAUAAGAUUAAAAUUUCUUAAGCUUAGGAUGCAGAAGCUUCCUCUUAGAGCAUAUUCGAAAAUCCACAUAUUUUAAGUCCCUUACCUUUGGAGAAGUCACAUUCAAGACUAAUCAUUUACAUCAUAGGUUGCAUAUUGAACCAAACAUAUUUUUUAUUUAACUUUUAAAGCAAUUCGUAUAUCGAUCUUCAUAUAGAACUCCAUAUGGCACUUUGACUAAAUUUGUUAUUUCCAUGCCAUUUAAUUUCAAACUACUAAAUCCACAUCUAGUCUUUUAAUCCUUUGGCUCCACAUUAAGCAUAGCAAAAUUCAAGCUCAUCCUUAGAGUAGAUCAUUUACUAGCCUCUUACUUCAUGACCAUACAUCAAUUAUAAUAAUCCGUGAUUUUCACCCUUGAGCUAAUUCAUACAAUUAUAAGCAUAAACCACAAUAAUUCAAUUCAAGCCUUGGAAUCUUACAAUUACUUAAUUAUAAUCAAAACCAAUUCCAUCUAGGCUACUACACACAUAUUCAGCACAUAUCCGCAUAUAAAAUAUUUUGGAAGUUCGACGCCAUUUAUAUAAGGGCAGAGCAAGCUUAAUCAACACAGUGCACUUGCCUCCGUGCACGUGGGAAUUAGUUUACACCUCCCUUAGUGCUUAGAUGUACAAGCUUCAAGUGAAUCUCAAUGAUCUUUAUUCGUUCCGGUCAAAGUAUGUCUCUUAUUAACAUUAUCACACGUGCUCCUUUAUAUUGACCUCAAAUACCAUCCAUGGUCAUCAAAUUUCUUCCCAUUGACAAUUAUGGGCUUAAGUUAUAACUCCACUGAAUGAAUAAGUCAUUAUGUACCUAUUAGUCCAGUUCCAAUUUCCUCCAUCUUUAAUCGGAGGAAUUUGUUAUUACAUUAGCCUUUCAUUUAGGAGAAUUUGCUUAAAAUCUUUCCAACAACAUCUCGUGUCUUGGGUGGCAUCUCAAACCCAGACAACGACAUCACUUAUGGCCUUUGCAUAACAUUAGCAAGAGGGUAGGUCACUAGAAAUAGGAGUUUAUAUAGCCUUCUGUUUAUGCAUUGUGUUGUAGUCACAAACGAUAAACAAGACUCUCAGACAACUCCGUUGACUGGCACGAGAAUCCUUAGGACUCGACUAAACCUAGAGCUCUAAUACCAACAGUUGUCACAGCCCAAAUACCGGGCCAUGAUCGGCACAUGGGCCCAAUGGGCAUAGCCCACUAAGCCCAAGCAAGCCUAUUUAUGGAAUUUCUAUUAUCAUUCCCAUCCAUCAUCUUUAAAAUGAAGUGCUGUAACUCUCAAAAGUAAAUGUUCCAGUAAUAUUUUAUAACAACUGAAUAUUCAUAUUUAUAUUAUAUCAAAGUAUUGUCAUCAUCAAUCCAACAUAUACAUACUUCAUUUAUAACUUGACUCUUAGUAGUUUACAUUACAUAUACAUGUUCACAAGUAAUAGACUUGAGACCGUCAGCGGAGUGACUCUGGGUGAAGAUACAACUACUGAGAUGCAAUAGUACCUACCAAGAAGACGAGCAUAUGUGUGCGACUCAAUCUAGGUCCCAACUGCCUCCAAAUCUGAAAACAUGAAUUUUAAAAACGUGAGUACGAAACUCAGUGAGUGAACAUAAGAAGGGAACAAGCAAUCAAUAGGAAAAAUUUGGAAAUCAUGAUGCACUUGUUUAACAAACAAUGCAAUUGAUUUAAUUUCUUAAUAAAACACCUCAUUUCAAACUUUGAUUAAUAACCUCAUAGUGUUGCACCAACCCAUGAUGAAUCCACGAAGUUAAAUUAGUGAAAAAUAUGUCAAAAACUGGAUAGGGUAGCAUGCAGGACAAAAUGUUUCUCGCUGCAGCCAGAAACAGUAUCAGUUUGCAUGUGUUUUAGUUUUUCUAGCAUAUCUUCUGAUACAGAAGUUUAAUUGACCUAUUUUUUAAACCAUUAGAAAGCUAAAAGGUAGGUCUAGAACUUUUAUGUUUACCACUUUUCCUAGUUUGAACAAAAAGGUAGUUAGAAUCUUCAUAAAGUUGAAGGCACUGUAUAAGAACCUGAGAGUUUCUCACUACAGCGAGAUUUAUUUUUGCUGCAGCUAGUUUCUGGCUACCAAAACAAAAUGUUUCUCGCUGUAGUGAGAAGCAGGGCACCUAAUUGAAAAAGGGGCCUCCUUUGCACUAAAAAUCCAUUUGUUACUGCAAUAAACUCAAUUUGCAAGAAAAUGGUACAUCCUCAAGAUUCAUCAUGCCAAUUUUAACAUGAAGUACUCAAAAAUUUGCAAAGUUCAACAUGCAAGAUUCACAUGUACAAGACCAUAUACCAUACUCAUGAACUUUCUAUAACACAUAUAUCUAUAUAUGUAUAUGUAUAUAUAUAUACCCAUCAUCAUGCACACCUUCCCAUCAUCAUCAGCUCACAUGCACUCCCCACUAGCACAUGGCUGGGUCAGCACGACUUAUGCGCACUCUUACUCACACAUAGCUGUGUCAUCAUCGACGUAUGCACACUCUUACUCGCACAUAGUCAGAUCAUCAUCGGCUUACAUGCACUCCCACUCGCAUAUAGCUGGGUCAUCAUCGGUGUAUGCGCACUCCUACUUGCACAUAGCCGAGUCAAUAUCAUUACACAACAUUAUUCAUCAAUGGACAACAUAUAUAUAUAUAUUAACAUAAUGUAGUCGUGCAUGAGUCCAUAACAGUCAUAUGUCACAACAUAAAGACAAUUUAUCAAGGCUUGUUCCCAAGGCACACGUUUUUAAGAAAAGUUGGAUAAAAUCAAUCAAUGUUUGUGCAAAUAGAUUCACAUUCCCAAAAUAAAUUUUGAAAUGUAAGUUCACUCAUCGGGAUUGUUGAACCUCUAAUCGACUCUAAUUUCGAUUAUUACUUCAAACGGACAUGUGAGGCCUUGUUGGAACCUAUCACCCACAAUAUAACAAUAAAAAAUAUAACAGCCCAUAAAUCAAAUUUCUAGCCAUCUUUAACACCUUAAAAUCAAAUUCUAACUCAUUUCUCACCUAGGUGGUUGUUUUUUUGUAGUUGAAUUCCUUUUCAAAAGCUUCUAAGCUACUAUGGCAAGUCUCUUUUUCUCUCUCUAAAACUUUCAAUUAGUGAGAGAAAGUGCUGAACAAAGACUUUUUGAGGGUUUUAAGGUGUAAAAGUGGAGGAGCAUGAAAAGUCGUAUGAAAGAGUGGGCAAAAGCAUGAAAUUUGGAGAUAAAGAGAGAAAGUUAUGGAAGUUGCAAAGCAAGCUUCCAUGGAGGAUGGAAGCAACGUGAGAUGGAAGAAGAAGAAGGAGAAGAAGCUAUUGGAGAAUGAAGAAGCUGCUGGAAGAAAAAGAUAUUUAUAGCUCAAGCUUAUCCAUUCCACUUGAAAUUUUGAAAAUGCCCUUAGCACAUUAACUUGUUCUCCUUCAAUCCUUUGUGCAAUCAUUUUACUCUUUUUAUACCAAGACAAGGUCCAUAAUAGUCUUAACAUGCUCGAGUCUAUGAAAACUUAAAAAUUUUGACUUGGGGUGCAAAAUGACCAUUUUGCCCCUGUUGUGAAAAUUAUUGUCGCUUCUAGUUUUCUUCGUGUUUUCAUCAUUACACAUGAUUUAUUCAUUCCUUAAUUCUAUUUAGACCUUAAUAGCAUCAAAAACCUUACUAGUAGGAGCUCACCAAGAGAAAUUACGAAAUUACCCCUAGUCUGCAUUAUCGCAUCAACUUCUAGUUUCUUGUUUAUAGAGGUCGAGAUUUCACCGGUUCACUUUUAAAUUACCUUUUUAACUUAGUAAUCAACCUCAAUUGGUAUCCGUAAACUUUAUUAGCCACUAUAUCAAAAUACAAGGUACUACAUUUUCCCAUCUCUCUUUCAAUCUCAUGAGUUCAAACUAUGACAAUUGUUCCACGAGAAUCAUUUAUCAUCCCUUGUUUGGUGCCUACUUUGAGAGAUUGGCCAUAGUUGAUUCCAUACUUGACUUAGACUUAGGAAGUUGACAUAGAAAAGAAGAAAGAGAUGAGAUGCCACUAAAGCUCGUAAACUAGGAUUUCCCAUAGUUAAAAGCUCUAUAAAGGCACUCAGUUUUUGAUAAGUUUUGGGUGGUGAAAAUUAUAGUUUUACCCCGAGGCGACAAAAUUAUCAUUUUGCCCUUAUGUUUCGAAAAUUGUCGGAAUUGAAAUUUUUCACUUCCUAUCAUUAAAUUCUACUCCAAAUAGUUAAUCUUAUUCAAAAAGUUCACUCCAUGAUCAAAUUAUUAUCUUAGGUGGCAAAAUGAUGAUUUUGCCCCUAAACAUCAAAAUUUUCAAUUUUUCCGCAAAUGAACCCUCGAACUCCGAACAAUCAUUUUUAGUCAUUCCUAGACUAUAAAAUAUUAAAUUUCAUCCUAUGAUUCCUAUUUGAACUAGUUCGAGGUUAAAUCAACUCAAGUGUAUUGUUAGGUACAAUAUCGGGUUUCGUCUAUUCUUAGGGGCUUUCCUAGCGUAAUAACAUGCUACUCAGUGCAUAUAUGUCAUGACAUGUGUUUAUAGGGUCAGGUUUUACAAUAUAUAUAUACAUAUGUAAAUAUGUGUGUUAUAGGAAGUUUAUGAGUAACGGUAUAUGGUUGUAAUGCAUGUGAAAUUUGGCAUGAUGAAUCUUGAGAAAUUCCCAUUUUCUUACAAAUUGAUCUUUAUUACAGCACCAAAUGGAUUUUUUGUGCAAAGGAGGCCCCUUUUUCACUUAGGUGCCCUGCUUCUCGCUGCAGCGAGAAACAUUCUGUAUUGGCAGUAGAAAACUCGCUGCAGCGAAAAUAAAUCUCGCUGCAACGAGAAACUCUCAGGUUCUGAUUUAGUGCUUUCACUUUGAUGAAGAUUUUGACCCUCUUUCCUUCCGAAAUGGGAAAUGUUGUAAACAUCAAAGUUGUAUCCCUGCCUCUUAGCUUUCCAAUGGUUAAAAAAUGAGGUCAAUUGAACUUCUGUAACGGGAGAUAUGAUAGAAAAACUGAAACAUAUGCAAACUACCACUGUUUCUCGCUGCAGCUAGAAACUUGCUGCCAUGCUUGCUACCUUUCUUGAUUGUGAUUUACUUUUCACCCAUUUAACUUCAUGGAUUGAUCAUGGGUUUGUGAAACACUAUGAAGGUAUUAAUCAAAGUUUGAAAUGAGGGGUUUUUAGUAAGAAAUUAAAUCAAUUGCAUUGUUAUUGAAACAAGUGCAUCAUGAUUUUGAAAUUCUUCCUAUUGAUUGCUUGUUCCCUUCUUAUGUUCACUCAUUGAGUUUUAUACUCACGUUUUUAAAAUUCAUGUUUUCAGAUUUGAAGGCAGUUGGGACCUAGAUUAAGUUGCACACAUAUGCUCGCUUUCUUGGUAGGUACUAUGGCAUCUCAAUAGCCGCAUCUUCACUGUGGUCACUCCGCUAGAAGUCAAGAGUCAUUUUAUUUUAUGAGUACGUUCAUGUGAUGUAAAAUGCUAACAUAUGUGUCUUAGACGAAAUAUGUAUAUUUUAACUGUUAAUGCCACCAUGAGUUGAAAUGUUAACAUCAUUUUGGGUUUAUAGUAAUGAAAUUCUUGAUUGCUAUAGCCUAUUAUUAAAGUGAUUAUAGGUUGGAAUUAUGAAAGGUGACUUGAGAAUAGUUAAUGGGAUGUUGAGCAAGAUUACCUAAUAGGCUUGCUUGGGUUUUGUGGGCUAUGCCCAUUGGGCCCAUUACUUCGGUCAUGACCCGAGAAUUUGGGCUGUGACAACAGGGCAUUGACAAUGCUCAAAGACUGGUACAUGUUAAGCCUUCUUACUUGGGAAGUAAGUAAACGAUCUCAUAGAUUGAAGUAUAUGGGAUAAUUGAGGAUAACGUGUAGGUCCUUGUUAAAGAACAAGUUCACUGAACACGACCCGCUAUGAGAACUCCAUUAUGUAUUUCACUCAAGUGUCUAUGGAAAAUGUUCUCAUGUGAUAGUUGUGCAAUUAGUUCUUAGACUUCAGACACUAAGUCAUCUUGUAUGGGGAAUGACAUACUUUGAUUUCACCCCUACGGGUUUGGAGGCGACCAAAUGCCUGAACACAGUGUUUUCGGGUAUGCCAUGAAGCAUGCGAAGGUGAAUGAGUGACCAAGAGAGGAUUCAUCACCCCAAGUGAUAUGAGGGGAUGUAUCUCACUUGUUCUCAAUUCUUGAUUAACUUGUAUAAAGUCUUUGGCCAAAGCAUGAUGAAUUUGAGGAAAAUUAGUUUCCCAAAUUCAUAAGGUUAGUCAUGAAUAAUGAAAACUAAUAUUCAAUGUCAUAAGUAGACACCGAGCCAUGCUUAAUGACAUAUCCAAGAUAUUUGAUGAAAAGACCGUAUUACACUGAGAGGCUUAUCACUGAAGGGCUUUGUCAAAUUCUUUAAUUGACUCUCUAACAUUUGGAUGGUCAUGAUGUAUUGCUAGAUGCCAUUCAUGAUCUAUAAAUAUAAAUUAAUUAUCAAAUUGAUAUUUGAUUAUGAUUUAUAUUUAUUGCCAACAUGUUAGAAGCCUAAUGGGUCACACAAAUUAAGUGACAUGAUUGGGAUUAAAUAAGGAUAAUUAAUUAAGUUGGACUUAAUUAAAAGAAACCGAAAUAAAAUGGGAAAUUAAUUGAGUUCUUAGAGAUCUAAUUGAAUUAAAAUACAACUGUUGUAUUUAGAGUUACGAAUUAGUUUGGCUAUAUAAAUAUGUUAUAUUAGCAAACUAAAAACCUGAAGCCUAAAAACCACUCCUCGGCCGUUUCACAAAAUAAGAAAAGAAAAAUAGUUUUCUUGUCUGACAAAAAAAAAUAAGAUUCGGCAAGAAUUUUGGUCCUUUUGUUUUAGAAACAAACCUUGCUAGCACAAGUAAAAUCCUACCUUUUGAUAAGGUCCUAUUUAGUCACUUUGUGGAUUACUGUUAGAGGCCAAACACUUGGGUGGCUAAAGAUUUGACAAACCUAAAGGUGAAGAAGCAGAGAUUUGGAUUUAAUUGGCUCUUGAUUACGAUAUCCAAAGUAAGGUAUGUAACUCUUAAACUUAUGAGUGUUCAUUAUUAAUUUAUAAGUUACAUGAAAAAUACAAACAUUGAUCCUGUAGGAUUCGACUAUUUCUCUGAUUAAAUAUUAUUUUAUUUUUUCACUGCGUUACUAUUUUAAUUAUUGAUUAUUUUCAUGUUUGAGCAUGAGGUCGAAUCUCAGCACAUAUCAAGUUUACCUAAAUAACAAAAGUUGAUGAAUCUUUUGUUAAACCACCAAAUCAGCCUUCAAAAAGCAUAACCACCUCAGACUGGUUGUUGCAAACCAAAGUUGUCCAAGGAAUCCUUAUGCAGCCUCUAAUGGUGAUCCACACUAAUGAAUUAGAAAAUCCUUCUUUAAGGAUUGGGAGUGUUAUGCCUUGACAAUGUGCUCGAAAAGAUGAGUUUCAUAAACUCAUAAUCCACAAAAAAUUAUGGGGCUGAACACACAAAAGAGAUCAAGUGAAUGAAAAAUUAUUUUUCUUCACCGAAGGAACGACAAGAGAAAAAGAAUUUCUAAUGUGCCGUUCUCUCGCAUUUUGUUUGGAGGCUAUGGUAAGGUAUUUAUACCUUGGAUUAAUUUUAAACCCUAAUUACAAAGCUACUUUGUAAUUGCCAAUUAAUCCAAUAAUUUCAAUAAACAAUUUAAUAAAGUCCUUAAGAAGCCUAAUUAACUUAAUUGUUUAAUUUAAUCAAUUAGGCCUAAUAACUUAAUUAAAUAAUUUAAUUAAUUAGGCCAAAUGAUUUAAUUAAUUAGACCGAAUGAUUUAAUUAAACAAUUUAAUUAAUUAUGCACAACUUGAUUAAAUAAUUUUAAUCUAGUGCUUCAGAAGCUCAUAACUUUUAAUUUGAUUAAGUCCAACUUAAUCACCUCUCCCAUUUUAUUUUCAACAUUUAUUUUAGGUGUGUGACCCAUUAGGCUUUCAACAUGUUGGCAAUGAACUCAACAUAUAAUUCUUAAGUUAAACUUAGAAUUAAAAAUAUUUAAACUACUUUAAAUUCAUCAUUAAUCAAGUUAACUACCUAAAGUUCAUAGACCAAGAUUGGGAUCUAGCAAUCCAUCAUGGCCUUCCAAAUGUUGAAGAGUCAAGAUGGUUUGACUAAACCUUUCAGUGAUCAGCCUUUCAGUGUAAUUCAUUCCCUCAUCAUAUAUCCCAGAGAUGAUAAGAGCAUGGUGUAGUGUCUACUCUUACUGAUUUCCAUAUUUGUUCUUAAAGUUUGAUCAUCAACUUUAUAAAAACUUAUGAAACUCCUUUCAUAAUCUUCAAGUCAUGUUGGCCAAAGACUUUAAUAAGCUAAUAUCAACCAAGAAUAGUUAAGAUAUGUCCCCUGCAUCACUUGGGGUGAUGAUUCCUAUCUUGACCACCCAUUUACCUUAACAUGCUUCAUGCUAUACCUAAAAGCAUCCUGUUUUGGCAUCCUUGGUUAGGCAUCCAUAGGGAUGAAAUCAGAACAUAGCACUCCACACAUAAGAUAACCUGGUGUCUUAAGUCUAGGGAGUAUUUACACAAUUGACACAUGAGAAGUAUUGCAUACACACUUGAGUGAAAUACCAAAUGCACUUCUCAUGGCAAGUCAUGUUCAGUGAACUUGCUCUCCUAGGCAAGCACCUAUAUUCUAGUUCCAAGUGUCUCUAUACUUCAACUUAUGAGAUUAGUUGCUUACUUUUCAAGUAAGGAACAUAGAAUGUACUAGUCUCUAGGUAUCAUUGAUGUCCAAUCUCAAUGAUACAUUGACUAGGAACUUUUUGAGAUUACGCUUUGAUGCAUAAGGAUCUCAUAACUGCAACCCAUUACAGUUCCCUUGCAAGGCAUAUUAAUCUCAUGGACUUCAUCCAAUUAGACUUAUAACUUGUUAUAAUUGAUGUCUUAUUGAUGAAGGAAAACCUUUAAUCAUUCAACAUGAAUGAUGUUAUUGCAUGAUUGGAAUCAAGCCUUAACCAAUCCUAAUUGGCUGUAGGGCUCAUCUUAACAUUUACAUUAAGACUAGUGCCUAUUUACAAUGAAAUAUACUAAGAAUGACUUGACCUUUAGCAGUGGAGCGACUCAGGAUAAAAAUGCUAUGAGAUGCCUUUACCUAUCCGUGGUGGACAAUAAGUGUCGAUGAAUGGAUGCUAAGCUGAUCACUAUUUGUAAAAAGGGAGAUAAGGGGGUGAGUUUCACAGACUUAGUGAUCAUCGACUCCAUGAACAGGACGUAGAUAAGAAAUAAGCUUAGAGCAGAUAAUUUAAAGGAUAAAACUAGAGUAUGAAAUGAUAAUCUUAUAAAACUAAAUAACAGGUAAGGUAUUUGUGUCUUGUAAAAAUAAUGUUGUAAAAAUCAUAGUGCAAUACUUUCCUUGGCAUACAAUGCCGAAAUCAACACGUAGUAAAAUAAAAUUUCAAUCAUCAAAAUCAUCUAUUUCCUUCUAAAUACAAAUAGCCAUAUAAAACAUGCACGCUCCCAAAAUGUGUGGCAUGUAAAAAUAAUCAUUUACAUCAACAUAUAUCAACUCAUGAUCAAUAUAUAAAGCACUGAAAGCUUUUAAUUAAAUAAGUGAGAUGUGGAAAAACAAUAUCUCUCCACCAUGCAAAAGAGUACGAGUCUAAAAACUCUCAAGACUCUCGACUAGGUAAUCAUAAAUAAUCAACCAGUGGACCCUUUUCCACAUAAUAAGGCCCUUCCACCGGAUUCCCAUAGCAAUGGUAGUCUCGACGAUGUUGGCCGACAUCGGAGAAAUCAUGUGGUCACAACCAUAUAUCUCAACUUGUGGCCUUGCCAAGUAUAACAACCCGUGACCUUGCCACGUAUAAUCACAGACCGUGGCCUAGCCACGUCUAACAACCUGUCAGCGACCUAAAAGAUUCUCUAGCUAACGCUCACUUGUGCACAAGAGUCACACUAUCCUAAUGUGACAUUUAGCCUACUCUCGAUGCUCUCGGUUUGUCAAAAUUGUUUUCAAAACUAAAUCAAGGUUUUCAAGAGUUGUCUUUAAAUCCUUUGAAACCAAGGUUUGAUAACCUUUCAAAAUUGCUUUUCACAUUAAAAUGCAUGGUGUAAACAUUUGCAUAAAGUUUGGAUUAAAAUCGGCUCACAAGAAAUCAAAUUUAGGCCACUUAUCAAGUGCAAUCAACUAUGCACACUUCGUAAAGAUUCGAGGCACAGUUUUGAUGCAAAAAAUUGCAAAAGGGCUUGUUUCUCGAUUUCUAAAACAUUUUACAUAUAUGUAUAUAUAUAGUCUACACAAACAACUUUCAAAUUAAUUUGCAUCCAUAAUUACCUAUGGUUUCUACCAGCUCAUGCUUUCCAUAAAAGUAGCGUAUAAAUUGUUCCAAACCAUGUAUUCAAAUCGCUUAUCAUUUCCUAGUAACUCAUGCUUUCCACAAAGGCAUUGAAUAAAUCAUUGACAAGUUACUAUACAUAUAACAUUAUGUAGUAUGGAAUCUUUUGAAAUAGACACCCCCUACUCACCUUACAAUGGCAAGAUAUUACUUCGCCACUUAUCCAAUUCCAUUUCAAAUUAAAUUAGCUUACCAGUCACCCGUUUCCUCCUCUAGUUAAUCACCACGAUAAUCCAUUUUCACUUGCAUACUUCCUAGCAAUAAAUCAAGCUUGAUAUACUUAGUAUUUAUCAUUCCAAUUCAGCUCACAUUUGCUGCCUUAUGUACCACAUUCUUAGUUCCUUUCAUUUUCAAGAACUCUUCACAUUUCAAAUAAUUAUUUUUCACUAUAACUGACCUCAUGCAUUAUUUCCAAUUUCAUGCACAUACACAAUUAUAUAUGGGCAGCAUCUUAACCAAGAAUCCUUAAUCAACAUCCACAUUGUUCAUCUUUAUUCUUAUAAAUACUCUAAAACGCAACCACCAAUUUUCAACUAGCCAAACCUAAUAUGCCAUAACAUACCCACAUUGCAUGCUUACCUUCCUAAUCACCUUACUCUACGUCCAAUUCAAUAUCUCCUCAUAACAUUGUUCACCAUUGCUGCCACAACAUAAAUCAUCAACAAAUGUUCUAUCUUUCUUUCCAUUCAUGAAAUUCAAGGUUAAGAACACUAAGCCAUAAUUUUUUGUCUCAAAUCACCAUAUACUCGUGUACAAUCAACACGCAUGCAUCCAGCCCUUUGAUUCUUUAAAUAUCUUGCUGCCACAAAACAUUUCUUAUGGUUACCAUCUGUUUGUCAAAACAUAAUCAAACCAAAACCACAAUGCUUACCUUUAUUUCUCUUGAAACUUUGGAACCAAUCUUUCCUCUUUCCUCAAGCUCAACAAAUUAGUUCCUUUCUUGCAUGUUGAAGAUUCCUUUUUAUGUGAUGAGAUGCUAAACUCAACAAUGAAGAGCAAGGAACUCACGGUUUCCUUGAACCCUCACAACCCAAGACUUCCCCACUUUCCUCUCUUUUCUUUCUCUUUUCUUCCUCUCUGGUGGAGCUCUCAAAAACACUUUCUUCUUUCUUUUCCUCUUUCAAUGGCCAGUUCUCUCAAGAGUCACCACUGCCAAUUCUCAUUUCAUUUACACUUUGAAAUUUUGCUAUUUAUUUGGCCACCCACUUAGCCAAUCAAAUUGCAUGCACACAUUUUCCUUUUAUUCUAUCUGGCCACCUUGCCAACCUAUAAGAUUUCAUGCAUCCAAUUUCCAUCUCUUUUAAUUGGUUGAAUAUCCACUUCCGUUAUCCAUCCAUUAGUUAAUCUAUCUUCAUGCAUUCUUAAUGCAUUUCCAUUUCAUCCACCUUACUUAUGUCCAAUAGCUUUACAUGCAUUCUCCCACAUUGUUUCUCAUUGGGCCUCCCACUUAGCCAAUAACAUUACUGAUAACUCUAUGAUAUAGAGUUUAUUUGAGCUUAGUUUUGAUAAUAAUUUGGCUUGGUUUUUGUAGUAAUGCAUAAAAAUUAGUAGAUUUUAUUUAAUUAUUUUAAAUUAGUUAGUUUAGGUGAGUCAAUCUAAUCAUGGUUAAUUUUAUGUUUAAUUUGGUUUUAAUGUGGUUAAGAUAGGUUGUUAUUGAUUUAUUGGUGCUUUUGUAGGUGUUUGAUGAAAGAAGAAUUUCAGUAAAAGACGGAGAGCAAUUUCAAAGUGCAGACUUGCACUGCACAUGUUUCGGUAUUUUGGCCAUAACUUUCUCUACAGAGCUUCAAAUGAAGCGAUUCUUAGACCAUUAGAAAGAUAAAAGAAAAAUAUAUAACUGUCAUGUUUAAUACUUUACCAAGUUUGGCUUUUAGGAUGAUCAAGAAUCUUGUCAAAGUUGACGAACUACAGUAGUCCAAGAGCAAUUAUGAUUUCUAUUAAUUAAUUAGACAAGGCUACGACUCACAUAGUCUAAUUAGGAAAUCCUAGUUUGAACUGAUUUCUUUCUCCAUCCAACUUGGCCAAACUUCAAAGCCUAUAAAAACAACCUUUCGAAGGACAUAAAAGGAAUAAAGAAAACACCAGAUUAAUAGCUGAGAGUCAAGCCACAAAAUCAUUGAUGCUAAGAAGAUUUUGAAGGAUUCAUGAAGACUUGGAAGAUCAAGAUUAUAAUUCUUGAGUUUUAUCAUUUUGAUUUUUUUUUAUUUUCUUAGUUUGUUUUUAUUAUUUAAACUUUAUUUGAUGAUGAUGUGUGACUUGAUGGGGAACUAAAUUGUUAAUUUAAAUUAUGAUUGAACUCAAUAUGUAGUUUAAUUUAUUUAUCUCUUUUUUGCUUAUGUUUGAUAGAUUUAGGUUGUUUAUUUUAUUCUGUUCUUAAUGCUUUUAAUUGCCUGAUCACCAAUUAGAUUGAGUUGGAAACCUAGGUUAAACCUUGACGAAGAAGAUUUAGGUAGACCUUGAAUAGAAUAGUGUAUGAUCGAAUACACGUAGUUGAUUAGGUGGUUUGAUUUGCAUAUAGAGUAGACAUACACCUAUAAGCCAUACGUAGCCAGAAUUAGAGCAUAAACUUAAUGAAUCUUUCUUCAAUUUAAUUUGGAUAGACAUAGAGUAAUUAAUUGAGAAAGGUCUUUUUAUGAGAAACUCGAGAGAGACUUGUAAAUAAUUUAGGACUCUACGUUAGUAACUUAAUUCAUUAAACUGAGUUAAGAGAAAGAGACAAUAAUCAGAUAAGGUAUUGAGGGAUAUUAUAAUCUUAGGUCUGGUAGUUAAGUGAGUUUUAUUUACUUUUUAAUUUUAGUUUCAGUUUAGCAAUUUUAAUUUUUCUUUUUGAUAAUUUUAAAAUUUAGUUGUUUGAUUAAAAUUAGGGUGUGUUAAUUUUAGUAGUUAAUAGUAGGAAUUAAAACAAUUCUCCUUGGGAAUGAUACUCCAUUUCAUCAAUAUAUUAUUUGUUAACGAUAUAUGCACUUGCGUUAGAAAUCAACAACAAUUACAUGCAUAUUUCACCUUGUGCAUUUGUCUCCUUCCUUUUUAUUUGUCACAUGGUGGGGGUCCUACAUGUUCCCCACUAAAAUAACACCUUUAUAUGCCAUCUUUUACAUGUAAUAGUAUUGUCACAUGCAUACGCUAAUCUUCCACAUAACCUCAUUUUUUAUGACUAAUUAUUUUCUUUUCAUCCAAUUUUGCAUGUGACCAAUAAUUUCUUUAUAUAAAUAUUAUAAUAUAUUAUAUAUGAAUAAAUAUUAUUUUAUUCAUGUUAUCCAAAAAUUCUAUUAUUGGUCUCCCCCACUUAGACUUAAUCUAUUUCUCGCAAGAUGCGACUCGUUUCGGCAUCGAAUUAUUUUAGUAAUAAAAUAUUAUUUUAUGUCAAAAUUCUCCACUUGUCUUUUCGGGUCUCAAAGUGUCCCACUUUGUCCCAACUCACUUCCAAAUUGCCUUUUAACUCGCUAAUUCAUCCUCGAUAAAAUAUUAUUAUUAUUUAAUUAUUAUUUUCUCAUGUGUAAAAUAUUUUAUUCUAAAAUAUGCCUUCCACCCUUCACUACUCUUUAGCACUUAAAUUUACAUCAAUCGACCCUUCAUCUUGUCGAUAAGAUCUUAUUGACUUCUAUAGGAGGGUACAAAGUGUUACAAAUAUGUUGCGGCAUGAAAUGUGUGAUGGCUUGUAUGAUGAUUUUCAUCUAAGAUAUUAUGUUUUGUAUAUGAUGUGUUAUCCAUAUACUACAUGAAAUGUUUGAUGAAGCAUGACCAAUGCUAUGAGAUUACGUAUGUAAUGCAUGUUUUACAUACGAUAUGAUGUAAGAGUAGGCUUAAGGAAAUGUCAUGGAUGUGCAUUUGAUGUGAAAUUCCAUAUACCCUAUGACAUGAGUAAGCAUGUAUGUGAUAAACAUUCCACAUAUUAAAUGCUAUAAGCACAAAAGUUUAACGAGUGCGAUUGAUUCCACUCACACGGGUUGUAGUGAUGAUUUCACUCCUGUGAUGCAUCAUAAACACCCAAGAUGCAAUGGGGUUGUACAUUAUCGACCCAAGGUUGAUGGGGGUUGUACCAUCACAAUGUAUGAGUUUAAUGUUAAUGGAAUGAUUAUGGUUGUUAUCUUUAUGAUGUGUUGCAUGUUAAGUUCAUCUUGAAUAACGUUUAUGAUCUAUACUUGAUGUUGGCAUGAGUUUGUGAUUAAAGAAAGGAAAUGAGUUGUAGAGAUAGUCCUAAAAGGUAAGAGGAUUUAAGGAAUGGAAAAAAUACACAAUUUUGCCUUGAAAAUAGAGGUUCAAAGGCUAUCUAUUGAUACAUGUAGAACAUCUACUUAUAGAUAAAAUACAAAAUGCCACAGGAAGCAUUUUGCUUCCAAUCUAUCGAUAAAUGUUCAUCAUCUAUCGAUAGAUGAGUUCUAGAAUUGUAUGUGUUGGCUUGUUUGAUGUUCACACUUGUUUUAUCUAGAGGUUAUUCACACUUGUUUACAUCAUAUAUGCUAUUUAAAUGUGUUUAAACACCAUGUUUCAUGACAUUAAAGUUUAAAUUUAUAAUAAAUUGCAUGAGAUUAUAAAUACAUGAUUACGAAACGCUUUUAUCCCCUAGCUUGUCCCCUUCCCGUAUCAUUCAUGGAGUCUUUGUGACUUACAUGUUAUUUUGCCCAUUUAUUUUGUUGUAGAUCAAGGAUGGCAUUUUGAUAGUAGCUAGUGAUGCGGAUACCAGUGUUUGGUCUUCAUUCUUUAGUAGGUGUCUAGUAGCCAUUUGAUGCUUAAAGGGUUGGUCACAUUCUGCUGAUGAGUCGGUCAUAUGAUUAAUUUGAUUAUGUUUAUGGAUUACAAUCAUGUUAUGUUAUUGUAGCCUAUGUUUAGCAUUUUACAUGACUAAUGUUAUGUAUGAUAAUAUGAUAAUGGCUCGAUAGCCUAUAUGAACACUUGAGGGUGUUGUUGAUGAUAAUGAUAUUGUGCAUUGUGACAGUAGCACAUGUUUAUAUACAUAUAUCAAAUGCUUGAGCUUAUACAAUUAAAUUGAGAAGUUCCUUAAUUGUAUAAUGAGUAUUAUGGGUGCAUGCAUGAUGCUUUUGUAUGUAAAUAAAUGUUAUAAGACACUUUUCACAUGUAAGGGUGAAUGUUUAAUGAUGUUAUGGUAAGAGGCUUGCUUGGGCCUAGCGGGUUAUGCUCAUUUGGCUCCAUGCCCAAAUCAUGAUUCUUCUAAAAAAUAGGAUGUGACAAAGUUGGUAUCAGAGCUUUAGGUUCAUAGAUUUCUAGUAUUUCUUUGGUUGUUAGCAAAAUUGUGAAACCUCGACCUCUAUAGGCUAGUAACUAAGUGUAAACACGAUAACCUAGGCUAGGGGUAACUUCGUCAUUUUCUUAGCGAGACCCUAGAAGUAGGCUUUCAAACAAUAUUAAGGCCUAAGUAGGCCUAAGGCAUAGAUGAAUGAUGAAAAUAAGGGUAAAAUGACGAAGGAAAUAAAAAUAAUGAUGAUUUCCAAGUAGGGGCAAAAUGGUCAUUUUUCAUCUAGAGUCAAAAAUUUUUAAGUUUUCGUGAACCCGAGCAUUUCUAGACCAUUGUGGACUUUGUUUCAGUGUCAAAGACUAAAAAAGAUUGCACAAAGGAUUGAAGGAGAACAAGCUAACUUGUUGAGGGCAUUUUCGUAAUUUAAGUAGAGAUUGGAUAAGCUUUAGCUAUAAAUAACAUUUUCUUCCAGUAGCUUCUUCUUCUUCUUCUUCUUCCUUCCAUCUCACGUUGCUUUCAACCUCCAUGGAAGCUUGUUUGAAACCUCCAUAAUUUCUCACAAGCUAGCUUCAAUUUUCAUGCUUUUGUGCACCCUUUCAUAGAACCUCUUGUGCUCUUUCACUCUCUCACUUUAAAACCCUUGAAAGGUCUUACUUUCAUACUUUCUCUCAUUAGCUAGGUGUUUUAGAGAAAGAAUGAGGGAGCUUGUAUAAUAGCUUGGAAGAAUUUUGAAAAGAAAUUCAUUUACAACCCACCAAGGUGAGUGAACUUGCAGUAAAAUGUUUUGGGAUUAGGGCAUAUGUGUUUGAUGAAAUCCAUUGAAAUAUAUUAUCUGUUUUUCUCUAAAUUAUGCAUGGGAACAAGCUUUUAAUGAAACGUUUUGCGUGGUGGAAUGCAACUGUGAUGAAGCCAUGUGCCCUGUGUUAUGUUGAUGUAUAUGUAUAUCUAAAUGUAUAUGAUGUGUAUUGAUGGUAAUGUUGUUUGUAAUUAUAACCGAGCCUGUGCGCGAUGUGGGGGAGCACAUGCCGGUAAUGAUGGGUGAGGGAGUGUGGAUGGUGAUAUUGCUUGUGCACGAUGUGGGGGGAUGCACACGGUGGUAUUAGCUGUGCACGAUGUGGGGGGAUGCACACGAUGGUAUUAGCUGUGCACGAUGUGGGGGGAUGCACAUGAUGACUCCAGCUGCGCACGAUGUGGGGGGAUGCGCAUGAGCUAGGUGAGACGGUGGUGGUAUUGGUGUUUAUAUAUGUAAAACAUAUGUAUAUAUGUUUAUGCAAUAAAAAGUCAUGAAUAUGGUAUAUGGUUGUAAUGCAUGUAAAAUCUUGCAUGUGGAACCUUGGAAAUUGCUAAGUGUUUCAAGUUGAUUUUGUCAUUGCAGCAAAAUGGCCUUUCUUUGAGAUGAUGAAAAUUUUUCCUUGGUGUCCUGUUUCUUGCUGCAGUGAAAAACUCUCGAGUUUGAAGGGUUAUACUAGCCUGGUUCUCGCUGCAGCGACAAAGUUGCUAAUGCUUCUCGCUGCAGCGAGAAACAUUCUAUUUGGCUUGCUAUUCUAUUUGGUUUCUAACCCUUUUUACAUUUCUUUAGCACCAUAAUUAAUCAUGGACUCCCAACAUUAAGGAAUUUAUUUAAUUUAAGUUUGAAUGAGGGGUUUUAGUGAAAAACCCUCGACCAGUUGAGAAACCCUCGGCCAAUGGGAAUGCCUUUUCGCUGCAACGAGGACCCGUCGUUUGGCUUGACCUGUUUGAAUGUUAUUAAAGUUUUUACUCUUCAAAUCUUUUGUUGUGCAUGGAUCCUUUAUCGUCAAGUAUUAAAUCAUUAACGGUUUAAUGAGGGGUUUUAAUAAUAACUAAACUAAAUUGCAUUGUUUUUUAAAAUAAGUGCAUCAUGAUUUCUUUAAACUUUCCUUAUCGUUUGCUUGUUCCCUUCCUUGUUCACUCACUGGGUUUAUACUCACCGUUUUCAACUUCUUAUUUUCAGAUCAGGAGGCAGUCAAUAACUAGGUCGAGGUGUCUUUGUAGAUUCGUUUCCUUGGUACGUAUGUCGGCAUUCAAUAGCUAAACUUUCACCCGGGUCUCUCUGUUGAAAGUCGAGUAUUCCUUUUGUUAUGUAUAGAUAAACCCGAUGUAAAUUUUUAAAAUGUAUGUUUUAGUCAAUAUAAGUAUAUUUGACUGGUAUUGCCAUUAUGAAUUGGAAACGGUUAGCAUUAUUUUGAUUUGAAAUUAUGAAAUGUGACUUUAGCAACUCUUGUUAGAAUGAUGAACAGGUCAUAUAAAUAAGCUUGCUUUGGCUUAGUGGGCUACGCCCAUUGGGCCCAUACGCUGGUCAUGGCCCAGAAAUUGGGUCGUGACAAGAAUGUUGGAGUCUUAUAUAGGAAUCUUGUUUUUUUAUUUUUUUGUGUACCUAGGCACAAAUUGAGAACGAAAGACCUGCAUAUAAUUCCUUGUAUGUUUAAUGCUUAAAAGAUAUGUCUAAAAUUGUCAUAAGUCUAUAGUGUUAAGUCUUACAGUGUAUGUUGCUCUUGUAUAGGUGAGAUAUGUUGCCUAGGACACGGGCAAGUGUUAAAGACAUGAUAGAGCACAAGGCUCUCAUAGAUACUACUAUUAGACCAUGCACUCUUACAACAAGAGGCCGUGGCUGGCACGACAGGGCCGCUAGCUUGAGGAGGACUAAUACUCCUACUAGUCCACAAAUAGAGGGAUAAGGUCCCGAUAUAGUUGUUGAGGGAUAGGCUCCCGAGAUUAUAGCACCAUUUAUAUAGGCUGUGACCUUAGAAGACCUAGUUGCUAGCUUAUAGGGAAUCAAUCAAACUAUGGAGUUACUAGCUCAAGAGAUGCUAGAUCAAAGGAGACGAGGGGAAGGCCACCCCACCGUACAGGCCUCCCUCAGAGCAUAGAGUCAUAAGGACCACCAGGAGUUUGAGAUGGCUAGGGUUGCAUCUAAGGUUCCACUAUCAAAGUUUAUGAGGCUGAGACAUCUACGAUUUUUGGGAUCUGAUACGACUGAGGAUGCUUAAGAGUUCUUAGAUGAGAUAUUAAUGAUAUGUAAUGCUCUUAUUUGCACUAGCAUCAAAUCAAUUUAGUUUGCUAUUUUUAGGCUGGGCAAGGUAGCUCGACAGUGGUAUGAGAUAUUGCACAUUGAUGGAGCCGUUGAUGCUACUCUGAUGACUUCAGAGGAGUUCAACAUAGCACUAUUUUCCAAAUAGUGUGUGAAAGGCUUAAGCAUGCGAGUUUGAGACUUUAGUGCAGACACUGGGCAUGUCAAUGGUGGAGUACAGUGUGAGAUUCACUAAGUUAGCUAGGUAUGCCUCAUACUUGACCGUUACGAAAAAGAUGCCAACCUAAAGGUUCAUGAAUGGAUUGUUACGCCCACUAUAUAAAGUCGUAGCAUCAUAAGAGUUUACUAGCUAUUCUAAAGUGAUGAAUUGUGCUCAUAGGUUAGAGCUUAAGGAUGUGGAGGGUCGAUCAGAUAGACCCAAGCCUAAGAAGGCCAAGAUUUGAGGCCUUUAGGGCCAUAGAGAUCCCUCAAGCCAAGAAGGCCAACAUGGACGUUUACAAAGAUCUCAUCAGGGGAAUGUUGGUUAGAAUUCUACUACAUAAGUAUACAUAUCGAAUAGAUAAUAUAUAAGCAAGUAGAGUAUCGAUCCCAUAGAGAAUUGAUCUAAAAUUUUACUAAGUACUAAAAUUAUAACAUUUUAAUUGUGUCUAAACAAUCAAAAUUAAUUAAUUAACUAAAACUAAUUAACCAAAAUUUAAACUAAAAAGAAAAAAAUCAAAGUAAUAAUAACUUGGGUAAAAAUCAAAUCAAGCUAGCCUAGGAUUACAAUAUCCCUCAUGCUUCAUCUAAAUCUUAACUCUCUUCCUUAACUUAUUUGAAUAGGUUGACUUGCGAACCUAGAGUCCUCAAUUAUUUAUAAGGGUCUUCCAACUCAUCUUAUAAAAAUAUCUAUUUUAACCAAGACACUAUAUCUCUAUGUGAAUUGAAAUUAAAACAGAUUUAUUAAGUUCAGGCUCUAAUCUGGCUACAUAUGGCCUAUAGGUAUAUCCCUAUCCUAUACUUAAAUCAAUUAAUAUGAUCAUAUGUUAUCUUAAUUUUAGUCUUCACUAAACUCCCUUUCCUAAGUUUGUUUAGGUUCCUAACUCAAUUUAAUUAGUGAUCGGGCAAUUAAAAGCAUUAAGAACAAAUUGAAAUAAACAAUUCAAAUCCCAUUAAAGAUAAGCAAGAAAGAGACUAAAAGUUUAGAUUACAUGUGAGUUCAAUUGCAAUCCUAGGAAACAAAAAUUAGCUACUCAUAGUUGCAAAGAUAAAUAAAAUUAUAUAUAAUUAAACCAUUGAGAGUAACAAGAAAAAUAAAGGCUAAGGAAGAAACAAAACAAAUAUUUGUAGCCUUGCUCUCCAAGUUUCAACCUCCAUUUCUAGCUUCUUCAGUCCCUAAAAGUUGUCUCUUCUAAUGACUCUUAAAAAUGUCUUAUUUAUACUAACAAUGUUAACCUAAAAUCCAUAAGUUAAUCUACUAAUUCUAAUUAUUGCGCUUAAUAGUGUAAUGAGAGGCCCAAACAUCAAUUAUUAGUCUUAAAAUUGCCAUUCCCACAAUAGUACGCCUAACCAUUUUUUUAUGCCAUUUUUUCAAUCUUUAAAGCCAAAGUGAGCAAAGUAGUCUUCAUAAAAGUUUAUCUCUAUCUCUUAGCUUUCCAAUGGUCCAAGAAUCGUAGCAUUUGGAGCUUUGUAGUGCGAGUUAUAAUCAAAACACUGAAGCAUAUGCAAGCAGACUUUUGGGUCUUUCAACACCUUACUUUCAAAAAUUAAGCUCAAUUCCCUUGGUUCCUACAAAAAUAUAAAAACUAAUAAAUAAUAACAAAAUUAAAGGAAAUAAACAUAAAAUUAAAAUAACUCACUUAAGAAUAAAACAAUUAUAAAAAUAACUAAAAAUAACUAAAUUAUAAUUGAAAAUUAAAGACAUAGCUAAUUUUUAAUAACAAAAUUAGACUAAAAUAAUUCUAUAAAAUAUAAUUAUCACAACCCCAAACUUAAGAUUUUGUUAGUCCUUGAGCAAAAGAAAAUCACAAAAAGAAAAUUGAACAUAAAAUCCUUGAACGGGUGAUAGAAGUACCAAAUCAUGAUUUCCCAAUUUGUCCCUUAGAAAUAAACUCAAAUUCCCACUUAAAGUAACAUACAGCUAAUCGUUAAAGUCAUGCAUCAAUUCAAGUGAAAACUUAUUUUUCGAAUAGACUUCCUAUGUGUGUGUAAAUGAUCUCUUAUAAAGAAUAUCAUACAAUUCGAAUUGGUUUAUGACAAAUCUAAGCAUAGAUUAGUACUAGGACUCCAUAAGUUUGCUUUUCAACCUUUUCUCCACUAAUGUAGAUUAACAUUUAUUCAAGGAUCAAUAGGUCUUUAUCAAGCUUGUAAUGUAAGGCUAGAAUUUAGGUAUGAUAAAGUAUAUAUUUAUGCUUAAAUUCACCCUAAACACUUAAUCAAUCUAGGACCUAUAAAGAGCUAAAAAAAACAAAAUUUAUAGCACCCCCAAACUUAAAGUGCACUUUCCUUUGUACAACACACUUUAUUUCUCUUUUUUUUUAAUCCCCGAACUUAUUUUUGACAAUUAUAAACAAAGAGUAAUUUUCCUAACAACCAUCACUUUUUUUUUCUUUCACCUUUCUCCCUUAAUUUAUCUUUAAGCUUAAAUCAUUCCCUAGAAAGAUCAAAAUACUUAAAGGGUGAAAAGUUCAAAUUGUUGGAUUUAAAUAGACAGGUUAAGGCUAAUACAAUUGUGCAAUUACAAAGAAAAAGUAAAUUAGGCUCAAAAAGGAUGACUAAAGAUAAUUAUAACAAGGUAAGCUCAAAAAGGUUCAAACGAUCCAAAGAUGGCCUAAUCACUUUCUAUCCUAAGUGUUAUCUAAGAUUUCACAUCGAGAGAGAAUCAAACAAAUUCUAAAAUUCUUGACUUCACUAUACUUUUUUAUUAGCACAAACUUUCUCUAAAUCACAUAAAAUUCUAAGUAAAGGAGUAUAGUACUCAAAUUAUUGAAAGUCACAUUAUAAAAUAAAGUUAACACAAGAACAUCACAUAAAAUUAAAUCAUAACUAUAUGUUUCCCAAAAUCUAAGAAUUACAAGAUAAUCAAAACAUCAUCGUAGGAUUGGGACAAUCAUGAAUGAGGUGCAACUAUCAAAAAAAAAAAUUUUUGAACACAAAUAAAGCAUGCAAAACAUAAAUAAAACAUGCAAACAUAACCUAAAAUAAAACUUACUAAACCUAACAUAAUGAAAAGAAUAAACCAACAAAAUUCUAAAAUACUUCCCUUAACUUUGAACAAAACAUUGUCCUCAAUGUGAUAAAAGAAAAUUAGAGAAAAAGGACAAGAAUACUCCCCUAACUUUGAAAUUACAGUCUACAGGUCCUCUUCAUCAUCACUACCAAAAUAGUCCUCAGAGUCUAAAUCCGUAGGCAACGAAGGAAAAGUAGUCAUAUCCAUCCCAAUGUGCUAUGCAUAGGCUCUCAUCAUUUGUUCAAUUGCCUGAUUUUGCCUUUCGUUAUAGUCCAAAUGAUGAUCAAUGCGCUCCAUCCAUUGGGCAACACUAUGUGUAGAAGCCGACUGUGGAGGUUGUGGAACAGCUUGCGAGGAAUUACCAACUACCGAUACAGAUUCUUCCAAUCAUUUAAUAAUGCCCAUAGUAAUGGGAAUUUUUUAUUGUUGCGGCUCCUCCUUAUCACUCCAAUGCAUACCAACUCUCACACAUAAGGCAGAGAUCAAGGAAGGAAAAUUGAAACUGUCUCGUUUAGUGUGGCCAUAUGUAAGAUGGCAUGAGAGAUAACCUUACCAAUGUCAAUGGAUUUAUGCAUGGCAAUGGCAUAAAUUAGAACUGCGUGAUCUCUCGUGACAUCGCUAAUAUGAGUGGACGAAAAUAAUUGUGCCGCUGUAAACUGUAACCAAACUUUUAGCUCCUUUUUCAUGGCACGUCGUUUAAAUGAAACAAGUUCACCAUGUGAUGUCUUCCAUUGGUCUCCCUCAACACAAAGCAUUGAUAUAAACUCAUUACAAUACUAAUGAUCACCUAAGUACUGCCCAUAUUCAUCAUUCUCAAUAUUGGGAGUUUCAAAGAAGGCGUUGAUUGCUUCAUUGUGAAAUGGGACUUGUUUGCCACAAACAAAAGCAACGCCAUCAACAUUCUCAACCGCAUUUGCUUAAAACUCCCGAACUACUGGUAUAAUUACAACUUCCUCUUGUUUACUAAAUAACUGCCAAUGUUUGUCUCAAAGCAUCUGAUGAAUUUCCUCAUAAGGGAGGAUAGGGAUAUCUAUCCUUCAUUCAGGAAUUGGCACUUUGUUGAUAAAAGACGUAUGAUAUCUCGCAGAGGCAGCGGUAGAGAUGAACUUUUAUCUAUCAAAGGUCCCACUUGAGCCUGGUUUGGAUCGUUUGGGUGCCAUUCCUACAAAAGAAUUUCAAUUAUCAAAAUAAAUCCAGAGUAAAAGUGUCAUAGCCCAAUUUUCGGGCCAUGACCGGCGCAUGGGCCUGAUGGGCAUAGCCCACCAAGCCUAAGCAAGCCUAUUUCUAUGACCUGUUCAUCAUUCCAUCAAAAGUUCCUAUAGUCACAUUUCAUAAAUCCAAUUAAAAAUAAUGCUAACCAUUGCCAACUCAUAGUGGCAUUACCAAUCAAAAUAUACAUAUAUUGUCUAAAACAUACAACUUGAUAAUUUACAUCGGGUUUGUCUAUACACAACAAAAGGGAUACUUGACUUCUAGCAGAGAAACCCGGGCAAAAGUACAACUAUUGAAUGAUAAGAUACCUACCAAAGGGACGAAUCUACGAGAACACCUUGACCUAGUUACCAACUGCCUCCUGAUCUUAGAACAUGAAGUUGAAAACAGUGACUAUAAACCCAGUGAGUGAACAAAGGAAGGGAACAAGAAAGCGAUACUAAAAGUUUAAAAAAAUCAUGAUGCAUUUAUUUUCAAAAAUAAUGCAAUUUAGUUUAGUUUUUAUUAAAACACCUCAUCAAACCCUUAAUUGGUUAAUCACUCGAUGAUGAAUGAUCCAUGCACAACAAAAAUUUGAAGAAUGAAAACUUUAGUAGCAUUCAAGCAAAUCGAAUGAAAUGACUGAUCAUUGCUGUAGCGAAAUUUGGGCUCAAAUUAUCAACUGGUCGAGGGUUCUCACUAAAACCCCUCAUUCCAAACUUAAUUAAUUAAUUCCUUAAUGUUGGAAGUCCAUGAUCAACUAUGGUGCUAAAAAAGUGGAAAAUGGGGUAGCAACCAAACAACGUAGCAAGCACAAUAGAAGGUUUCUCGCUGCAACGAGUUACAGGGCUGCAGCCAGCCUCCCAACUUGAGAGUUUCUCAUUGCAGCGAGAAACAAAACACGAAGAAAAAUUUCUCAUUUUAUCAAGAAAAGGCCAUUCUACCGCAAUGACAAAAUCAACUUGAAAAUACUUAGCAAUUUCCAAGAUUCAACAUGCAAGAUUUCACAUACAUUAUGUCACAGCCCAAUAUUCAGGCCAUGACUGGCACAAGGGACCAAUGGGCUCAGCCCACCAAGCCCAAGCAAGCCUACUUACAUGAUCUUAUACGCUAAUCCAUAUUCCUUUAGAAUCCGAAAUUCAUAAUGCUCAAUUACAAUUACUUUGAAAAAAACUCAUAAAACCCAGUCAUGUGUUCGUAAUGGCAUCAUCAACCAUUAUAUACAUACACAUAAUUUGACAAAUAAAUCUCAGUAUUUCACAACAAGUAGUUAUAUACACGUAAUUAGAACUUGACCGUCAGCGGAGUGACUCUAGGCACGGUUGCUAACAUUUAAUGUCACGGUAAACCUACCGAGAAUGGAUAAGGAGGAGCAACUCGUCCUAGGGUCAAAUCACCUUUGACUCAGAAAAACCUAAAACAUGAAUUUUAAAAACGUGAGUAUAAACUCAGUGAGUGAACAUAGGAAGGGAGCAAGCAAUGUUAAGGAAGGUUUAGAAAGCAUGAUGCACUUAAGUUCAAAACAAUGCAAAUUAAUUUAUAUCUAUUUAAAAACCCCUCAUUCAAACCCUUGGUCAUUUAGUUACUUGAUGACAAAAGACUCAUGAACAACAAGGGAGUUGAUAAGUGAAAACUUUAGUAGAUUUCAAGCAAGUCAAGCCUAAUAGAUUGGCUUUCAUCGCAGCGAAAAGGCAUUCUCGCUGUAACAAAAUUCUGGCCAGAUAAAAAUCCAAGGGGCUUUCACUACCAUAAAAAAAAUCCACUCAUGCCAUAUUGCACAUUAAAUCGAACACAUUGACAAUACUCAAGUUUUCAAUAGUUAAUGCAAUCACAUUUUAAAUCCAAACAUCUCUAUACAGUAAAUAUGUAUAUAUAUAAGCACUUACACCACCAUCACCUCACCCGGCUAAUGUGCAUCAUUUUUUGCAUGUGCACUACCCACUCCGCACAUGCACGGUUAUAAAUAUCACGACAGCAUCAUUAUCGGCAUGUGCACUACCCACUCACCACAUGCAUGGUUGGGCUCCACUCAUAAGGGAAGACCCUCGCUACAAGCAGCUCUUUCCUCCUUUAGCGGUGGUAAUAAACGAUACCUACCAGAUCACUCAUAGGGGACAUCUCUCUCUACAAGCCCCUGGUCGAAAAGUUUCCAGGGAUCGGGUUAAACCCUUUGCUCUAAUACUAACAUUGUCACUCAAUUGGCAUGUGCACUACCCACUCCGCACAUGCACGGUUACAUCAAUUAUACAAAAUUACUUAACAAUAUAUAUAUCAUAUAUCUUUAUAUACAUAUCAGCGUCAUAUAAAAGUACAUAGAUUCAUCGCAAUCAUGUUCCACAUCACAAAAACAUUUCACUAAAGGCUUGUUCCCAUGCAUUUUGAAGAAAAUAUAAUUUAAACAGUUCAAGUGGUUCGCUCAAACGUAUGUACAUCUACACAAAACAUUUUAGUGCAGGUUCACUCACUGAUAUUUGUUGAAUCUUUACUAGACUCCAACCUCCACUAAUGGUCCAAAUGGAACUGUGGGGCCUUGUUGGGACCUAUCAUCAUAACAACAUCACAACCAAUCCGAUUUGCAUAAUUAUAGUUCUAAAAGCUAUCCACUAAAUCAUGUUCUGCUAGUUAUUUUUAACUAGCUUCCAUCUACCAUUAAGUGACUAUAUAUUUUCCCUAUUCUAGUCACACUAUAAUGAAUAACCCACCUCAACUACAAAACACUCACUGAUCUAGCCACUAGCCAUUCUUAACAACUAAAAAGAAAUUAACUCUAUUUCGUUACUCACCUUGGUAGCUUCACAAUUGAAUUUCUUUUCCAAAAGCUUUCAAACUAUCAUGAAAAUCUCACUUUCUAUCUCUAGAACAUUCAGUUAGUGAGAGAGUGUAAUAAGGAAAGGUUUUUGAGGGUUUUAUGGUGAAAAAAUAGAAGAGCACAAAGAACUCUGUGAAAGGGUAUACAAAAACAUGAAAAAUCGGGCUUAAUUCAAGGAAAUAUAUGAAAAUUCAAGGCAAGCUUCCAUGGAAGGGUGAGAGAACUUGGGAGAGGAAGGAGAAGAAGAAGAAGUGUUGAAAAUUUGAAGAACAUCCUAGAAACUUAGAUUUUUAUGGCUUAAGUUAUCCAUUUCUAGCAUAAUUACCAAAAUGCCCUUAACUAUGUCAUUUUGUUUUUCCAUUGCCUUUAUACAAUCUUUUUACUUCUUUAACACUGAGACAAGGUCCAUAAGGGUCUAGAAAUGCUUGGGUUCAUGAAAACUUAAAAAUUUUAACUCGAGAUGCAAAAUGACCAUUUUACCCUUUUUGUUUCUUUCCAUUUUAAUUUAGUCCUCCCAACAUUCAUUUAACUCCAAUUUCCUUCUAUUCCCUUCUUUUACACAUGUGCAAACAAAGUAUGAAGUUUGCACUCCAAAUGAGUGCCUCCAUAAUAUUUAAAUUAUUUAUUUACCCGUGCUAUCUUUACUUAAUAAAGACACGCGGCCCCAUUAAAGUCAUUUUUCUCCAAAAUUCUAUCAUUCUUCUUCUCCCCCACUUAGAUUGACCAUAUACUCCUUGAUAAAAAUUUUUUACACUGAAUAAAAUAUUAAUAUUUUAAUAUUAUUUUAUUAAUAAAAUAUUAUUUUAUUUCAAAAAUUUCCUCUUGUCUCCUCUUGUCCCUUUGGUACCCAAAAUACCUUAUUAGGCCUCAAUUGACUUUCGAAUCACUUUUUAUCUCACAAAUUCUUCUCCGAUAAAAAUAUCAUUAUUUUAUUAUUAUUUCCUCGUGUGCGAAAUAUUUUAUCCAAACUAUUCCUUUCAUCUUUCAUCAUUUCUAAAAAUCAUAAUUAACCUCAAUUGGCUUCCAGUAAUUUUUUAUUAGUCACCAUAUCAAAGUAUGGGGUAUUAUACAUUACAACCAUAUACCAUAUUCAUGAACUUUCUAUUGCAUAUAUAUAUAUAUAUAUAUAUAUAUAUAUAUAAACACCAAGACCACAACCAUCUCACUUAGCUCAUGUGCAACCCCCACAUCGUGCACAUAGUUGGAGUCAUCAUGCACAUCCCCCACAUCGUGCAUAACUAAUAUUGUCAUGUGCAUCCCCCACAUCGCGCACAGGCAAUAUCAUCAUCCACACUCCCGCACCCGUCAUCAUCGGCAUAUGCAUCCCCCACAUUGCGCACACACACGGUUAUAUUUAUUACACAAUAUUAACUAUCGAUACACAACAUAUAUAUAUAUACAUAUAUCAACAUUCUAUAGGAGCACAAGGAUUCAUCAUAUUGCACACUGACCACAUAAAAGAUUUUAAUAAAGGCUUGUUCCCAUGCAUAAUUUUUUAGGAAAAAUCAAAUGAAAAUCAUUCACAUACUUCAUCCAAAUACCAAUACAUUUCCCAAAAUAUUUUAAAUGCAAGUGCACUCACAAGUCUUUGUUGAUGGUUUGGUGGGCUCUAUCUUCGACUAAUGUUCCGAAUGGAGGUAUGGGGUUUCGUUGGAACCUUAAUAGUCUUUGUAGUUGAAUUCUCUUUCAAAAUUCUUCAAGCUAAUAAGGGAAAUCACUCACUCUCUCUCUCUCUCUCUCUCUCUCUCUCUCUACACGUCUAGCUAGUGAGUGAAUGUACUAAAGAAAGACUUUUGAAGGCUAUUGAGGUGUAAAAGUGGAAGAGCAUGAAAAACCCUAUGAGGGAGUGGGCAAAAGCAUGAAAUUUAAGGCUAACUUUAAAAGGUGAUGGAAGCUUUGAGAGAAGCUUUCAAGGAGGAUGAAAGAAAUGUGAGAUGGGAGGAAGAAGAAGAAGAAGCUGCUGGAAAAAUGAGAAAGCUGUUGGAGGAAUGAGAUAUUUAUGUUUGAAGUUUAUCCAAGUUUCAUGCAACUUACCAAAAUGCCUUCAACAAGGUGACUUUGUCUUCCUCCUAUCUUUUGUGCAAUCUUCUUACUUCUUUGACAUUAAGACAAAGUCCAUAAUAGUCUAGAAAUACUCGAGUUCAUGAAAACGUAAAACUUUUAACCCGAGAUGCAAAAUGAUCGUUUUACCCUUAUUAUGAAAAUUAUCAAUAUUUUUAUUUUCUUCGUUUAUUUAUCAUGAUAUACAUCAUUUAUUUAUUCCUUAGGCCUACUUAGGCCUUAAUAAUAUUAGGAAAUCUAUUUCCAGGAGCUCACCAUGAAAAAUGAUGAAAUUACCCUUGGUCUGUGUUAUCGCGUCUACUUCUAGUUACGUGUCUACGGAGGUCGAGGUUUCACAAAAAGUAUGCAAUUAGUGUUGCAUGCACAAACAUGAAAGUAUGAAAAAGCCAAAGGCAAUAAUUUAAUAAACGUAUAUCCAAUUCAACAAACCAAACUCAACAAUUCCACAGCAGCUUUGUAAAAAUUUACAAUCUCACCCCGCCAUAUGCAACAUAAAUUUUAUAUUCCUUACAACAUGCAUAUGGUAUUAUCAUAAUCAUAAAUUUCACAACUCAACAGUCCAUAAAAAAAAUUCUAAGAAAUUGCACUCAUCCAAAAUUACCACGUACUGCAUGUUUUUGCACCAACAAUUCCAAAAUUUAUUUGUACUUGCCCAAUCAAUCAUCAAAAAUUAAACAAACCCAUCAUUUACUCAAAUCAACAAGACAUUUAACAAUUAUAUUUACAGCAAACAAAAAAUUUAUAAAUCCAUUGGAUAGGCAAGAAGAAUUUAUCACUAAUCAUAAAAAUUAAUUACACUCUAAACAUAAUCCAUGAGAGAAUAGUAAAACCCAUUAACAAACAUGCACAAUGGACUCAUUCAAUGUGCAAAAAAUCAUAAAAUUUACUGUCAACACCAACCUCAUUCUCUCUAUGCAUAAAAUAAUAGAAAACCAAGUAUUUGGAAGACAGAAGGAGUCGUACUUACCUUAGGAGUGAAAUGAGUGAAGGAUUUCAAAGCGAAAAUAAAAAAUCCAAAUAAAGAAAAUAUGUAGAAAUUUGGAAUGAAAAAAGAAAGAGGAAGGCAAGAGAGUUGAAGCAGGAUGAUGGAGGGGAAAUGGGAGUGCCGACUGAAAAGUGAAAAGAGAGUAAAAAAUUUUGAAUUUUAAAGCUGCAUGUAGUGUUGGGCCCAUUCAUGCGAGAGCUGCGGCUUUCACCUAUUUAGAACUCAAAGCAUUACGCUUUGGGUUUCAGCACCGGAAUGCUCAAUCAUUCUACUUCGACCCCCAUUUCUUACUUUCGUGAGAGUCGUGGCCCUCAAACCUUCUAUGUUUGGCCAUUCAUGAGUAUUCUUUCACUUUGGAACAUGCUAUCUUGAGCCAUACCUUGCCUCCUUUCAAGGCCACAACGCUCAAAGUGAGGGCUAUGGCUUUGACCUUCUAUUUUAAUUUUUUAAUUUUUUAAUUUUUUAUUAUUAUUAUUUUUGAAACCAAACACUUGCCAAAAGGUAACAUAAAAUUAAUUAAAAUAAUAAUAAAAUUAAAUCAAAAGAAUUUAAUUGUAAUUAAAAAAUUAAUUAAAAUCAAGACUAAAAUGAGUGAAAUUGAAGAGCUUGGUUGCCUCCCAAGAAGCGUUUCAUUUAUAGUCUUCGGUUGGAUUGACUUAGACUCUAGGCCAUGUCAAGCAAGUGUAUUGAUGACUUUUGAUGAUUAAUUUUGCCUCCCCAAUAAUACUUCAAUCUUUGUCCAUUGACUUUAAAUUUUCGACCAUCUAUCCCCUUAACUUCGAUUGCUUCAUGUGAAAAUGCCUCAUUGAUAAUGAAAGGACAAGACCACCUUGACUUAAGCUUCCUGGAAAUAAUUUCAAGCGAGAAUUAUAAAGCAACACUGAUUUUCCUAGCUCAAAGCUUCAUUCCACUAUCUUCUUAUCAUGCCAUUGCUUUGUUUUCUCUUUAUAAAGUUUGGCAUUCUCAUAAGCUUGAAGGCGAAAUUCAUUAGUUCAUUUAAUUGCAAUAACCUUUGCUUACCUGCUGCUUGUAAAUCAAAAUUUAACUUCAUCACGGCCUAUUAAGCGUUGUGCACAAGUUCCACCAGUAAGUGACAAGCUUCGCCAAAGACCAACUUGAAUGGAGACAUGCCAAUUAGGGUCUUAUAAGCAGCCCGAUAUGCCCACAAUGCAUCCUCCAAUCUUCUUGCCCAAUCUUUUCUUAUGGCACACAUUAUUUUCUCCAAAAUCCUCUUGAUUUCUCUAUUUGACACUUCCACUUGCUCACUAGUUUAAGGAUGGUAUGUAGUUGCAACUUUGUGUUUAACUCCAUAUUUUGCAAGAAGUGCAUCAAAAUAUUUGUUGCAAAAGUGACUUCCCUCAUCACUAAUAAUUGCCCUUGGAGUACCAAAUCAAGUGAAAAUGUUCUUCUUAAUGAAAUUCAUCACUACCUUGGAAUCAUUAUGAGGAAAGGCUAUCGCUUCAACCCAUUUUGAGACAUAAUCUACGGCAAGCAAGAUGUAUUUCUUGUUGUAUGAAGAAAUGAAUGGACCCAUGAAGUCAAUACCCCAUACAUCAAAAAUUUCUAUCUCAAGGAUGUUAUUGAGAGGCAUUUCAUUUUGCCUUGAGAUAUUACCCACUCUUUGGCACCUGUCACAAUGCAAAACAAAAUUGUGAGCAUCCUUAAAUAAUGUAGGCCAAUACAAACCUGAUUGGAGGAUUUCGACAGCAGUUCUUGCUCCUCUAAAGUGUCCUUCAUAAUAUGAAGAAUGGCAAUGGUGAAGCAUGCUUUGAAUUUCUUCUUUUGGGACACAUUUUCUAAAGAUCUGGUCUUUACACUGCAUAAACAAGUAAGGCUCAUCCCAAAAAUAAAAUUUAACAUCAUACAAAAUUUUUUUUUCUGAUUAAAAUUUAAAUUAAGAGGAAUAAUAUUGCUUAACAAAUAAUUCAUGAAAUCAGCAUAGCGAGGAAGUGAUUUCUUACCAACUUGAAGGAUUUGUUCAUCAAGAAAAGUCUCCUUGAUUAAGGUUGAAUCCUUACCUUGAGCUUUAAUCUCCAAUCUUGAGAGGUGGUAUGCCAGUUAAUUUUCUGUUCCUUUUCCAUCACAAAUCUUGAGAUCAAAUUCUUGAAGCAAAAGAAUCCACCUUAACAAUCCUGGUUUAGCAUCCUUCUUGGCAAUCAAAUAUUUGAUAGCUAAAUGGUCAUUGUAUACUAUCACCUUGGUCCCAACUAGAUAGGAGCAAAAUUUGUCAAAAGCAAAAACUACAGCCAAAAUCUCAUUUUUUGUUGUGGUAUAAUUUUUCUGGGCUUCAUUCAAAGUCUUGCUAGCAUAAUAGAUGGAAUGAAAGAUUUUAUCCUUCCUUUGUCCCUAAACAGCUGCCACCGUAUAAUCACUUGCAUCACACAUUAGUUCUAAAGGGAGAGUCCAAUUAGGACAAAUUAUGGUAGGUGCAAAAAUUAAUCUUUUCUUCAGUUCAUCAAAAGCAAUAAGACAUUCAUUAUCAAACGUAAAUGGCACAUCUUUUUCCAACAAAUUGCAAAGUGGUUUAGAAAUUUUUGAAAAGUCUUUAAUAAAUCUUCUAUAAAAACCAACAUGAUCAAGAAAACUUCUAAUACUUUUGACAUUUAUUGGAGGUGGUAACUUAUCAAUUGUUUCAAUUUUUACUUUAUCUACCUCAAUGCCAUCAGUAGAGAUCUUGUGCCCAAGACCAAUACCUUCUUGCACCAUGAAGUGACAUUUCUCCCAAUUAAGCACCAAAUUUGUUUCUUCACAUUUCUUGGGCACCCUAGCAAGAUUUAAAAGACAAUCAUCAAAAUUAUUUCCAAAGAAAAAUCAUCCAUAAAUACCUCCAAACAUUUCUCCACCAUGUUUGUGAAUAUGGCCAUCAUACAUAUCUGAAAGGUGGCAUGUGCGUUACAUAAUCCAAAUGGCAUUCUUCUAAAAGCAAAAGUGCCAUAAAGACAUGUAAAUGUAGUCUUUUCUUGAUCUUCAGGGGCAAUAGCAAUUUGGUUAUAACCAGAAUAACCAUAUAGAAAAUAAUAAUAUUCUUUACCAGCCAGGCGAUCCAACAUUUGAUCAAUGAAUGAAAGAGGGAAGUGAUAUUUCCUUGUAGCUUUGUUGAGCUUACGGUAGUCCAUGCACACUCUCCAUCCAGUCACAGUUCUUGUUGGAAUGAGCUUAUUAUUGUCAUUGACAACCAUAGUCAUUCCCUUUUUCUUAAGAACACAUUGAACUGGACUUACCUAUGAGCUAUCAAAAAUAGGAUAAAUUUUUCCCGCAUCCAACCACUUGAUGAUUUCUUUCUUGACCACUUCUUUCAUGAUGGGAUUCAAUCUUCUUUGCUAUUCAAUUAUGGCUUUGCCAUUUUCCUCAAGGAGAAUUUUGUGCAUCCAAAAAGAAGGGCUAAUUCCUUUAAUAUCAACUAUGGUCCACCCUAUUGCUUUCUUGAAUUCCCUAAGUGUCCUAAAUAACUUCUCCUCUUGCAUGUUGUAAGACAAGCAAAUGUAAUGACCACUCCUCGAUCGCUACCAGUGUUUGAGUCUUGCGGGAGAACCCGUCAUGUCCCGAACAAGCCUUAAUUGAAACUUUAGUUACUACUUCAUAUUCAUGGCAUCAAUCUAUGAAAUUACUUUGAAUUGUAUAACUCUCUGAAAUAAAAUUUGAGCAAAAGUCGUAAUAUAUCAUCUUAACCUUUAUUCACCAUAAUCGUGAGAAUACAUUAUAGUCAUAAUGUCCAACUGCACAUUUACAUUGACACUAUUUACAAAUGAAUUAUGCUAUGAAUGACUCGACCUUUAGUAGUGGAGUGACUCAGAAUGAAGUGCUAUGAGAUACCUUUACCUAUCUGCGGUGGAUAACAAAUGUCAAUGAAUGAAUGCUAGGCCGAUCACUAUUUUCAAAGGGAAUAUAAGGGGGUGAGUCUCACAGACUUAGUGAUCAUCAGCUCCUUGAGCAAGGCACAGAUGGGAAACACACUUAAAGCGGAUAAUUUGGAAGAUAAAAUUAGAAUAUAAAAUGGCAAGCUCAUAAAACNAGAAUAUAAAUAGGCAAGACUCAUAAACAUAUACCUAAUACCGUAUUGUGCCUUGAAAAAAAAAUAGUACUGUAAAAUCAUAAUGCAAUACUUCCCUUGGUAAGCAAUGCCGAAAACAAACGUAGCAUAUUAAAUUUCAAUCAUCAAAAUCAUCUUUUUCCAUCAAAAAUACAAAUAAUUGUAUAAAAGUACGCACGCUCCCAAAAUGUGUGGCAUGUAAAAAUCAGUGUGCACAUCCGCAUAAAUCAAGUCAUGAUCAAAUAUAAGCAUUGAAAGCUUUCAUUCAAAUAAGGGAGCUGUGGAAAAACAUUAACUCUCCACCAUGCAAAAGAGUACGAGUCUAAAAACUCUCAAGACUCUCGAGUAGGUAAUUAUAGAUAAUCAAUCCGUGGACUCUUUUCCAUGUAAUAAUAAUCCGGGAGGCCCUUCUCCACCGGAUUCCCACAGCCAUGGCCAUCUCAACAAUGUUAGUCGACAUCAGAGAAAUCAAGUGGCCACAACCACGUAUAUCAACUUGUGGCCUAGCCAUAUGUAUCAACCCGUGGCCUAGCCACAUCUAACAGCUCGUUGGUGACACAAAGGUUCUUUAGCAAGAGCUCACUUAUGCAUAGGGUUACACUAUUUUGAUGUGACAUUCGACCUACUAUCGAUGCUCUCUAUUUGUCAAAACUGUUUUUAAAACCAAAUCGAGGUAUCCAGAACUUUUGCUUUAAUCAUUUGAAAACAAGGUUCGAUAAGCUUUGAAAUUGCUUUUCACAUUAAAAUGCACAGUGUAAACAUUUGCGUAAAGUUUGUACUAAAAUUGGCUUUCAAAAAUUUGUAUUUAAACCACUUAACAAAUGCAUUUAUGUCACGACCCGGUAUUUCCCUCAAGCCCGUGACAACCGCCGUGACGUCCCGAUAGACAUUCAUUGCCCGGAAUGCCAACCGGAACCUUGCAAGGCUUUAAUAUCAAUUUUCACACCUCCCCUAUGAGCAACAGUUGUUAAGUAUCAUGUUUUGAGAGACUAUAAACUAUUUCCAAAUCAAAACAAUAGAAAAAUAAUUUUUUUCUCAUAGGGCAUUUUGGUCAUUUUUCUUAAAAAAUCUCAAAACCAGCUAAAAAUGUAGUAUGUUAGUGGAAAACACAUAUUUCAUAAUCAAAAAUAAGUUUAGAUAUCUAAAACAUUCAUUAAAAGUGAAAUGAUAGCGAUUAGAAUAAAAUAAAAUAUUGAAUAAAAUAUUCUAUUUUCUUAUAAAACAAUUUUUAUAGAGAUAUCCGUUAGUAAUUUUUGUAGCAUAAAAGCAAAAUAAAUUCGUACAUACAGUAACACAGAUAGUCAAGGUAUGUAAUUAAAUUUACAAUGACAUGUGGGCCCCCAAAUGACAAAAGUGAACGAAGGUUGUGAACCUACAGUUUUUGAAGAAGUAAUGCCAACUGUAGCCUUCGACGAUAUCAACUAUCUACAAACUAUCUUGAGCUUGAAAUGGGUGGAAAGGAGGGUGGUGAGAUUAUAUAAUCCCAGUGAGUAAACAAAUACCAUCUAAAAUAUCUAAAACUGAGUAAAUGGAGACAGAUAAAAUAGAUUAGCAUAAAAAUGAUCCAAAGCAUUUCGAACUCAUUUGAAUAAGAUAAAAUAGAUUCAUUUCACCAAAAUAAACAACGAGGCUUAUGAUUUCCUAAAAAAUUUGGCUCGUGCCAAAAUCAUUCUCAUACUCAGUUAUCAGGGAUACCUUGGCCUAGGGCUAUCCCAAUUGAGUCUGCUAAGGCUGUUAAAAAAACCAUGUACGCAUAAAUCAUGUUUUUAUUUUGAAAACAUAGCCGUUCCUUGGCAUUGGCUGAGUUCACCCUCACGUGGUGGUUUGGUGUGAAGUGAACUUUAAAGUUGUACCUCGGGAGUUACCCUACGCACCUCUCCAAUCGAGGUAAGAAUAUAACGGGGAUUCCAUGCCUCUCAAAAAGACUGGUCCAUAAAACCCGCCCACUGCAACAAGCUAAACCCACCGUACAAUAAAAUUUGCAAUAGCAUGACAUGGCAAUUAUUUUAUUUUACAGCCUCUCAAGGCAAAUCAACUGUUCAUACAUAUUCAGCACAUUUACCAAUUCAACCAUUCAUGCCAAUAUUAUCAUAAGCCAUUCAAUUCAAACCAUGAUUUAUAACACAGCAAUUAGUCUCCAAUUACUCCAUUUUCAAAACCAUCUUUCAAUUUCAACACAAUUUUAUAAAAUCAUUUCAUUUAAUCACAUUUUGCUUAUAAAACAUAAAGAUUUACCAUUUAAACUCAUUUUUUAUCAAAUUACAAAAAUGAAUAAAAACUACUUUAGAUAAUUAAGAGGAUAAUAAGGUUACUCACUAUUUCGGGAGUCGAAUUUCAAGUACUUCGAUAUCUGAUCCUCGGGUACUAUCUCUUUACUUUUGCCAGAAAGCUCACCACCUUGACAUAAUGCACAAUAACCCAUUUACUACAUUUGUGCUAAACCGUUGUAAAUCCAAUUCAGGCUUUAUACUAAUGCAUGAAAUGGAAUGCAAAUUGUUCAGAUUAUCGUCUAAAACACAGUGUUUUGCACAAAUUCAAUUAUGUACCUAAAUAAAACGGUAUUGGCCUAAUUCGAUCUAUCACUCGAUUAAUUGGCCCAUAUGUCCAAUUUAACUCCAAAUAAUUCCAUUUUUCUCCCAAUACUCCAAAUCAUCAAACAGAAAUUAAAUAAGUUGAAAUAUGGCAAAAUCAUCCUCACAUUUUCUCUUGGAAAAUUCUGCCAUGGAGGGUUCACUAACAAUAUAAUUUUUCAAGCUUGAUUCGCACACCAUAAAUCACUAAUUCCUAACCAAAUCACUUGAAAUAAAAUCAAAAUCAUCAUCAAUAUUCCACAUGAAGAAUUCGACCAAAGAGGGUUAUGGAAGAACAUGAAAUUUUCUUACUUGAUUUUCAUGCUACACAUCACUAACUAACUAAAAACACUAAAAUACAUUGAAAUCUAACCAAAUCAAGCAUCAAAAUCUCUCUCUAAGUGUUCGGCCAGCAAGUGACCCAUCAUGAUUUCAUGUGAUUCAACCAUGAAAAAUAAGAAAAAAUGCUUAAGAAAGAGAGAUCUCAAGCUUAAUUGAAAAAUCUUACCUUUCUUUCACUUGUUUCCUUGAAUUUUCACACUUUUUCCUUGAAUUUUUCCACCUAGGGUUUUGUUCUUCCUUUUCUUGCUUCUCCUUGGUGAGG